This 95161-nucleotide long non-coding RNA is filed under the name Medicago truncatula (barrel medic). RNAcentral's name for it is "long non-coding RNA (MTRU_LNC000781)". The stretch from base 9685 to 9852 matches the Rfam family "MIR2680 microRNA precursor family". The record is from RNAcentral. Lineage: Eukaryota; Viridiplantae; Streptophyta; Magnoliopsida; Fabales; Fabaceae.
UUGGUGGUGGUUGUUUUCUCCUCACUAAGUCUUUGUGACUUACCUCUUCUUCUUACAUUUUUUUUUCAGAUUCAAAGUCAAGUGCGUAGAAAGCUUGUACCAGAGUUAAAGAUAUAUCAAUGUCAUUCUUUUGGUAGGUCUCCUAUAUGUAUGAACUGAAUGAUCAAUGUAUCUGCAGCUAUUGGUAGUCUAGAAAUGUUUUGUUUUGAAUUGUACAAACAUCUAGUUAUGUCAAUUUGAGAUUCUGCUGAUAAUACAAGUAUAUGGACAGGAUUCAUACCUUGGAUAGUAUCCAAAAUACAAAGGAUACUCUGUCGAAAUUUCAUUGGAUAUCAUUUUAAGUGAAAGUCAAUUUGAAAUUUAUCUAAAUUAUAGUUUGUCAAGUGUCGUCAUUAGGCUUGCCGGACUAGGAUGUUCUAGUUCAUGCGCCGGUCACGAAUGUGAAUUUUUGGGUCGUGACACACCAAUCCAUCAUACAAUUCUAUACUUCUUGUUCACACAGAGGCUUAACUAUAUGAUCAUGAUCUCUAUUCACUGGUUAUUCUCCAUGGAACCGUAUAGUUAUCAUGAUCAUGAUCAAAAAUUAUGCUUUUCUAGUUAUAUUAUAAGAUGUUCUAUUACACCAUGAGUUGUUAUCACUGAAUCUAUUUUUUGCAAUCUUCACUCACUUAGGUUGAGCUACCAUCACUCGUAAUUUUUAGACAUUAGUAUCAUCCUGUUAUCAUGGUUUUUGGGUGCCAAGCCAUUAAUUGGACUUGAACCUUUUGACCGUUGAUAUCUCUCUUUUUUCUUGGGAAGGGUAAAAGGAGAAAAACCCUUGAGUUUCCGAAUUCGGGGGUCGUUUUCGCUACGGGAAGGUGUUAGGCACCCGGAGCGAUUAUGGUAUUCCAUAAGAACCGCUCUCCUAAGUUUAUUUCUACGCUUUAGUUUUAUUGCUUAUUUGUAAAAAAAGAAGGUGUGAUUAGUUAAGAAUGGGGGUGAGAAGAAGUAGAAUUUGAUUUUAUUUCGGCUUGGAUGAGUUUUGACUCAUUGCCUACGUACCCUUUUAAGGGAUCAAAACCGUUCGUAGUUCUUGCUCAAAAAAUGGUUUUUUUUGUUUUUAUUGGUUGAUUUUAAGUUUGAAAAGAGAUUUUGAAGAAUAGAGAUGAGAGGCCUCAAGGGCAUAAGGUUUGGAAAGUGUGAGGUGGAUUUAGUCAUUUUGCAAAAAUAAAGUCCAAGAAGGAUUAAGAUUCAUUAAAAGUUUUACUUAAGAAAAUAAAGGGAAAAUAAGGAGUUUUGACUCCAUUUUAUUUUCAAAAAAAGGUUUUCAAGUGAGAUUAUUUGCAUGUUUUUUUUUUGGAAAAAAGUUGGAUUUUUAUCUAAGUGUUUAAACCUAAGCGCUUAUCUAACCAUACAAUCCUAUGCAUACAUCUAAGGUGAGUGUGUGCGUGUCGGUGCGUCAUAGUGUCCAUAGUCCAUAUUACAAAAAUUGCCUAAAUACAUUCUAUGGCCCCUUUGCCAAGCUACAAACCAAUGAUAACAAAUUACAUUACCAAAUGAAUUAAAACUUGCAAAAAAUAAAUGCUAAGCUAAAGAAAGUGGAGAGGGUGGUGGAAUGCUAUGAAACGUAUGGCACAUGAGAUGAAAUGGUUAGUAAUCAUAAAGCACACAAUAGUAGGAAGUAAUUAAAAGGAAAUGCAUAAAGAUGGCAAAGAAAAAGUAAUAAAGUGGUAAUAAACCUAAAAAACAUUUGAUAUGAUACCUAAAGAUGCUAGUGACCCAUAAUCAUCACAUCAUGGCAAUUUAGAAAGAAAUUUUGUUUCAAGCCAUGACAUGCAAUUAAUGGAGGCAUAUGCAUGCAAAAUAUCACACCAAGUUCAUAGAGAAUUUUGCCACUUUAUUCCUUAAGACUAAACUUGUUGCUUGCAAAACAAGAAAUUCAUAAAAUCAUAUUCAAAAACAGCAAACAAAAACACAUUUCCAGAGGCAUAUUCAUCACCAUAUUAGGCAUCCUUUAUCCAUGUCAUAAUAUCAAAAUGUCAAGAACAAAACAUAGCAAAAUGCAUACCAAAAGUGUAAAAACACGUGGAAUUAGUUCAUGCCAUUUUAACAUUUUUUUUUAUGCAAGAAACACCAUAGGAAUACCAAAAAUGUAUCAAGAAAACACUAGGAUUUUUUAGGAUUUGUUUUUAUAAAAAGAUGAGCAAGCAACAGGUGUGAAUAGCAAAAGAGCAGUGUGAAUAGCACAAAAAAUAGCAGAAAACGCAGAAAACCAAAAGAAACAAGCCCAAGCCCAACCUAAAAGAUCCGGAUGCAUGGGAUCCACACGAUUGAUCCAGGAUUCAAAAACCCUAGAUCAAACGGCCAGGAAUCAAAGGAGAUGGACCGGACUGGACCGGUCCGGUUCGCUGGCCUAUAAAAGUGGAGGAACACCGGUUUUUUCAUUUCUCUACUUCCCUUUCUCUCUCUAAGUUCUUCCCUCUUCUCUCAUCUCUCACUUCUCUCUAGAAACCUCACCGCCGGUGAGGAUGAAGCUACGGCGGAGACCUUGAAGGUCCGCCGGAAACUUCAUCUUCUCCGGCGAGACUAUGAACUCCGGUGACCUAAAAUUUCCAGAACUUAAAGAUUUUUGUAUUUUCUGGUUCGUCCUUUAACCCUAAACACGAAUCCAGCAGUUGUUUUUUCAAAUACGGUUUGAAACGACGUAGAUCUAAAAAGUUCCGUACGGUUUUGAAACUGAUUUUUGAUUUUUUGAAAGGAAAUGUUUAGGUCGUUAAAGAUCUACAUCGUUUCGUUGUUCGCUGCUCUUCUUUGAUGUUUGUUCUUGCUUUCAAAACUUAGAUCCUUAUGGAUCUAGGUUUUGUGUUUACGGUUACGGUUUCGUCUUUGAGUUCUGGAAAUUUUGGAUCUGUUGCUUGCGUGAUAUUUUUUUAGGUUUAACAGUGAUAUUACUUUUGAGAAAAGAUUCUGAGUUUUACCUAAGGUUUUGGUUGAAACCUUUAAUGGAGGAAAUCUUUGGAAAAACUUGAAUGCUCUUGAUGAUUUUGAUUCUUCUGCUUGCUUUUGGACCGAAAAUAAAUCGGUGAUUCUCCUUUUCUCACUGAUUCCGUUUCUUCAUCUUCUUCGCCGGUUUAGAACUUUGCUUCUUUCCUUCUUCUUUUCACGCUCUGUGAUCAACGCUUGAGCUUGCUUCAAUGCGAGCUCGCGUUUGGAAUUGCAGAGAAUGAUCAAUUCGAUGAUGAAGAUUCAACAGAAUCUCUGAGAAUUGAUCCAAAAAACUGUUGAUUCUGAUGAAUUUUGAUUUCUGGAAAACGGUUAGGGUUUUGUGUUCUUGGUGUUCUUGAGAGAUUCUGAGAAACUUUUCUGUUUUGAUUCACUUGCUGAGAAAGAGGAAAUUGGAUUUGUGUUUAUGAGUUGGCGUGUGAUUCAUGGCUCUGAGUGGCACUGUACACCUUUUAUAGCAUGACAUGUGUGCAUUGGAACCAAUAAGAAAAGGACACCUGGACUUUGAAAAAAAAGGCACGGCCUUGGCAAAUUUGGCUUCUGGACCUUUCUGCAAAAACAAAGAAUUUGAGGACUAAACUGCAAAAUUAAUUAAAAGGCUUGAAAUGAAAUUAAAAAAACUGUUUGGACAAAAUGCAAUUUUGGGACCUCAAUUGAGGGACCAAAACGCAAUUAAAAAUAAAAUUGAGUAAAAAACGUAAUUUGACCAAACGUAAAGCGAAACAAAAAUAAAAUUGACAAAACGGACUAAAACGAACCAAUGACCUAAAUGAGGUACUUCAAAGUAACCUCUCUAUGCCAAAAUUUUGUGUGAAAUGACCAAAAUGCCCCUAGGGCUAAAAUUGACCUAAACAGAUUGAAAUGGACUUAACACUGACUCAGACGCAAGUUUGAAAUGAAUUUUAACAAGGUUUACUGAUGAAGUGUUUAAAAAUAAUCUGAAAAGACUCAGAGACAGUCACAAGGAUGAAAAUGGGUCCCACUGCAGGAAAUGACCAAAAUACCCUUCUGUAUGACUUUUUGCAAAUUUUGAAAUAAACUGUGGAAAAAGCAAUGUAAUGAUUCAGAGACACUUUUGAAUGACUUACAAGACAAGUAAAGACAUUUCAAAAGGUUUUAUGCAAGAAAAACAUAGGUAAAAUUGUGAUUGAAAAUACUGCGAGGCAGAGACAAUUUGAACUGUGCAGUUGAAAUUUGAUAAUUGACAAAGUUUGAAAUGAAAUUGGGCCCAGUAUUUUUAGGUCCAAAAACAGGGUAUAACAGCUGCCCCUAUUUAAGUUUCUUUGUCUGGAGAGUCAAGAGACGGAGUCUUUGGCUUGACAGGAAGAAGAUACUUAAAUAUUAGCAUUUGCACUGUGUUUGGACGUAAAAAUACGCCUACCCAUUUUCAAAUAAUAUGCAUGCCAUGCAUCAUUCGGAUUAUGAAUGCAAGACCUCAUGGGGAUUGGAAUUAACAAAAUAUGUCGUAUCCAUUGCGGGAUUGGUAGACAUUGACAAAGAUAGUGAAUAGCAGAGUAACGGGAAACUAGAAACAAGUUGGAUAGGUACAAGCUGUUCUUGGAUUCAAACUAGCCACUUGACCGGGGAUUAAACAAACAGACAACUGCGAGUUGUUCUUAUGGAUUCGAACUGGUCACUUCACAGGGGAUAGAAGUUACUGGACAAACAUGAGUUGUUCUUAUGGAUUCGAACUGGUAACUCACUUGGGGAUAUUGGAAAGUGCGAGUUGUUCUUAUGGAUUCGAACUGGUGACCCGACUGGGAAAAAGAGAAAAUUGGCAAGUACGAGUUGUUCUUAAGGAUUCGAACUGGUUACUUGACUGAAAGCAAGGCAAAUAGACAGGUGCGAGCUUGUUCUUGGAUGCGAACUGGUUACUCCACCGGACAGAAACAGAUAGACAGGUACAAGCUGCUCUUGGAUUGAGCUAGCCACUUGACCGAACGGAAACAUAUUGACAGGUACAAGCUGCUCUUGGAUUGAGCUGGGCACUCGACCGAUAACAUAAGCAAAUUGAUAGGUACAAGCUGUUCUUGGACUUGAACUAGCCACUUGACCAAACAGAAACAUAUUCACUGGGGGUUGGUUUGUUUUGACAAAAUAUAGAUUGAAAUUGACUUGACGUCGAUUUGGUUUGAAAGGUAGAAAUUGACCGAUAUUAUUGGCUCACAAGGUUUUGACAGAGAACCUGACAUGAGUAUUGAAUUGAGACUGAUGUUGACAUUGGAAAUGCAAUAUGCAUGGAUGAUAUAACAGUUUCAUUAAAUGCAUGGGCACGUAAUAUGCAUGGUUAUGCAUGUAUGAAUGCUUGUGAUGCAUGACUGUUAGCAGUUUGUAGGCACGACUUCACCGGGAAGACAAGACAUUAGAGUAUUGGGCACGUAGUGGCUCGUGCUAUAUUACACAUUCUUGGAAAUCCUCUUUGGAGAUGACGUCGUUGGGAGACGUAUCGGAACCAUGGCUGAGGGCAGGUAGCUAAACAACUUGCUGGAGAUAGAAUCUUGGAAAACCCUGACUGGGGAAAACGCCGUUGUGCUGGGCAUGUUGUAGAUAUCGCAUCUGUGGUCAAUGCUUUUUGCAUGUUAUAUUUUCAACUUCCAUUCAUUCAUUUUUUUGCAUCCCAUUUUUGCCUGGAUCGCCCUUUCGGGUUUUCAAUCCACCGGGGAAAUAAAUUCUUUUCAAUGCCCCAUUUUUGCCUGAACUGCCCUUUCGGGGUGUCAAUCCAGCGAGGUGCUCAUUUUUGCCUAAGCCGCCCUUUCGGGUUUUCAACUUAGCGAGCUCAUUCAUUUUCAUGCAUUUUCAUUCUGUUUUUUCAUUCUUGCCAUUGACCACAGAUUAUCUUGGAGGAGAACCUGCUUGUAACACAUAUUGAAAUAGACACCAACAUACUCUCGCUCAUGCAUGUUUCAUUUGAAUGUACCCUGUUGCUCAGGUUUGCUUUUCAAAAUAGACAAAAAGUUUUCAAUUUUCAAAAAAAACGUUUGUUUCAAGCAUUGUCAUUAUCAAAAUAGAAAGAAAAUGUUUUGUAUAUAGCUUUGAAAGUAGAAGAAAAAUGGAGUUUUCAAACAAAAGCAAAGGCUCAAAUUGAUGUAUAAGAGUGGUGGUCAGCCCAAGGCAUGACUCCACGGAUUCAUAAAGCUUGGAAAAUGGUAAUUUUAUUGGUUGGUGGUACAUUGAACACAGUAAUCAUUACAUUUCCCAAAAAACUUUGAAUUCACAAGUACAGAAGCUUCAGAUGAAGAUGGUCAUUAACAGCUGCAGAUGCCCCAAGGGGGACGGUGGUUAGCCAGAUAUAGUUACUUGCCUUUUGUUUCAAUCUCAUUUUUGCAUGAACCGCCCUUCUGGGUUUUCGGCUCAUCGAGACGCUCAUUCUUGCCUGAGUUGUGUUCAAUCUCAGCGAGCUUUUCAUAUUUGUUUCUUUUGUCCCUUAUUUUUGCCUGGACCGCCCUUUCGGGUUUUCGAUCCACCGGGAAGCGCAUUUUUGCCUAGGCCGCCCUUUCGGGUUUUCGACCUACCACGCUGUUCUUUUCACAUUUCUAGGCGAAGUAUUUCUUGACUAUAUCGGCAUUCACUGGAUUUGGAAGUUCUACACCAUCCAUGUGUGUAAGGAUUAAAGCACCACCGGAGAAGGCCUUCUUGACAACAUAAGGACCUUCAUAGUUAGGCGUCCACUUGCCCCUUGGGUCGGGUUGCUGACUUAUCCUCCUUUUCAAUACAAGUUCCCCUACCUUGAAUUCUCGAGGAUGGACUUUCUUGUCAAAAGCAGUCUUCAUUCUUGCUUGAUACGACUGUCCACGAGCCAUGGCAUCCAUACGUUUUUCCUCAAUCAAGUUCAACUGAUCAUACCGGCUUUGGCACCAUUCAGCCUCGGAUAACUUUGCUUCCAUGAUCACACGGAGAGAUGGGAUCUCCACUUCCAAAGGAAGAACUGCUUCCAUACCAUAUACAAGAGAGAAAGGGGUUGCCCCGGUUGAACUGCGCACUGUAGUACGGUAGCCAUGCAGAGCAUAGGGUAACAUCUCAUGCCAGUCCUUGUAAGUAGUUACCAUCUUCUGGACAAUUCUCUUGAUAUUCUUGUUGGCGGCCUCAACUGCACCAUUCAUCUGAGGUCUAUAGGGAGAAGAGUUAUGAUGCUCAAUCUUGAAUUCUUCACAAAGAGCUUGCACCACAUUGUUGUUCAGGUUGGUACCAUUGUCAGUAAUGAUCUUGCUGGGAACACCAUAUCGGCAUAUGAUGUUGUUCUUGAUAAACUUAGCUACCACUUGCUUGGUCACAUUGGUAUAAGAUACUGCUUCAACCCACUUGGUGAAGUAGUCAAUUGCCACUAAGAUGAAACGAUGACCAUUUGAAGCCUUCGGUUCAAUUCUUCCAAUCAUGUCGAUGCCCCACAUUGAGAACGGCCACGGGGACGAAAUAACAUUGAGGGCGUGCGGAGGCACAUGGAUCUUGUCAGCAUAGAUUUGACAUUUGUGGCAUUUUCUGGCAUGCUAGUAGCAAUCAUGUUCCAUGGCCAUCCAAUAGUAACCUGCUCGUAACAACUUCCUUGACAUAGUAUGCCCUGUAGCAUGGGUCCCGAAGGUACCGUCAUGUACAUCAUGCAUUAACUGCUCUGCUUCAUGUUCAUCAACACAUCUUAACAACACCAUGUCAUAGUUUCUCUUGUACAGAAUAUCUCCAUCUAACAGGAAUCUGCUGGCCAAUCUUCUCAGGGUCUUCUUGUCUUGUUUGGAAGCAACCGGCGGAUACUCACGGCUCAGCAAGAACUGUUUGAUGUCAUAAUACCAGGGUUUAUAGUCAACCACAUUUUCACCAGCCUGAUCGAUCACAUCCCCAAUAGCAAACACAUGCGAAGGUCUUUCAAGGCGUUGCACUUUGAUAACUGGCACAUCAUUCCAAUGGUUUACUCGAAACAUGGAGGAUAGAGUAGCAAGAGCAUCAGCCAUUUGGUUCUCAUCACGAGGAAUAUGGUGUAGCUCAACCUUUGUAAAAUAUGUCAGCAAACGUCUCGCAUAAUCACGAUAAGGAAUCAACUUAGCAUGGUGGGUCUCCCAUUCACCCUUUAUCUGAUUGAUGACGAGCGCAGAAUCUCCAUAGAUGUCGAGGUGUUUGAUUCUCAUGUCAAUUGCUUCCUCGAUCCCAAAGAUACAUGCUUCAUACUCAGCCAUGUUGUUGGUACAUUCGAACAGAAUUCUGGCGGUAAAAGGGAUGUGAUGCCCCUGCGGGGAUACAAUGACUGCCCCAAUUCCUUUACCAUAAGCAUUGACAGCACCAUCAAAGACUAAACCCCACUUGCUAUUGGGAUCUGGACCUUCAUUAAUCAACGGUUCGUCGCAGUCUUUGGAUUUCAAAUACAUGAUCUCUUCAUCGGGGAAGUCGAAUUCAAUUGGUUGAUAAUCAUCAAGAGGUUGGUAAGCAAGAUGAUCGGCAAGAAUGCUACCUUUGAUUGCCUUUUGAGUUUUGAACACAAUAUCAUAUUCAGACAAAAGCAUCUGCCAGCGUGCAAUCUUUCCAGUAACAGCAGCUUUCUCAAAGAUAUACUUGAUCGGAUCCAUUCUGGAUAUCAACCAAGUUGUAUGAUUCACCAAAUAAUGACGCAGGCGUUUGGCAGCCCAAGCUAAAGCACAACAAGUCUUCUCAAGCAUUGUAUACCGAGUUUCACAAUCGGUGAACUUCUUGCUCAGAUAGUAGAUAGCAUGCUCUUUCUUUCCAGUUUCAUCUUGUUGACCAAGUACACAUCCCAUGGAUUCAUCAAACACUGCCAAAUACAUAAUCAAAGGCCUUCCUUCCACGGGUGGGACAAGGAUAGGUGGUUCCAGCAGAUAAUUCUUGAUGCUAUCAAAAGCUCCUUGGCAUUCAUCAUUCCAUACAACAGGCUGAUUCUUUCUGAGUAGCUUGAAGAUCGGCCCGCAGGUUGCUGUCAUGUGAGAUAUGAAUCGGGAGAUGUAAUUCAAACGUCCGAGGAAGCCUCUGACUUGCUUCUCUGUCUGUGGAGCUGGCAUUUCUCGGAUGGCCCGUACUUUAUCAGGAUCGACUUCAAUGCCCUUUUGGCUGACAAUGAAGCCUAAUAACUUCCCGGAUCUGACGCCGAAUGUACAUUUGUUGGGAUUCAAUCGAAGCUUGUAUUUUCUCAACCUUUCAAACAUCUUUGUCAAAUAUUCAACAUGCUGCUCCUCAUCUGUUGACUUCACAAUCAUGUCGUCCACAUAUACUUCGACUUCUUUGUGAAUCAUGUCAUGAAACAGAGUAGUCAUUCCCCUUUGGUAGGUAGCACCAGCAUUGAUUAGGCCGAACGACAUCACUUUGUAGCAGAAAGUACCCCAUGGCGUGAUAAAAGACGUCUUUUCUCUAUCUUCAGGAGACAUCUUGAUCUGAUUGUAACCGGAGAAACCGUCCAUGAAGGAGAACACCUUAGACUGAGCAGUAUUAUCAACAAGCACAUCAACAUGAGGUAACGGAAAGUUGUCUUUUGGACUGGCUUUGUUCAAGUCCCUGAAGUCAACACACAUCCUGACUUUACCAUCCUUCUUUGGCACGGGCACAAUAUUAGCAACCCAUUCAGGGUACUCAACUGUCAUGAGGAAACCCGCAUCAAUCUGCUUUUGGACCUCGCUCUUGAUCUUGAGAGCCAUAUCUGGAUGAGUCCUUCUCAAUUUCUGCCUGACGGGAGGACAUUCAGGCUUGGUGGGGAUCCGAUGCUCCACAAUCAUAGGGUCUAGACCUGGCAUAUCUUCAUAUGACCAUGCAAAAAUAUCCGGAUAUUCCCGGAGGAGCUGGAUGAUCUUACUUUUAACCUCUUCCCCUAGAGCAGCACCGAUCUUGAUUUCUCGCUUGUUCUCCUCGGUACCUAUGUUGAUAAGCUCAAUCUCUUCCUGGUGAGGCUGAAUGGCUUUCUUUUCUUGCUCGAGUAACCGAGUGAUCUCAUAUGGUAUGUCAUCACCCUCCUCAUCUUCGGCUUCAUACACAGGGAAUUCAAAAUUUGGAGGGACCGUAGGAUUACUGUGUUCAACGGGUUUAUUAUGGUUCAACCUGCAUAUAAUGAUUGGAUGAUUUUAGAAAGGGUUGUUUUUUCAUGCAGAUUUUUGAAAUUAAUAAGAAAAUACAGACUGUUUGGUUUUUUCUGGCAUUACCAUUUUUUCCAAGAAAAAGGCACUAAAAAAAAGGCAGUCGUGAAAGAAACGACAAUUUUUAUUCAUCAACGGCAAUGCCGAAACAAACACGCCCUUACAGAAAAUAUCACUCUCGCAUUGGGCAGAGCGAGAGGAUUGUUAUUUUUGAAAACAAAGCGCUAAAGCAACAAGACACGUUACUCGGAAAUAUGCAUGAUUGAAGGAAUGUCAAUGGCAUCCCAAUCUCUCGCAAUGCCUCCCGGCGUAACGAAAACAAGCCUGAGACCAGAUCCAGUUGCUUCUUCAGAGAUAGCAUUAACAAACCCAGCACUGUGGAAGACUCCCGAGGAAACCCUUGACGACGGGGAGAACCCGAGACCUUCUUUACGCUUGUUCUCACAGAGCUGUAUCACCUUGCCCCAACCGGCAGUCUGACCGUCCUGAAUAACCUUCUGAGCAUCUUUCAAUGAAGCCAUAGCAGCCCCAGCUUUCUUAGGCUCUGCACCCUCAAUGGUCAAACCUUGGAAAGCAGUCCCUUCAGCAGACCCUGCCUCAAUACAAGAGAAGGAAGACAGCUGGCUGACUAAGUAUGCCUCUUCACCAUGAACGGUAACAAGCUUUCCAUUCCUCUCAAACUUCAACUUCUGAUGUAAGGUGGAGGUUACCGCGCCCGCAUCGUGUAUCCACGGUCUUCCCAGCAGACAACUGUAGGAUGCAUUAAUGUCCAUCACUUGGAAGGUAAUCAAGAAAUUCUCAGGGCCAAUGGUUAUCGGCAAGUCUAUCUCUCCCAGCACAUUCUUUCGAGAUCCAUCAAAAGCUUUGACCAAGAAAGUACUCCUCCUCAAAGGGGUCCCUCGGUAGCUCAACUGAUCUAGAGUUGUCUUGGGCAUUACAUUGAGGGAGGAACCGGUAUCCACCAACACAUUUGAUAUCAUGUCUGAUUUACAAUUCACCGAGAUGUGCAAAGCCAAAUUGUGACUCUUUCCCGCUUCCGGCAACUCUUCUUCACUAAACCAGAGGUUGUUACAAGCAGUGAUAUUUCCCACUAUGCCACCGAAACGAUCUACCGUAACUUCGUGGUCCACAUAAGCCUGCUCCAGCACUUUCAACAAGGUAUUCCUGUGAGCCUCGGAGCUCAAGAGUAAUGACAAGACAGAUAUCUUCGAAGGAGUCUGUAGUAACUGAUCAACGAUCUUGUAGUCACUCCUCUUUAUUAUCCUCAGAAUCUCAUCUAAAUUCGAAUCCUCUAUGGAUUUGCCUGACUGGUUCACAUCUGUAGCAAUGGGUGAAACAACGGUUGGAGUUGCUUCUUCAAUUGGUGGAAUGGUCGGUGUAACUACCUUCUGCUGAAAUAACGGCGGGCGAACCUUCCCGCUUCUUAGUGCUGCAGAAGUCCCUUCGGCAAUAUUGCUUACUGUGGCAAAGGAGGCUAGAGGCACCUCUACUCCAUUUUCUAUCAUGGUAGCAUUGUAUUUGUAUGGAACAGCCUUGUCUGAAACAUAAGGAAUUGGUCCUGGCAACCUUAUCACCAAAGGCUCAGCAUUCUUCUUCAAAGGUAUACUCUUGACGGGCGGAUCGUGAAAAACUGGCACAAUCACGCAAACAUCACUGACAGUCAGAAAAUUAUCAUUCAUCAAGCUUUGGAUGUCGUCUUGAACAGUAUAACAACCCAAAGGAUCACGGAGGCAUCCCAGACACUUGGCAUGAUCAUGGCUGAACAGAGAAGCUUUGCACAGCUUGAUGUGUAGAGGUACCAGAGGAGUUGCGACGUUGCGGACAUCAAGUCUAGGAGCUUCCUCGCACACUUCGAUCAUAUUCACAGCGGCAUGAUUUGGAAGAGGAUUGUCGAGGACAUGUGGGACAUUAUUCUCAAAUGUCAGCUUUCCUUGAUCAAUGAGCUUCUUCACGAUAUACUUCAAAGCAUAACACCCCUCGACAUCAUGACCUAAAGCACCUUGAUGAAAAUCACAUUUGAGAUCAGACCUGAACCUUGGAGGCAACGGAUCAAGUGGGGGCUUGCCCUGUCUAGUUGUACAAUGCCCUCUCUGGAGUAAAGUUGGAAGCAAUUCAGCAUAUAACAUCGGUAUCGGAGGGAAAGUAGGUCUAGCUUGCUGAUUUUGUUGUUGUUGUUGUUGAACCGGCAUCUGUUGUUUCAUCUGUUGGGCAAUUGCAUUGACGGGUACUUGAGGUUGACCCGGUGGCAGAGGGUACUGAUGAUAAAAUGGCGGGAAGAAAGGAUGCUGAGAAUACGGCAUAUAUGGGUAUGACGGAGGCAUUUGAGCUGCAUUGAUAGGAGCAACGGUAGCCAUGGAUUGACCGGCUCCAGCUGACACCAUCCCCACUUCCGUUUCUUUCUUCUUGUGGUGUCCAUUACCAUACCUCUUCGAUGCACUCGUAGAAGAUUCAGCUUUCUCAAACACAAUAAUUCCAUCCCUGACGGCUUCCUCAAGACGGGUUCCCAUGGUGACCAUCUCCGAAAAGUUGUUCGGGGCAGCGAUGAUCAUCCUCUCAACAUAAUCUUUCUUCAAGGUCUUUAAGAAUGUCUGGGUCAUUUCUUCUUCAUCUAAAGCAGGAGUGAUACGGGCAGCUGCCCCUCUCCACCUUUGUGCAUAUUCACGGAAACUUUCCUCUUUUUUCUGAGAUAGGGACCUGAGGAACUCCCUAUUCGGCUUCAAACGAGUGUUAAACCCGUAGUGGCUCUUGAAAGCAGCGGCUAGUUCAUCAAAAGUAUGGACAUCGUCUUUGCUCAGACUAGUAUACCACUCUGCAGCAUCCUCCAUCAGACUGUCUUGGAAAUAAUGGAUCAUAAGGGAAUCAUUGUCCUUGUAGUUGCCCAUCUUCCGGACAUAUUUGACAAUAUGAUUUUGAGGACAAGUCAGCCCGUUAUACUUGUCGAACUCCGGGACUUUGAACUUCUUUGGAACAUCUACCUUCGAUACUAAGCAGAGGUCCUGGGUUUUAAUAGAGUCUCCACUUCCCCUGUUGGCCUUAAUUUCCCGUCGGAGCUCUUUGGCAAGUUCUUCCAUUCUCUCUUCCAUAGUCCCGGUUGUGGCAAUACUCUCACGGUGCGCAUUAGCAUGGACAAUUUGAGGCACCGUAUUCACAAUGGGUUCGGUAACAGUUGUUGCAGCUUGAGUCAAGGCGGUACUAACAGGAGUUAAGUUUGCCCCUGAGAUUGGGCCACUGUUGAUAGUACCAGAGGUCCCUGCCCCUGUAUUAGCAGUAUAGUACGGCGGAAGUCCGUAAGGAAAUCCGGAUGGCAUGAUAAAGCGGGGAUCAGUUGUUACAGUAGGAGUCACAUUUGCAGCUGUAGAAACUACAGGAACUGGUUGUUUCUGAGCAGCCAACAGAGCAGUCAUAGCAUCAUGAGCUUUGGCCAAUUCCUCCUUUAGAGCUGCCAAUUCGGUACGGAGCUGAGAGUUCUCUUCUUCCAUAGCCCUUUUCUUUCUUCUGUAUUCUCUGGUUCGAUCAAUUCUAUCAGGUUCGUAAACUCUCUGAGCACGAGCCACUUUUCACACUGAGGCAGAGAAACCAGGAGAUAGUGAGCACUUGGAAGCCUUUGUGACCAAUGCAUGAUGCAUAUGAUGCAUGAUAUGCAAAUGCAAAUGCGAAAGACUUAUUUUUUUCAUCGAAGGAUUUUUAAACAAAUUAGAAAUCUUGCAAAUAAACAAAAUAACAUAUUUUCAAAAGGAAGACUUUGAAACUUUAACAAGAUAAACAAAUGAAGCCCUCAAGCGUAGGAAGUAGUCGGAGCAUCAUUGGACUCGGAAUCUGAAUCACAGUAUCUGUCAAAGAAGUCUCGUCGUCCUCUGGCUCUCUUGGAAUCCCUCAUAAGCAGCUCGUCUUUCUCUUCCAAUUCCCUCCGGACCUUAGCUAGUUCCUUCUUCAACAUCAGAUUCUCAUGAGUCUUCUGCUCAUCUCUACCAUCCAAAGUCAUGAUUAGAUUCUCGGCUUGAUCGUACCGAGCUUUCCAUACUUGCUUCUCACGACUCUCCAUAGCUAGAUGCUCCUGAUACAUAUCCUGAGUCGCGGGGAGCAACGGUAGAGGCAUAGAUGGAGUAGAUGAAGACACGUAUCUCAUAGCUGGAUAAGGCAUACCAAUCUCCUCAGCUCGAUCUAUCACCCACUGAGUAUAAGCCUCAUGAGCAACACCGGAUCUCACACCUAGAUGCUUCACACUCUUCCUUCGAACCUUGGACCAAGCAUCCAUGAAAGCUUUCCUUUGUCCGGUAGGAGCAUUCGUGUAGAAGAAAAACUCUGGAGAUGUAGCAAGAUUGAUGGGCUUCGACUUCAUAGGGAAACCAAAUUGUCUCAUAGCAAGCUCGGGAUUGUAGUUGAUUCCUCCACGAGUACCAAGAAGAGGUACAUUGAGAAAGUCUCCACAACCCAUAAUGAUUUCCUUCACCUGAGCGGCCGGAGUGAGCCAUACGACCUCAUUAGGAGUAAGGGCCAUAAUCCGCUGCGAGUAGGACCAAUUCUCCGAGUUGUCAUGGAAGGAACUCGGAAGGUGCGAAAUAAACCACCUAUACAAAAGAGAUGUGCAGCAAAGAAUAUACCUACGGCCCUUGAGAGUCCUGUCAUGAAUGGCGUGGUAGGUAUCCGCUAGCAAAGUAGGAACCGGGUUCUUGGAAUGGAAGAUCUCGAUAGCAUUCAUGUCCACAAAGUUGUCGAGGUUCGGAAAGAGAAUGAGCCCGUAGAUAAGAAAAGCAAGAAUAGCCUCGAGUGUAUCCUGACGAGUAGUACCGAGAUUAGCCUGAUCAAGAAGAUACUUCGAAGUGAACCCCCGGAUGUGAGACUUGGUAAUAAGAUGGUUGGAGACGUCGGAGGUCUUGAGGUAGAGAUCCUUAGCAAUAACCAGAGGAGUAAGAGAAGUCCCGGGACCGGUGAAAGGCGUCUUCUCGGCUAUAGGUAAACCCACUAGAUUGGAGUAAGCCUCGAGAGUAGGAACCAACUGGAAGUCCGGGAAAGUGAAGCAGCGGAAGCUCGGAUCAUAAAACUGUACUAGAGUGUGCACUAGCUUCUCGUCCACAUCGGUUCGGAGCAAAGUAAGCAAUCCCCCAUACCGGAGUCGGAAACCUGUUUGACUCUUGACCUUGAGUGCCAACUCUCUCAAACUAACCAAAUCCACUUCCUUGAACUUGUAGCACUUAGUCUUCUUCAUACCUGUGAUUAUUUACAAAAAUUUCCAUUUGUUUAAGCCCUUCGAUGAAUGCAUGAAAAAAUGUUUAUGCAUGAAUGCAUGUAUGCAUGAUUGUGUUGUUUAGUUACAAUGUGGGUUGAGGUUCAAAGUAACAGGGCCACGGAUGGACACGGCGUCCGGUGAACUAAGGCUUUGGAUGGUAGUAACCAAGGUUCUAACACAGUUCCCAAACUGCAACCUCUCUCACAUAUAUCAUGGUAGUACAGGACGACACCCGUUCCAUGAUUAUUUGUGAGAAGGUCUAGUUUGAGUGUAGUAUCGCGUGACGACUAAAGUUUGAGACAACACUCAAUUUAGCCACCGCACUACGUCCUAAAAAAGGCUAGGAUGGGUUUGGCAACUACGGUUCAUAGCUUCGUCGAACAAUUGAAAGUGAAGCCUAAGCAUGACAACACACGCCGACAAUAUCACCUUCAAAAUGCCUCAGCUAUGUGAGAUUGAUCGCAUAAUUCAAUACACGAGGCAACCCCCGGAUCGAAUUGUCGAUUAUAUCUCUACCUAAACAUAAGUUCACUCAGCCCGGGUAUAGGACUUUUGAUAUUCUCACCCCACACGUUAAAUGAAAAUAAACAAGUAUUCACAUGUAAGUAAUAAAACAAAGCGUAAAUAUAAACUAAAGAAAACUAGGCGCGACCCGCUAAAAAUUUCCCCAGUGAAGUCGCCAUUUCUGUUAUCAUGGUUUUUGGGUGCCAAACCAUCAAUUGGACUUGAACCUUUUGACCGUUGAUAUCUCUUUUUUUCUUGGGAAGGGUAAAAGGAGAAAAACCCUUGAGUUUCCGGAUUCGGGGGUCGUUUUCGCUACGGGAAGGUGUUAGGCACCCGGAGCGAUUAUGAUAUUCCAUAAGAACCGCUCUCCUUAGUUUAUUUCUACACUUUAGUUUUAUUGCUUAUUUGUAAAAAAGGAAGGUAUGAUUAGUUAAGAACGGAGGUGAGAAGAAGUAGAAUUUGAUUUUAUUUCGGCUUGGAUGAGUUUUGACUCAUUGCCUACGUACCCUUUUAAGGGAUCAAAACCGUUCGUAGUUCUUGCUCAAAAAAUGGUUUUUUUUGUUUUUGUUGGUUGAUUUUAAGUUUGAAAAGAGAUUUUGAAGAAUAGAGACGAGAGGCCUCAAGGGCAUAAGGUUUGGAAAGUGUGAGGUGGAUUUAGUCAUUUUGCAAAAAUAAAGUCCAAGAAGGAUUAAGAUUCAUUAAAAGUUUUACUUAAGAAAAUAAAGGGAAAAUAAGGAGUUUUGACUCCAUUUUAUUUUCAAAAAAAAGGUUUUCAAGUGAGAUUAUUUGCAUGUUUUUUUUGGAAAAAAGUUGGAUUUUUAUCUAAGUGUUUAAACCUAAGCGCUUAUCUAACCAUACAAUCCUAUGCAUACAUCUAAGGUGAGUGUGUGCGUGUCGGUGCGUCAUAGUGUCCAUAGUCCAUAUUACAAAAAUUGCCUAAAUACAUUCUAUGGCCCCUUUGCCAAGCUACAAACCAAUGAUAACAAAUUACAUUACCAAAUGAAUUAAAACUUGCAAAAAAAUAAAUGCUAAGCUAAAGAAAGUGGAGAGGGUGGUGGAAUGCUAUGAAACGUAUGGCACAUGAGAUGAAAUGGUUAGUAAUCAUAAAGCACACAAUAGUAGGAAGUAAUUAAAAGGAAAUGCAUAAAGAUGGCAAAGAAAAAGUAAUAAAGUGGUAAUAAACCUAAAAAACAUUUGAUAUGAUACCUAAAGAUGCUAGUGACCCAUAAUCAUCACAUCAUGGCAAUUUAGAAAGAAAUUUUGUUUCAAGCCAUGACAUGCAAUUAAUGGAGGCAUAUGCAUGCAAAAUAUCACACCAAGUUCAUAGAGAAUUUUGCCACUUUAUUCCUUAAGACUAAACUUGUUGCUUGCAAAACAAGAAAUUCAUAAAAUUAUAUUCAAAAACAGCAAACAAAAACACAUUUCCAGAGGCAUAUUCAUCACCAUAUUAGGCAUCCUUUAUCCAUGUCAUAAUAUCAAAAUGUCAAGAACAAAACAUAGCAAAAUGCAUACCAAAAGUGUAAAAACACGUGGAAUUAGUUCAUGCCAUUUUAACAUUUUUUUUUAUGCAAGAAACACCAUAGGAAUACCAAAAAUGUAUCAAGAAAACACUAGGAUUUUUUAGGAUUUGUUUUUAUAAAAAGAUGAGCAAGCAACAGGUGUGAAUAGCAAAAGAGCAGUGUGAAUAGCACAAAAAAUAGCAGAAAACGCAGAAAACCAAAAGAAACAAGCCCAAGCCCAACCUAAAAGAUCCGGAUGCAUGGGAUCCACACGAUUGAUCCAGGAUUCAAAAACCCUAGAUCAAACGGCCAGGAAUCAAAGGAGAUGGACCGGACUGGACCGGUCCGGUUCGCUGGCCUAUAAAAGUGGAGGAACACCGGUUUUUUCAUUUCUCUACUUCCCUUUCUCUCUCUAAGUUCUUCCCUCUUCUCUCAUCUCUCACUUCUCUCUAGAAACCUCACCGCCGGUGAGGAUGAAGCUACGGCGGAGACCUUGAAGGUCCGCCGGAAACUUCAUCUUCUCCGGCGAGACUAUGAACUCCGGUGACCUAAAAUUUCCAGAACUUAAAGAUUUUUGUAUUUUCUGGUUCGUCCUUUAACCCUAAACACGAAUCCAGCAGUUGUUUUUUCAAAUACGGUUUGAAACGACGUAGAUCUAAAAAGUUCCGUACGGUUUUGAAACUGAUUUUUGAUUUUUUGAAAGGAAAUGUUUAGGUCGUUAAAGAUCUACAUCGUUUCGUUGUUCGCUGCUCUUCUUUGAUGUUUGUUCUUGCUUUCAAAACUUAGAUCCUUAUGGAUCUAGGUUUUGUGUUUACGGUUACGGUUUCGUCUUUGAGUUCUGGAAAUUUUGGAUCUGUUGCUUGCGUGAUAUUUUUUUAGGUUUAACAGUGAUAUUACUUUUGAGAAAAGAUUCUGAGUUUUACCUAAGGUUUUGGUUGAAACCUUUAAUGGAGGAAAUCUUUGGAAAAACUUGAAUGCUCUUGAUGAUUUUGAUUCUUCUGCUUGCUUUUGGACCGAAAAUAAAUCGGUGAUUCUCCUUUUCUCACUGAUUCCGUUUCUUCAUCUUCUUCGCCGGUUUAGAACUUUGCUUCUUUCCUUCUUCUUUUCACGCUCUGUGAUCAACGCUUGAGCUUGCUUCAAUGCGAGCUCGCGUUUGGAAUUGCAGAGAAUGAUCAAUUCGAUGAUGAAGAUUCAACAGAAUCUCUGAGAAUUGAUCCAAAAAACUGUUGAUUCUGAUGAAUUUUGAUUUCUGGAAAACGGUUAGGGUUUUGUGUUCUUGGUGUUCUUGAGAGAUUCUGAGAAACUUUUCUGUUUUGAUUCACUUGCUGAGAAAGAGGAAAUUGGAUUUGUGUUUAUGAGUUGGCGUGUGAUUCAUGGCUCUGAGUGGCACUGUACACCUUUUAUAGCAUGACAUGUGUGCAUUGGAACCAAUAAGAAAAGGACACCUGGACUUUGAAAAAAAAGGCACGGCCUUGGCAAAUUUGGCUUCUGGACCUUUCUGCAAAAACAAAGAAUUUGAGGACUAAACUGCAAAAUUAAUUAAAAGGCUUGAAAUGAAAUUAAAAAAACUGUUUGGACAAAAUGCAAUUUUGGGACCUCAAUUGAGGGACCAAAACGCAAUUAAAAAUAAAAUUGAGUAAAAAACGUAAUUUGACCAAACGUAAAGCGAAACAAAAAUAAAAUUGACAAAACGGACUAAAACGAACCAAUGACCUAAAUGAGGUACUUCAAAGUAACCUCUCUAUGCCAAAAUUUUGUGUGAAAUGACCAAAAUGCCCCUAGGGCUAAAAUUGACCUAAACAGAUUGAAAUGGACUUAACACUGACUCAGACGCAAGUUUGAAAUGAAUUUUAACAAGGUUUACUGAUGAAGUGUUUAAAAAUAAUCUGAAAAGAUUCAGAGACAGUCACAAGGAUGAAAAUGGGUCCCACUGCAGGAAAUGACCAAAAUACCCUUCUGUAUGACUUUUUGCAAAUUUUGAAAUAAACUGUGGAAAAAGCAAUGUAAUGAUUCAGAGACACUUUUGAAUGACUUACAAGACAAGUAAAGACAUUUCAAAAGGUUUUAUGCAAGAAAAACAUAGGUAAAAUUGUGAUUGAAAAUACUGCGAGGCAGAGACAAUUUGAACUGUGCAGUUGAAAUUUGAUAAUUGACAAAGUUUGAAAUGAAAUUGGGCCCAGUAUUUUUAGGUCCAAAAACAGGGUAUAACACAUCCAAUUGUAAGUUUUAAGACAUUCUUUCUACAUAUUGAACGAUAUUCAUAAAAAUUAUUAUUCAUCAACACAUCAUAUUUUGAGUAACUACAAAAACCAGUGUGUUUCAUUUCAUUGGAUCGAUGCACCUAAAAUUGGGGGAAAGAAAAAAUAAAUGGCAUUGGAUGAAACAAGUUUCAUUGUACUACAUUCCAUUUUAUUUUAUUUUUUUACGAAACCAAACAAUGAAAUAUGGUUUUAUCUUGCUCCAUUCUACUCCGCCAUUUUCCAUCAAUACAAACAUUGUAUAAGACUUUGUUUACAAGUUUGGAGGAGAAUGUAGCUUUCAAAAAAUUAUAAGUCAUUUUUAGAAGAAAACAAUUGUCAUAAAUUAUAAGUCACUUUACAAUGUUAAUGAAUUAAUGUUAUUUUCGUUUCGAUUAUACCCUUAACUGGUUUUUUUUUUUUUUCUUUUCAAAUUCUUUAAAUUAAUUUUCCGAUAUAUUUUUUUUUAAAUAUAAAUAUAUUAUCAAAAUAUAGAUUUGUCAUGACCCACCACAAUUUAGUAACAAGGCUCUUCAAACUAAAUCAUGACCGUCGGUGGGUUUUCUUUAGACUUGGAAUUAUAUUACAAAUGUGAAAGUGAGACCAAUAAUUGAAUUGCUUUAUAUCAACAAUGAUGACGAGCUAGCUGUAAAGAUUGUCAAUAAUGGAAACAUCACUUUAUACUACAGUGUUGAACAAGAUUAAAACAAGAUAUUGAAAUUAUUGUUUAGAUGUGUCUAGAAAGCGACCUGAAUCUUGCAACUCAAUGCAGUUGAUCAGAUCAGUCCAAGCUUUCACUGCCGUAAAUCAAAAUCAAACCCAUCAUAGUUGAGGAAUUACAAUUGUGGAAACUCAGCUCACCUCGAGUAUAAUUGGGGUGUGUUUGUUUCAAGUUAUAAUUGUUGAUUCUCGGGAAUAAAAUGAUAGGAAUGUAUAUGCCUAUGUUUGUUAUAAGUUUACUAAAUUUUAUUCCCGGGUAUAAAAUGUUCCUCGGAAUAUAAAAAAUUUCCCAAGGAAAAGGGUGGGAAUAAAGUUCCCAUGAAGAUGGGAAUAAAUUCAUAAAUAGUUUACAUAUUAUAAUCCCUAUUUUUAUGGUUCUUAGGAAUAUUAUAAAGCUAACCAAACAUAUUUUUCCUAAAUUCCUUGGAAUAAAAUUCUCAUAUUUAUAUUCCAAGGAAUGUUAAUCCUAAAAAUAAAUUUGGUAAACUUGAAACAAACAUUUGUGAUUGUACAAACCAUCCAAAGACUUGUAAAUUUAAUAUUAUGUUUCCUAAAAUGUCUUAUAUAUAUAUAUCACAUUGUUCUUUUAAUUUUUUUUCUUUCUUUCUGAAAUAUCAAAUAUAAUAUCAAAAUAUUGAUUUUUACCUCCAAAGUCUUUUCUUCCAAAAUUCAACUCGCAAAACUUCUAAAACUCAAUAUUUAACUUUUCAAUUAUUGCAUCAUUUUUUUAUUGUAUGAAUCCAUGUGUAUUGUUUUUAGAUUUCCAAAGUGUUGUAUUUUGGUUUUCUAAAUUCUAUUUUGAAAGAGAAUAUCUAUCGAAAUUGUUACUAGGUUGAGUCACGACCAGGUUGCUCUUUUAAGACAUUUCGUGGCACUGCUUAAAAUUGUGCAAGACAGACUAUUAACCACACUGCCUCCAGGAUUAAAAACAAGUUCAACUACAAUUGUGCGGUCAACUACUGACUACAAUUGUGCGGUCAACUACUGACUGUAGAAAACAGUUCGAGUAUUACACCUCCAAUAUGGUAUUAAGACAACUCUUUUAAUAUUGAAACUCAUAUGGUACUGUGACCACUCUAUUAUAGUGUUGAAACCACUCAAAUAUGGUGUUACCACCAUUCUAAUUUUUAACUUCUCCAACAAUGGUACUAUGAUCACUCAAAUACAAUGUUACUACCAUUCUAAUUUCUUCAAGAAUUGAAGAAGAAUAUAUUUUUAAGCUCAUUCUUAUUAUACCGAAAGUGGACUAUGAUCUUAAGAUAUUAUUUAUUCUUAAGAGACAUAAUUAAUUGAAAGGACUAUGCUCUUAAGACCAUUCUUAAUUCCGAAAUGACAAUAUACCGAAAAAGGAUUGUGAUCUUAAGAACACUUUUAAUAUCGAAAUGACAGGAAAAAUAAAUAAAUAAGGAGAAGAAUAACUCGUUAACACAAGCUGGAGGGAGAAGAGAGAAAGAGUUCUCGACAAAGGGGUGGGAAUAGGUCAAACUAGGCUUUGAUAGGUCUAAGCUUGGCUUACAAAAAAUUUUGCAAGUCUGAGUCUGGUCUAUGGCCUUUCAGCCUAUAUUUUUGGCUUGAUCUAGCCUAUUUAAAAGUCUGCCUAGCUUAAAAACCUAUUUACAGGUCUACUUCAUAUUAAAGUCAUUAAAUAUUCAACCUAUUUAAGUAUAAGGCCUCAAAGCCUAUUUAAAAAGUGCAUUAUUUGAGUUUUUUUUCUUGAUUUUUAUGUUUAAUAUAAAUUAUAUUUUAAUAUAAAUAAAAAAUAAAUUUUAAUAAUAUGCAUAAAUAAAGCCUAAGCCUAGCCUUUUUCGUAAACAGGUCAGGCUUAAACCGGAAAAUUCACAACUAACUUGCGAACUUCUAAUAAUGAUUAAAUUAAUUAUUUAAUAUUUAAUUUAACAUUUCUAAAUAAUAAAAUAUAUAUUUUUUCAACAGUGCUUACUUCAUUUACAUAAUUUUGCACCCCCUUUAAAGGUACACCUUAUUAUAUAAGGACUACUAAUUUAUGUGUCCCAUUUAAUGUGAGACUUUCACUUUUUUCAAUUCACACAACAUUGGUUCUACCCAACAUAAAAUUUUGUGUUUAAUCUUUUAACUCAAUUUUCACACAUGUUUCAACAAUGUGCCACCAAAUAUUUUCUUGACCCACCACACUUUAGCUAGCUAAAUCAUUGCAAACGUGAAAGUGAGACCAAUAAUGACUAGCUAGCUGUAAAUAUUCUCAAUUCUCAAUAUUCUUAUGAUGCUAGCGACUGCAAAUUGGAAAACCAAUAAAUAACAAUAUCAUUUUACUUGAUCAAGUUUGGUUGAUUCCUGCACACUUCAAAGAUAAAGUAAGUUUUCUAAAAUUGUUGGAAAGAUUGUCUAGUUGUUGAACCAAAAUUAAGCCUCCUAUGUAUAUUUCUACAGCAGAGUUGCUCAGACGGCUUGAACAUUUGCUGAAAGUGUGCUGGAGUUAUGGUAACCAACAAACAAUCAUGUUUUAACAAUUUUCAGUCGAUAUCAAUUGGUCUCAGGUAAAUUGCUGAAAGUGUACUUGAGUAUGCGCUGAAUGUGCCGAAAAUACUGUGUUGGAAAGAUCAGGUAAAUAUCAAUUUCAUUUUGCUUCAUCAUUCAUUCAAAUAUAAAGUAGGUUUUCUGAAAUUGUUGGAAAGAUUGUCUAGUUGUUGAACCAAAGUAUAUUUCUACAGCAGAGUUUCAAUGAACGCUUGAACAUUUGCUGAAAGUGCUGGAGAUAAGGUAACCAACAAACAAUCAUACUUUAACAAUUUUCAGUCAAUAUUUUAAUUAAUUGUUUACAAAGGUUUAUAAAUCAACUAGAGAAACCAACUCGAGUUGAUAAGGUAGAAUCAAACAUAGUCUAUAAGGAAUUUUUUGCAGUGAAUAUUACUCCUAAUUCUCUAAAUUCUAGCUGCUGCCUGCUGUCGAGAAAGAAAAAUAUUGUUAAAAAGUACGUCCUUACAACAGUAACACAAUUGAGGUAGAAAAUAAUCUCAUGGUUGUUUUUCUUUUAUCACUUCCUCAGAUUUUCUAUUUGUAUAUGAUUUCCAAUUUUGGUCUUCACUCUACUUUUCUACAUGGUCCUUUUUUCAUGACUUGUUUAUCAUUUUCAAAGAUAAAUUGGGUAUUCAGAGAUUGGCUUAAAGGAUCUUAAACUUUAAUAUUGGAUGAACUCCCAUUUGAACUUUCUCAAAUAUUUGUUUGAACAAGCUAAGAAAAUUCUUUGAUGAAAAGUGUGUCAUCAACUAUCAUUUUUCAAAUUAACAGACCCUGAAUGAAGAAAAUCUUCUUACAAUAAAAGAACAUGAAUGAUAUGCUAUGAGAAUGAGAUUCAUUAUCAACCAUUGUAUUUUUCAACAUACACAAACAUAUGUCUAACUUUGAUGUAUUGAAAUUCAUUUAGAUGGCGAGUUUUCUAACUGAUUUGGCGAAGACCUAUGUGGAGAAAUUGAUAAAUGGGGUGAUCGCAGAGUCAAGUUAUAUAUGUUGCUUCACGUGCAUUGCUAAUGAUUUUGAAGAAGAAAGAUCUAGAUUGGAAAUAGAAAGCACAACAGUUAAGCAACGUGUUCAUGUGGCAACCAGUAGAGGAGAAGUUAUUCAAGCUAAUGCUCUUUUUUGGGAAAAAGAAGCUGAUGAGCUCAUUCAAGAAGACACCAAAACAAAACAAAAAUGUCUUUUUGGAUUUUGUCCUCAUAUCAUAUGGCGAUAUAAAAAGGGAAAGGAACUGACAAAUAAGAAGGAGCAAAUUAAAAGAUUGAUUGAAAAUGGAAAGGAUCUUGUAAUUGGACUCCCUGCUCCUCUUCCAGAUGUUGAACGUUAUUCAUCCAGAGACUAUAUUUCUUUUGAAAGUAGAAAAUCCAAAUACAAAGAGCUUUUUGAUGCUCUGAAAGAUGACAACAGUUAUAUAACCGGGUUGCAAGGGAUGGGGGGCACAGGAAAAACUACAAUGGCCAAAGAAGUGGGGAAGGAACUUAAGCAAUUCAAACAAUUUACUUACGUCAUCGAUACAACAGUGUCAUUGUCUCCUGAUAUCAGAAAGAUUCAAGAUGAUAUCGCUGGACCCUUGGGAUUGAAAUUUGACGACUGUGGUGAAUCAGACCGACCCAAAAAACUAUGGAGCAGAUUAACCAAUAGAGGUAAGAUUGAUCAGAACGAGGAAAAGAAGAUUCUUCUAAUAUUGGAUGAUGUGUGGGAUGUUAUCGAUUUUGAUAAAAUAGGGAUUCCUGACAAUCACAAAGACUGUAGAAUUCUUGUAACCACGCGCAAUCUCUAUGUCUGCAACAGAUUAGGAUGCAAUAAGACAAUCCAACUGGAGGUCUUAUCUGAUGAAGAAGCAUGGACCAUGUUCCAAAGGCAUGCUGGUCUAAAAGAAAUGUCACCUGCAAGUUUGCUCGACAAGGGCCGCAAAAUUGCAAAUGAAUGCAAAGGAUUACCGGUUGCAAUUGUUGUUAUCGCCAGUAGUUUGAAGGGCAUACAAAAUCCGAAAGUGUGGGAUGGAGCCUUAAAAUCCUUGCAAAAACCCAUGCACGGUGUUGAUGAGGAAGUUGUUAAAAUUUAUAAAUGCUUGCAUGUUAGCUAUGAUAAUAUGAAGAAUGAGAAUGCCAUGAGACUAUUCCUCUUGUGUUCUGUAUUUCGAGAAGAUGAAAAAAUUUAUACCAAAAGGUUAACCAGACUUGGCAUCGGAGGAGGCCUUUUUGGGGACGAUUUUGACAGCUAUGAUGAUGCUCGAAACCAAGUUGUUAUAUCCACAAAUAAACUCCUAGAAUUUUGUUUAUUGUUGGAGGCCGGUCGAGAUCAAAGCAUCCUGAGAAUGCAUGACUUGGUUCGUGAUGCUGCCCAAUGGACGAGCAGAGAGUUUCAAAGAGUAAAGUUAUAUGAUAAAUAUCAAAAAGCAAGGGUUGAAAGGGAGAUGAAUAUUAAAUAUUUAUUAUGUGAAGGCAAGCCUAAGGAUGUGUUUUCCUUUAAGCUUGAUGGUUCCAAGCUUGAGAUUCUAAUUGUCAUUAUGCAUAAGGAUGAAGAUUGUCAGAAUGUGAAAAUCGAAGUCCCGAACUCAUUCUUUGAAAAUAUUACGGGCCUUCGAGUUUUUCAUCUAAUAUAUGACCAUUAUCCUAAUAUAUCUCUAUCAUUACCUCACUCAGUUCAGUCGAUGAAAAAUAUUCGAUCUCUUCUCUUUGAGCGUGUCAAUUUGGGUGACAUCUCUAUUUUGGGAAACCUGCAAAGCCUUGAGACUCUUGAUUUGGAUGAUUGUAAAAUUGAUGAAUUGCCUCAUGGAAUCGCAAAACUAGAGAAACUGAAAUUAUUGAACUUGAAUAAUUGAAGAAUUGCAAGGAAUAAUCCUUUUGAAGUGAUUGAAGGAUGCUCAUCACUUGAAGAGUUGUAUUUCACAGGUAGCUUUAAUGAUUUUUGCAAAGAAAUAACUUUCCCUAAACUACGAAGGUUUAAUAUUGAUGAAUAUUCAAGUUCAGUGGACGAAUCAUCAUCAAAGUGUGUGUCUGUUUUAUUCAAAGAUAAGUUUUUCCUAACUGAAAGAACACUCAAGUAUUGUAUGCAAGAAGCAGAGGUUCUUGCACUAAGAAGAAUCGAGGGGGAAUGGAAAAACAUCAUACCUGAGAUUGUUCCCAUGGAUCAAGGUAUGAAUGAUAUAGUUGAGCUUCGUUUGGGAUCCAUUUCACAAUUACAGUGCCUCAUUGACACUAAGCACACUGAAUCUCAAGUGUCAAAAGUCUUCUCCAAGUUGGUUGUACUAGAACUUUGGAACCAAGAUAAUUUGGAAGAAUUGUUCAAUGGUCCUCUUUCCUUUGACUCUCUGAAAAGUUUAAAGGAGUUGUCCAUCAGUGAUUGUAAACAUUUGAAAAGCUUAUUUAAGUGCAACCUAAACCUAUUCAAUCUAAAGAGUGUGUUAUUGAAAGGAUGCCCGAUGUUGAUCUCCCUAUUACAACUGUCAACUGCUGUUAGCCUAGUGUUGUUGGAGACGCUGGAAAUAAUUGACUGUGAGCUUCUUGAAAACAUAAUAAUAGAUGAAAGAAAAGGGCAGGAAUCGAGAGGUGAAAUAGUCGAUGAUAAUGAUAACACAAGUCAUGGCUCAAUGUUUCAGAAAUUGAAAGUUCUUAGUAUUAAGAAGUGUCCAAGAAUCGAAUUAAUACUUCCGUUUCACUCUCCUCAUGAUCUUCCAACACUAGAAUCCAUCACAAUUAAAAGUUGUGAUAAGCUGCAGUACAUAUUUGGCAAAGAUGUCAAACUUGGUUCCCUCAAAAAAAUGAUGCUUGAUGGCAUACCGAAUUUGAUCCAUAUUUUCCCAGAAUGUAACCGUACCAUGGCUUCGCCCAUUAAGAAGACAUCUUCCAAGCCAGAAGAUCAAUCAAAGUCAAUCAAAUGCAAUAUGUUUUCAUGGACUGAUAUAUAUUGUUGUGGUAAAAAAUAUGGUAACACAAGUACUAAAAUCCCAUUGGUUUCUGAGUCUAAGGAUCAACAACAGGACAACUUAAUGGUAACCCUCUCACUUUAUAUUCCAUGAUAUUUUUUAUAUUUUUUUUUAUAGGAAACUGUUGGUACAUUUUAUUAUUUGAAAAAACUAUUUUUUUAAGGAAAACAAAACUACUAAUAUAAUAGCAAAUUACUAAAUACCAAAAAGUGUUCACUUUUUUUUGUGGUGUCCGGGAUUCAAACCCCAGACCUUGCAUAUAUUAUGCAUUGUCCUUACCAUUUGAACUAAGCUCACGAGGACCAAAAAAGUGUUCACUAAUACAAUAUAAUAAUGUACCCAUUUUUUCGUAUCAAUUAAUAGUAUAACAAGUAUAAUAUUAUUUCAAGUAUUUAAGAGCAUCUCCAAUGGGAGGUUCUUACUUAACAAGGAUCACUCCCUAUUAAAGACCCCCCAUUGGAGGAAGAAAAAAUGAGUUCUUAUUAAGGAACGGGUCACUAUAUAAAGACUCUUUCUCUCCUAAGCAACUAAUGGGUUCCACGUUUAAAAUAAAUAAUAAUAUAUGUAUUACUUGGUCCCACUUGCAAAAGAAAUAAUAUUUUAAGAAUUGGUCCCACUUGCAAUAUAAAUAAUUUUUUUCUUUUAAUGAUGUAAAGUUAGUGAGACUUAUUUAAGUAAUUUUUAUGGGAGUCCUUGUUAGUGUAUUACCAUUGGAGUCAUCGGGUCUUUAAUAGAUACUUUUAUUAAAAAAAUUAUAAAUAAGUGAUGUGUACAUGCGGGAUCCAUUUAAGGAGUCCCUAUUAAAGAUUACCAUUGUAGAUGCUCUAAUAGCUUUGGUGCAUUAAGUUAAUUAUAGAUAAAUGUAAGUCGGUCUGUAAAUUAAAUAUCAAUGUUAAUUUAAUUAAAUAAUGUAGUACUUUCUUUUGGUUACAUUCUAAUAUAAUAAUUUAUAAUCCAUAGCCAUUUGUUGCAGGAAUUGAGUGGGAAUGUGGACCAUUUUCUCUCUUUGGAGAGACUCAUAGUAAAGAAUAACUCCAAAGUAGAAAGUAUCAUUUGUAUAAAUGAAAUAAAUGAACAGCAAAUGAACUUAGCUUUGAAAGACAUUGAUUUGGAUGUUUUGCCUGCGAUGACAUGCCUUUUUGUGGGUCCAAAAAAUUUGUUUUUCCUCCAAAACCUUACCCAUUUAAAGAUCAUGCGAUGUGAAAAAUUGAAAAUUGUUUUCUCCACUUCUAUAAUAAGGUAUCUACCACAGUUGCUUAUCUUGAGAAUUGAAGAAUGCAAAGAAUUGAAGCAUAUAAUUGAAGAUGAUUUGGAGAAUAAAAAAUCCUCAAAUUUUAUGUCCACAACAAAGACAUGCUUCCCAAAGUUAAAAAUGGUUGUUGUAGUAAAGUGCAACAAGUUGAAAUAUGUCUUUCCAAUCUCCGUAUGUAAAGAGCUUCCUGAGCUAUAUUAUCUGAUCAUAAGAGAAGCAGACGAGUUAGAGGAAAUAUUUGUAAGUGAAGGUGAUGAUCACAAAGUGGAGAUUCCAAAUCUGAAAGUUGUAAUAUUUGAAAAUCUACCAAGCCUCAAUCAUGCCCAGGGAAUUCAAUUUCAAGAUGUAAAACAUCGUUUCAUACAGAAUUGUCAAAAACUCUCUCUGACUUCAGCAAUAACCGCAGACUUUAAAAAGGAUCUUUCCGGUUUAUAUAUUAACAUCUACGGUAACAUCUACGGUACACACUUCUUCAAAAAAAACAUCUACAGUACACAUUCUAUCCAAUAUUUUUUUAAAUUAUUACAUGUUGGCAGGGCCGUCCCUGUGAAAUAGGAGGCUCGGCUCUCUUUUUAAAAUAGGCCCCUAGUAAAAUAAAAUAUAAUUUUUUUUUGUGUAGCUAAAUUUCAUUAAAAGAAAUCAAAAUCAGAAGAACUUCUAAACAUGAAAGGAAUUAAAAAAAAUUAAGUGAAAGAGGUGAAAUUUAUCUAACGGCGUCGUUUGAACUUGUCACUCCUCUGUUGUGGAAAAUGGUAAAACGAAUGGUUUAUGCGAAGAAAAAAUGAUUGUUGUGAUUCUUUCAAUGAAAUAGCUUUCCAAAUUGACUGAUUAAGUGAUUAUACAAAUUAAGGGUGAUUUGAUAGGAUCUGAUUUAUGUACAAAAAGGAGAACUAGAGUCUAGAAAAAAUCUCAAAUGUGUACUAAAGAAAGAAAAUGAUAUAACAUAUAUAUUUUUUAGUUAAAUGGGGGGUGGGUAUUAUAUUUAAUUUUUCGUUAAAGGCCCGUAACAUUUGAAGGCCCGAUCUGGUUGAGCACCUUGCACACCCUCAAAGCCUGGCCUACAUGUUGGUUGUAAAAUAUUACAUACCAUUUGUUUAAAGGAUAUAUAAACAACUGAAUCUUCUAAAGUAGCGAUAUAAGGUAUGCUGUGUGCAUGCAUAAGUAUUUCUAAAAUGUAAGGGCUCAUGUAGUGACCUAUCUAAUAUAAGCUUUAAUUUUAUGUAAAAUUUAAUUAUUAUAUAGAUAGAUAAACAAUGGGCUUAAAUGCACUUUUCAUCGCCUAAUUGUUUACAAAAAUAGCGAUUUUGACCCUUUUUAAAAAAAUGGCAAAAGUGAUCCAUGUUUACCCCUUUUGCAAACCUCAAUUCUGACUUUGUCAACCGUAGGUGGCCUGUGUAUUUUUUUUUUUAUUUUUUUUUAUUUUUUUUAAUUGGCAAUUCCACGCGUUUAUUAAAUGAAAUUAAAAAAAAACAGAUUGGAAGAAAAAUAGAGAAGGCACGUGCAAGCUCUCAUCAAUUAUUUCUCUUCAUCAAUUUUUCAUGUGUUCUUCCCCAAAACUUUGAUCUUCAUGUUUAUGUGUUCUUCCCCGAAAUCCAAAUCUAAAAAACAACUUACCAUCAUCAAUUGUUUGGUCCUAAAAAAAAUCAUUCUCGUUAAUAUUAGAAUAUAGUGAGAAUAAACUAGAGUUACUUAGUGGUAACUAUAGUAGAAAGUUAGUUAGAGAGUUAGUUACUCCAAGUCACUAUAAAUAAGCUACACCUAUGUACUAUUUCACCAUCUUUUAUUCAAUUGCAUCUUUGUGAUGACUCCUAGAGAGAACUACACAAUUUACCUUUCCAUUGCAUUUGAUCUAGAACCAUGGAAUCCUUUGAUUCAUAACAAUUAACACUCAAAUAUUCAAACUCGUGACUUUCAUCACAAAUUUAUUAACUUGCCAACAACCUUGAGAAAAACUACCAUAGUCUCCGAGGUUCAUCUACGAACAUGAGAACGAAAUUUGGAAAAACAACCAUCUCCAACCCAAACCCAACAUACAAACACAUAUCUGUUCCCAAAACCUUGAAAUACAACCUUCAAUUGAAACUCAUAAAAUUAAAUAGAUAAAAAACUGGGAAAAAAAAAAAGUGGAAUCAAUUUGAUGGGUUGAAGUUUUGUGUUUGAAACUAGAAGAUGAUUCAUAAUGGAUCUGCGAAAAAAAUUAAAUUAGAACAAGGAGAGUGGAAUUUUUAUGUUUGAAUUCAUUUGGUUUGAUUAUCAUUGGGUGAUGCUUCAGCUUCUGUGGAUUGUCGUGGUGCUAAUGGUGGUGGUGAUGGUGAUGAGAAGAAAAAGAAGAAGGUUGUUGGAUAGUUCUUCGUGCAAAAGGGGGUAAACAUGGGGUUACUUUUGCCAUUUUUUUGAAAAGGAGUCAAAAUUGUUAUUUUUGCAAACUUACGGGUUAAAUAGUGCGUUUAAGCCUAAACAAUAUUGUGCAUCUUUAAACAUAAAAAUGAUGAUUUUAUUAUUCUCUAUAUAAUGAUGUUAAUCUCUAUAUUAUUUCGCUGUAGAUCCUGAAUUGUGUAAGUAUUUCGUGUUUCUGUUUGUACAACAAUUAAAAAAAAAGACCAAAGGCAACAAUAGUCGUAAUGAAAAUCCAGAAACCUCAAAAAAAAUUGCCGUUGGGGUUGAAGUUAAAGCAUCAUCAGAACAUGGGCUGACUUCUCCAAAGGUCAAUACCAAUCUAUUGAUUCAAGCUUACCACACCAGAAUUUUAAUGGAUGUAAUUACUAAUUAAUAGCUUAAGAUCAUUAAUGCUUAUGUUCUUGUUACAGGAGUUGAUGAAUGAACAAUCAAUGGACCAACAACGUUCACUUGGAGAAACUGAUACUUCCGUCAAACCUUCUCAGGUAAAUCGUGUAAAAACCAAGAUUACAAAAGAAUGAGCCACCUAUACAAUUAAUUACACCUAUUGGACCCACCACCAUUUAUAUCCGUAAAUUACUCUUUAGCACUAUCACAAUCACUCUUUUAUGCAAGUGUCAUUGGUUGAGCAACACUUAAGUGUUGUUCUCCUACCCAUCGGCAAUUAAAUGUUGUUAGAUCGGUUCAAUCACUUUUUAAAUCGGUUAAAAAGUAUCUGAAUGACAGUUAACUACCGUUAGGGGGUAAAUGAAUAAUUUUGGAGCCUGAUAGCAAUUUUAGAAGCCUAAAGAGCAAUUGUCUUUAUAUCCUUGCACCAAGUCCAACAUUUUAUGAAUUUGUUUUAGGUCCAACCAAGAUUUUAAAAAAGCUAAAAGUGAAAUACUAAAAGAAAAAGAUUUUAUUUCAAGUGCUUCUUAUAAAUAUAUGGAUUGUGGAACUAACUAAUUUACAUUUUUAUGAUAUGCAAUUAGUUGGAGGGUUCUACUACAUCAGAAAAAAAAUGUAGCAAAAACGUGUUCCACCAAUUCACCAACAAAAAAUGAGCCACCUAUACAAGUAGUUACUCCUUCUUAGUAUUCAUUUUGACACUUUGUCAAUGCAGGAGUUGAAUUAUACUACAAUCUUAAAAAUCUUUUAAAUUUUAAGCAGGUUAGUGAAAUAAGUGUUGAAGAAGGAACUACAUCAGCUAAUGCCAAGAGAACAACAGCAUCAUCACAAGUGAGUUUAUUUUAUUUAACAUAGCCUUCAUAUUAACUUGGUCUUUUUAUUAUUAUUAUUAUUAUUAUUAUUAUUCAAUUUUCAUGGAAUUGGAUUUGUAAGAAUCAAGCUCGAAGCUAAUUUCGAUAUAUCGAGAAGAAAAAAAAUUGGAAUCUAUUUGUUGUCAAAAUUCCGAUUUAAAUCGUAAAAUUCAGGAUUUUGCGACUUUAUUCACUUUCAGUGACUCAAAUCCAUAGCAAAAUUCUCAAAUAGGCAAAAUUCUAGUAAAAUCACAUCAAAAUCGUAAAAUCCAUACAAAAUCGAAGGAUUUUAAAGGGUUUGAAGGAUUUUAUCCAUUUUUGUAUAAGUAUUUUGUGGACAAUUUAUAACAUAUGUUUAACAUUAUUUUUGUUUUGGUAAAAUAUAUUGAUUUUGAUUCCUAUUUUACAAUUUCUUAUAUCAAUUUUACAAAAGUAGUUGAGUAAAAUCCUUCGAUUUUGAUAGCGAUUUUACGAUUCUCGAUUUUACUCUACCAUUUUAACUUGAAGUAAAAUCCUAAUUUUGACAACCUUGAAUCCACAGCUUUUGAAUUUUGGAAAAGUUUUAUUUAAGAAAGUAUAAUGUUAGACAAGUUUAGACCAUUUUAUCCUUGAUUCAUUUACAAAAAAUUAAUUCAUUGAAUGCAUGCUUUGGGUUUUUGUAAGGGUACAAAAGAAAAAAUAUCAUUAAUCCAAAAAAAUAUUAAGACUUGAUGAUGAUAUCAUUUGUUUAUUUGAAUUUGUGUAGGAAUGUGGUGACUGCCAAAUAGUCAUACCUUCUCAGGAUGUUGAUAUUAACAUCAAUGAUGAUCAAGGUGAUGAAGACUCUUUAGAUCAAUUAUAUUUUCUUUAGUUACCUCAUCACUCACCCUUUUCAUUUUGAACUUUAACUCUCUUCUCUCACACCAUUUGUUCAGUUUCUGUAAAUGAUGAUGCUGUCAUAAAAGUAAAGGAACAAUUAUCUAAGGAUGUUGAAUUUAAAGUUCCAGAAUCUAUCAUUCCUUUGCCUCAAGAAUUUCAAACUCCUUCAAUGCUAUCCGGAGGUAUAGAUUUUCUCCCUUAUCUUAAAAACUUAAUUUUGUGCUAAAAAUAGGAUUAAUUAUUCUUUCCUUUACUUUCAGGAGACCCUUCUCAAAAUGUAGAAGAUUUAAGUUCUUCUUUGUUUGUCAAGAGUGAGCUUGAGCAACUAGUCUCCAAGAAUCAUUUGGAUUAUGAGAACUUAUCUCUAUUGACAGGUUUCCUUGUUAAAAAUCCUUCUGUUCGUUUAAAAGACAAUUCACUGCGUAAUAGAUUCAAGGGUUGUGCUUACAACUUAUUGGCAGAGCUAUUGAAAUUCCUUGAAACUCAUAGUGUCUUGGAUGUAUUAGGCUCAUGCCACUCUGAAUUUGUGGAUCUACUACUAGAUGCGCGCAACUUUGGUUUUGAUAAGGAUUGGUUGGAUAGUGUCGAAAGGCGGGCUAUGUUUCCUGAUAUACAAAUAUCUCAAGACGCCAUGCAAAAAUUAUUGGAUUCCAAGCAACAAAUUACCAAGGAAGUUGAAGUGUUGCAUUUAAAGAUAGAGAUUUUAAGUCAACAUGUGGAAGAUCUUAAGCAUCAAUUGACAUCCUCUAAAGCUGUUUUGAAGAAUAUAAUUCAACAAGAGGCGGUUUUAAGUGCACCUAUUGGUUAUUAGACUAUAUUUUCAAGUACUUUUAUUUCAUCAUUGCUGCUUUGUUAUGCUUUUCAUUGUGGGAACCUUUGUUCUUCAAUAUUUUUUAAUAAGGUUUUGAUUGGAUGGUGUCAAAAAGUGCGCUUUGUUUCUUGAUUUCCAGGUUUUGACUCUACAGGUGAGGAGUCUUCCGCCUAAUUCUACCCAAAGCCCCAAUCUCUUCCCGUAACCAAGAGACUUCAUCCUAAUAGUGUUUCCCAAGGUGAAUCAAUCCUCAAACCCUAGUGUUUGUUCCCAAGAGACAAACUCUAGUUUUGUUGUUGCCUUUCUAAACCCUUGUUUCAGCCCCCUCUAUCUCAAGGUUUACUCUGAUACAACGCAUAUAUUUAUAGUAAAAGAAUCCUCAAUAAAACUGGAACAAAUCUAGGCCCGAAAAUACGUUUCUGUUUUAUUUUCUGCUGUCAAAAUCGGCCACCGAAUGCUCCAAAUCGGUCGCUGAUUUUUGCCGAACCAAUAAACAAAAAACCAGAGUGCAAAAUCGGCCACCGAUUUUCUACUUCCAGAAUUCCAAUUUCUUCAAUUUUGAGGCACUUUCACAACAAUCUCCACCUUGACUUUAAAUUAAUGAUGAUGCCAAACCAUCAACCACCAUGCUGCUCUUUCCCUUGCUUCCCACUACACCAAGUAGCUCCACAAGUUUACACCUUAAUCCCUUCAGCCAUCGGAAUGUCUUCCUCCUUCUCAAAGGUCCUUGCAGUCCAACUACACUAGAAAUUUUAGGUAGUUCCACAAGCAUUCACCUUAACCUCUUCAGCCAUCGGAACGUCUUCCGUCUUCUCGAAGAAUCCUUGCAGUCCAACUACAUUAGGUGUUUUAGGUAGUUUCACAAGCAUUCACCAUAACCUCUUCAACACAUGACAUCUUCCGCUUCCUUGAAAGUCUCCUUGCUUCCAAUCACCCUUGGCCUUUUUUUAGGGUAAUCCCGCAAGUUGCGCUAUACAUUCUUCAACCUCCGGAAUGCCUUUCGUCUUCAUGAAGAAAUCCCUUGCUCGCCAUAGAGCAUAGCACCCAAGGUCAUCCAUAGUCGUACCAUUACCGGUGUGUUCAACUCCACCUCAAGCUGAGCGUACUCUACCUCAACUAGCAAAUGCGUACAUCCCACUAUGUCUUCAACCUUGAAACUCCACCUCAACAGGUAGAUCAUGAGUAUUAUAGAUUUGUCAUGACCCACCUCAAUUUAGUAACAAGGGUCUUCAAACUAAAUCAUGACCGUCGGUGGGUUUUCUUUAGACUUGGAAUUAUAUUACAAAUGUGAAAGUGAGACCAAUAAUUGAAUUGCUUUAUAUCAACAAUGAUGACUAGCUAGCUGUAAAGAUUGUCAAUAAUGGAAACAUCACUUUAUACUAAAGUGUUGAACAAGAUUAAAACAAGAUAUUGAAAUUAUUGUUUAGAUGUGUCUAGAAAGCGACCUGAAUCUUGCAACUCAAUGCAGUCGAUCAGAUCAGUGCAAGCUUGAGGAAUUACAAUUGUGGAAACUCAGCUCACCUCGACUAAUUUCAGUUUCCAUAAUCCACUCACCCAUUAACAAAAAAGAUUUAUCCUUAGCCAAUAAAAUUGUGCAAUUGAACGAUUCGUGGAAAAUUAUUCAUCAACGCAUCAUAUUUUGAGUGAUGAAAGGUGGAUUUCUCGGAUCUCAUCAUAAGAUCCCUCAUCAUAAUACCCCCACAAAAAAUUAUAAGAAAAAUUAUUCAUCGACACAUCAUAUUGAGAAAUUACAAAAACUUGUGUGUUUCAUUCCAUUGGAUAUAUCUAAAAUUGAGGGAAUGAAAAAAAAUAAAUGGUAUUAGAUGGAACGGAUUUCAUCAUGCUCCAUUUUAUUUCUGUCAUUUCUUUUACAAAAUCAAUCAAUGGAAUAUGAUUUUACCCCGCUCCGCUCCACCAUUUUCCAUUGAUACAAGUCUUAGGUUUUAUUAUGAGUUUAAAGGGGAAAAGAGAGCUUUGAAAAAAAUUAUAAGUUGUUUUAAGAAAGAAAAAAAUUGUCAUAAAUUAUAAAUCACUUUACAAUAUCAAUAAAAUAUGGGAAAUGCUAACUGGUGCCCCCAAGACACUGGUUAAGGAUAUGAAAAAAGAAAUUAAAUAGUAGUUAAUGCAUUGAAAUUGUAUAAUUAAUUUAUAAUAAAGUCAAAAGCAGAUUCCUUUUAUGGUAAUAAUUCCCUUUUAUGGUAUACUUAAACAGUGCUCUGAAGACACCGGUUAGCCCAUAAAAUAUUAAAAGUCAUUUUGAGAAAGAAAAGAUUUAAUUUGCAUACACGACAAUGUAAGUUCCUAAAAUAUCUUUGGAAAUACGUUUUAUGAUUUGAUUUGUUGAACAUCCUACCUUAGAUGACUAAAUCUAUAUGUUGAUCUUAUAUUUAUAUUUUAAAAAGAUUAAAAGAUAAACAUGAUAUAUCAUGUUGUAAUUGUACAGACCUUCCGGAUAUGUAAAUUUAGGGUGCGUUUGUUUCAAGUUAUAUUCGUAUAUUCUUAGGAAUAAAAAGAUAGAAAUAUACAUGCUUAUGUUUGUUACAAGAUUAGUAAAUUUUAUUUUCGGAUAUAAAACGUUCUUGGGAAUAGAAAUAUAUUAUCAAAAUAUAGAUUUGUCAUGACCCACCACAAUUUAGUAACAAGAGUCUUCAAACUAAAUCAUGACCGUCGGUGGGUUUUCUUUAGACUUGGAAUUAUAUUACAAAUGUGAAAGUGAGACCAAUAAUUGAAUUGCUUUAUAUCAACAAUGAUGACUAGCUAGCUGUAAAGAUUGUCAAUAAUGGAAACAUCACUUUAUACUACAGUGUUGAACAAGAUACAAACAAAAUAUUGAAAUUCUUGUUCUCAUCGUGGGUUAUUGUUUAGAUGUGUCUAGAAAGCGACCUGAAUCUUGCUUGCAACUCAAUGCAGUCGAUCAGAUCAGUCCAAGCUUUCAUAGUUGAGGUUUUCAGUUUCCAUAAUCCACUCACCCAUUAACAAAAAAGAUUUAUCCACCACACUUUAGCUAGCUACCACACUUUUAACUCAAGUUUUCUAAAAUUGUUGGAAAGAUUGUCUAGUUGUUGAACCAAAAUUAAGCCUCCAAAGUAUAUUUCUACAGCAGAGUUGCUCAUACGGCUUGAACAUUUGCUGAAAGUGUGCUGGAGUUAAGGUAACCAACAAACAAUCAUGCUUUAACAAUUUUCAGUCGAUAUUUUAAUUAAUUGUUUACAGUGACCAAGUUCUAGAUUUCAUACGAUUAUUACAAGGGUUUAUAAAUCAACUUGAGUUUUAUGCUUUCUAUUAUCUUUUAGACAAACUCUAAAACAAAACUCUAACACUUAUAUUAAUAUUUAACCAUCGUAAACAAAAAAAUAAUUCAAUAAACCAAAGUAUUCAAAAUUGUCUUUAAUGAGAAUCUUUUACAAAUGAAUUGUUUGCACUAUCUUUAAAGAUUCUUGUGAUUCUAGGUACUGCAGACCGGAGAAGGAUGAGGAAGAUUGUUCAUGAGACUUGAGUAUGCGUUGAAUGUGCCGAAAAUACUGUGUUGGAAAGAUCAGGUAAAUAUCAAUUUCAUUUUGCUUCAUCAUUCAUUCAAAUAUAAAGUAGGUUUUCUGAAAUUGUUGGAAAGAUUGUCUAGUUGUUGAACCAAAGUAUAUUUCUACAGCAGAGUUUCAAUGAACGCUUGAACAUUUGCUGAAAGUGCUGGAGAUAAGGUAACCAACAAACAAUCAUACUUUAACAAUUUUCAGUCUAUUUUAAUUAAUUGUUUACAAAGGUUUAUAAAUCAACUAGAGAAACCAACUCGAGUUGAUAAGGUAGAAUCAAACAUAGUCUAUAAGGAAUUUUUUGCAGUGAAUAUUACUCCUAAUUCUCUAAAUUCUAGCUGCUGCCUGCUGUCGAGAAAGAAAAAUAUUGUUAAAAAGUACGUCCUUACAACAGUAACACAAUUGAGGUAGAAAAUAAUCUCAUGGUUGUUUUUCUUUUAUCACUUCCUCAGAUUUUCUAUUUGUAUAUGAUUUCCAAUUUUGGUCUUCACUCUACUUUUCUACAUGGUCCUUUUUUCAUGACUUGUUUAUCAUUUUCAAAGAUAAAUUGGGUAUUCAGAGAUUGGCUUAAAGGAUCUUAAACUUUAAUAUUGGAUGAACUCCCAUUUGAACUUUCUCAAAUAUUUGUUUGAACAAGCUAAGAAAAUUCUUUGAUGAAAAGUGUGUCAUCAACUAUCAUUUUUCAAAUUAACAGACCCUGAAUGAAGAAAAUCUUCUUACAAUAAAAGAACAUGAAUGAUAUGCUAUGAGAAUGAGAUUCAUUAUCAACCAUUGUAUUUUUCAACAUACACAAACAUAUGUCUAACUUUGAUGUAUUGAAAUUCAUUUAGAUGGCGAGUUUUCUAACUGAUUUGGCGAAGACCUAUGUGGAGAAAUUGAUAAAUGGGGUGAUCGCAGAGUCAAGUUAUAUAUGUUGCUUCACGUGCAUUGCUAAUGAUUUUGAAGAAGAAAGAUCUAGAUUGGAAACAGAAAACACAACUGUCAAGCAACGUGUUGAUGUGGCAACCAGUAGAGGAGAAGUUAUUCAAGCUAAUGCUCUUUUUUGGGAAAAAGAAGCUGAUGAGCUCAUUCAAGAAGACACCAAAACAAAACAAAAAUGUCUUUUUGGAUUUUGUCCUCAUAUCAUAUGGCGAUAUAAAAAGGGAAAGGAACUGACAAAUAAGAAGGAGCAAAUUAAAAGAUUGAUUGAAAAUGGAAAGGAUCUUGUAAUUGGACUCCCUGCUCCUCUUCCAGAUGUUGAACGUUAUUCAUCCAGAGACUAUAUUUCUUUUGAAAGUAGAAAAUCCAAAUACAAAGAGCUUUUUGAUGCUCUGAAAGAUGACAACAGUUAUAUAACCGGGUUGCAAGGGAUGGGGGGCACAGGAAAAACUACAUUGGCCAAAAAAGUGGGGAAGGAACUUAAGCAAUGCAAACAAUUUACUAACGUCAUCGAUACAACAGUGUCAUUGUCUCCUGAUAUCAGAAAGAUUCAAGAUGAUAUCGCUGGACCCUUGGGAUUGAAAUUUGACGACUGUAGUGAAUCAGACCGACCCAAAAAACUAUGGAGCAGAUUAACCAAUGAAGGUAAGAUUGAUCAGAACGAGGAAAAGAAGAUUCUUCUAAUAUUUGAUGAUGUGUGGGAUGAUAUCGAUUUUGAUAAAAUAGGGAUUCCUGACAAUCACAAAGACUGUAGAAUUCUUGUAACCACACGCAGUCUCUCUGUCUGCCACAGAUUAGGAUGCAAUAAGAAAAUCCAACUGGAGGUCUUAUCUGAUGAAGAAGCAUGGACCAUGUUCCAAACGCAUGCUGGUCUAAAAGAAAUGUCACCUACAAGUUUGCUCGACAAGGGCCGUAAAAUUGCAAAUGAAUGCAAAGGAUUACCAGUUGCAAUUGCUGUUAUCGCCAGUAGUUUGAAGGGCAUACAAAAUCCGAAAGUGUGGGAUGGGGCCUUAAAAUCCUUGCAGAAACCCAUGCCCGGUGAUGAGGAAGUUGUUAAAAUUUAUAAAUGCUUGGAUGUUAGCUAUGAUAAUAUGAAGAAUGAGAAUGCCAUGAGACUAUUCCUCUUGUGUUCUGUAUUUCGAGAAGAUGAAAAAAUUUCUAUCGAAAGGUUAACCAGACUUGGCAUCGGAGGAGGCCUUUUUGGGGACGAUUUUGACAGCUAUGAUGAUGCUCGAAACCAAGUUGUUAUAUCCACAACUAAACUCGUAGAAUUUUCUUUAUUGUUGGAGGCCGAUCGAGAUCAAAGCAUCCUGAUAAUGCAUGACUUGGUUCGUGAUGCAGCCCAAUGGACGAGCAGAGAGUUUCAAAGAGUAAAGUUAUAUCAUAAAUAUCAAAAAGCAAGUGUUGAAAAGAAGAUGAAUAUUAAAUAUUUGUUAUGUGAAGGCAAGCCUAAGGAUGUGUUUUCAUUUAAGCUUGAUGGUUCCAAGCUUGAGAUUCUAAUUGUCAUUAUGCAUAAGGAUGAAGAUUGUCAGAAUGUGAAAAUCGAAGUCCCGAACUCAUUUUUUGAAAAUAUUACGGGCCUUCGAGUUUUUCAUCUAAUAUAUGACCAGUAUCCUACUAUACCUCUAUCAUUACCUCACUCAGUUCAAUCGAUGAAAAAUAUUCGAUCUCUUCUCUUUGAGCGUGUCAAUUUGGGUGACAUCUCUAUUUUGGGAAACCUGCAAAGCCUUGAGACUCUUGAUUUGGAUGAUUGUAAAAUUGAUGAAUUGCCUCAUGGAAUUGCAAAACUAGAGAAAUUUCGAUUGUUGAAAUUGGAAAGUUGUGAAAUUGCAAGGAAUAAUCCUUUUGAAGUGAUUGAAGGAUGCUCAUCACUUGAAGAGUUGUAUUUCACAGAUAGCUUUAAUGAUUGUUGCAAAGAAAUAACUUUCCCUAAACUACGAAGGUUUAAUAUUGAUGAAUAUUCGAGUUCAGAGGACGAAUCAUCAUCAAAGUGUGUGUCUAUUGUAUUCGAAGAUAAGUUUUUCCUAACUGAAACAACACUCAAGUAUUGCAUGCAAGAAGCAGAGGUUCUUAGACUAAGAAGAAUCGAGGGGGAAUGGAAAAACAUCAUACCUGAGAUUGUUCCCAUGGAUCAAGGUAUGAAUGAUAUAGUUGAGCUUCGUUUGGGAUCCAUUUCACAAUUACAGUGCCUCAUUGAUACUAAGCACACUGAAUCUCAAGUGUCAAAAGUCUUCUCCAAGUUGGUUGUACUAAAACUUUGGAACCAACAUAAUUUGGAAGAAUUGUUCAAUGGUCCUCUUUCCUUUGACUCUCUGAACUUUUUAGAGAAGUUGUCCAUCCAAGAUUGUAAACAUUUGAAAAGCUUAUUUAAGUGCAAACUAAACCUAUUCAAUCUAAAGAGAUUGUCAUUGAAAGGAUGCCCGAUGUUGAUCUCCCUAUUUCAACUGUCAACUGUUGUUAGCCUAGUGUUGUUGGAGAGAUUGAAAAUAAAGGAUUGUGAGGGUCUUGAAAACAUAAUAAUAGGUGAAAGAAAAGGGAAGGAAUCAAGAGGUGAAAUUAUUAAUGAUAAUGAAAGCACAAGUCAAGGCUCAAUAUUUCAGAAACUGGAGGUUCUUAGUAUUGAGAAAUGUCCGGCACUUGAAUUUGUACUUCCGUUUCUCUAUGCUCAUGAUUUUCCAGCACUAGAAUCCAUCACAAUUGAAAGUUGUGAUAAUCUGAAAUACAUAUUUGGCAAAGAUGUCCAGCUUGGUUCCCUCAAAACAAUGGAGCUUCAUGACAUACCAAAUUUCAUCGACAUUUUCCCAAAAUGUAAUCGUACCAUGACUUCAUCCAUUAAGAGGUCAUCUUCCAUUUCUGGAGAUGCUUCCAAGCCACAAGAACAAUCAGAGCCAAUCAAAUGCAAUAUGUUUUCAUGGACUGAUAUAUAUUGUUGUGGUAAAAUAUAUGGGCACAGAUUAAGGAGUACCACAUUGGUUUCUAAGGAUCAACCGCAGGACAAUUUAAUGGUAACCCUCUUACCUUCUAUUUCUUCUGUGAUGUUAUUUUUUGUAAUUUUUUUAAUACGAUACUAUUGAUCUCUGAAGCAUGGGUACAUUUAAAACGGGGGUACGCGUACGGUGCUUAUGGUACUUCAUUUUAGUUCAUUAUUCUAUUGUGAUUUUUUUUUUUUGAGGUAUUAUUCUAUUGUGAUUGAAAAUUGUGACUUUCUCUUAUUUAUUAAUAUGAUAAUAUAGUAUUAUAUUUGCAUAGGAGUUUUUUGUGGUUGUAAACAGCUAAAUUUUCUUACUAUUUAAACUUUUUAUUGUGAUGUUUUUAUAAUAAAUUGAAGAAUUUAGCCCUCUCAUGUUAUAUUAUAUAGCAAAACUCAUGAUUUUAUUGACGUACCCGUUCUUUAGUUUUUUUAAAAAUAAACAUCUUCUUGUACCAGUACCCGUAUCAUAUUUGUACUCAUACCUAUGCAACAUAGUUAUUGAUACAAUUUAUUUUUUGGAAAAAAAAAACUAUUUUUAAAUUCAUUUUAUUAGACAUCGUAUGCUUGAAGAUUACUAUUAAUGUACAGUUUUUAUUUGGGUAGAAAUAAGAGAUAUUUAACUUCUAUUUUUAUUUGGAUGACAUGAUUGCAGAAAUCAACAUUUCCACCUUUGAAAGAACUUGAACUCAAUAACUGCGGGGACGGUAAAAUCAUCAAGGUAUCUCUAUUUUGUAUAUCUUUGUUAUUUGUGAAUCUAAACUUCAUAAUUUUAAGUCAUCAUAUAUUUUUAAAUGAUUUUUUUUUUUUUUAUAAAAAGUUCCCCCACAUAAAUUUCUCUAUUUUUGUUACUUAUUAUAUUUUGAUGUUUAAAAAGUUUAUAUUUCAUUCAUCUUAUGCUAAACAAAAAUUGUGGAGCAACAUUGAAUAAUGUUCAAACCAUGCCUGUAAUUAGGAUUUUAAAAGACAAUUUUUGUAUAAAAAAAGUCUUGUGGAUUUUAAAAGACUUUGAAAAAUCAAUCCUUUAUAUGCUUGGUAACAUAUAGUGAUGAAAUUCAAAAAGAAAUUCAAUUUUGAUUGCAAUGUUUUUUGAAGCAUGACAGACAUUGUGAUGAUAGUUUGAUACUGUAUUUCAUUCCAUAAAUAAUUGGCAUGGAUGAGAAAGUAUUAUAAAAAUGUCAGGAAGUUAUUGUGUGGGAGUUUGGCUAUCACAUUUUAUGGUAUAACAGACUGUGAAAAUGGAAGGGAUGAAGCUACAUAAAAAACAUAUUUGAUAGAAGGACAUGAGAGAAAGGGGAAGGAGAUAAGGGAGAUGUAAAAACAAAAAAGAAAUAAAAAAAUGAGAAUCCAUAGAAAUCUCAUGAUGUUGGUAAAGACUUUUUAAAGCUAAAAAAUCCCUAAAAUUAAAAGUCCAUCAAAAUCCAUAGAAAUCCCAUUUUUUUAACAAUCCAUCGAAAUCAGAAUUUUUUUUAAUACCACAAGACUUUUUGAAAGUUGUAAAAAGUUUUGAUUGAAUAUCACAAGAUUUCUAGACUUUGUUUUAAAAGUCUAGAAAAUCCUAAUCGAAUACCACUAAACUUUUUUAAUUUAAACAAAAGUCUUGAUUGAAUACCCCAUGACUUUUUCAUCAUAAAAAAGUCUUUUAAAAUCCUUCCAAAUCCCAAUUGAAUACACCCCAUAAAAAAAUUAAAAUUCAAAGGAUAAUUAAACAUGUUUGGUUUCAUCAUAAACUGUCAAUGAUAGAAAAUAAUUAUUUUUUCUUCAAAAAACAAUCAAUUUAAUUAUUAUAAUUAAAUUUUAUUUCAUCGACGCUUGUGGUAAAUAAGAUUUAAUUAUUAUAAUUGUCAAUGAUAGAAAAUAAUUAUUUUUUCUUCAAAAAACAAUUAAUUUAAUUAUUAUAAGUAAAUUUUAUUUCAUCGACGCUUUUGGUAAAUAAGAUUUAAUUAUUAUAAUUGUCAAUGAUAGAAAAUAAUUAUUUUUUCUUCAAAAAACAAUCAAUUUAAUAUUUGGUGUACUGGUACACUCAAAAUGUUGGAUGUACCAUAGAAUUUGCCAAAUUUUAAACUUCUAUACUUUAAUUUAAUGAAAUGACAAGGAAGAAAAUAAAAGCUAACAAUAGUUAUCUAUAAAAUUUGAGUUCUAUAUGAAGUUUUCAGAAGUCAAAGUUAUCCAUAAUUGACACUAAACUAAUUAGAAUAUCAAUAUUUUUUUAAGAGCAUCUCUCUUUGAACCAAACAAAAUUGUUUGGCGUAAUCAAACAAUAUAUUAAUGAACUAGCUACUUGUAAAAACUAUGUUAAUUAUUCAAGAUAUGUUUUUCUUUUGAGGUGGCCAAUGAUACCCAUUGUUAUGAAGCCCUUCGUCCUUGUCUACAACUUAUAUGAAAAUGUGAAUGUGGGGGUUGAUUCAAUGGAGGAAGGGUAGCAGAUUGAAAAACAAAAAGGUUGGAGUGUUGAAAAUUAAAUAACAAUAUUAAUUUAAUUAAAUACUGUAGUGCUUUCUUUUUGUUACAUUAUAUUGUAAUAAUUUAUUCCAGAGCCUUUUAUCAUCUCUAUUGUACUUAUAUGACUUUGUUAUUCUUAUUUUAUGCAUUGUGUUUAUUUCCCAUUCAUUUAUUACAGGAAUUGAGUGGGAAUGUGGAUAAUUUUCUCGCUUUGGAGAGACUCAUGGUAACGAAUAACUCCAAAGUAGAAAGUAUCUUUUGUCUGAAUGAAAUAAAUGAACAGCAAAUGAACUUAGCUUUGGAAGACAUUGAUUUGGAUGUUCUGCCUAUGAUGACAUGCCUUUUUGUGGGUCCCAACAAUUCGUUCUCCCUCCAAAACCUUACAAGAAUAAAAAUCAAGGGAUGUGAAAAGUUGAAAAUUGUUUUCACCACUUCUGUAAUAAGGUGUCUACCACAGUUGUAUUAUAUGAGAAUUGAAGAGUGCAAUGAGUUGAAGCAUAUUAUUGAAGAUGAUUUGGAGAAUACAACAAAGACAUGCUUCCCAAAUCUAAAAAGAAUUGUUGUAAUAAAGUGCAACAAGUUGAAAUAUGUCUUUUCAAUUUCCAUAUAUAAAGACCUUCCUGCGCUAUAUCAUAUGAGAAUUGAAGAAUGCAAUGAGUUGAGGCAUAUUAUUGAAGAUGAUUUGGAGAAUAAAAAAUCCUCAAAUUUUAUGUCCACAACAAAGACAUGCUUCCCAAAGCUAAGAAUACUUGUUGUGGAAAAGUGCAACAAGUUGAAAUAUGUGUUUCCAAUCUCCAUAUCUAAAGAGCUUCCUGAGCUAAAGGUUCUGAUCAUAAGAGAAGCAGAUGAGUUAGAGGAAAUAUUUGUAAGUGAAUUUGAUGAUCACAAAGUGGAGAUUCCAAAUCUAAAACUUGUAAUAUUUGAAAAUCUACCAAGCCUCUAUCAUGCUCAGGGAAUUCAAUUUCAAGUUGUAAAACAUCGUUUCAUACUGAAUUGUCAAAAACUAUCUCUGGCUUCAGAGUCAACACCAGACUUCGAAAAUGAUAUUUCUGCUUCAGAUUUUGGCUACGGUACAGACUCUAUCCAAUAUAUUUUUAAAAACUAUUACAUGUUGGCCGUAAAUAAUUACAUAUCAUGCAUUAGUAUUGUUAAAGGAUAAAAACAAUUGAAUCUUCAAAAGUAGCGAUAUCACGUAUGCAUGCAUAAGUAGUGACCUAUCGAAUAGGAGCUUUAAUUUUAUGUAAAAUUUAAUUAUUAUGUAGAUAGAUAACCAAUAUUGUGCAUGUUUAAACUUAAAAAUGAUGAUAUACAAUUGAAAGCGGAAGUUUUUAUUUUUAUUUUAUUUUUUGUGGUGUCUAGGGUUUGAACCUUGAACCUUGCAUAUUUUAUACAUUAUUCUUACCAACUGAGCUAAGCUCAGAAGGAUGUUAAUCACUAUUAUGCUUGAGUUACUAUAUAAGGAUGUUAAUCUCUAUUAUACUUUGCCUGUAGAUUUUGAAUUGUUUGACUAUUGGAAGACUCUGUUUCAACAAUUACAAAGAGAGACCAAAGGCCACGAUAGUGGUAAUGAAAAUCCUAGUCCACAAACCACGAAAGAUUUUGUGGUUGGGAUUGAAGUUCAAACAGCAUCGGAACACAAGUUGACUUCUCCACAGGUAAAUACUAAUAAAUAGUUUGAGGUUAGGAUUGAAGUCCAGAAAUCCUGUGCUUACCACUUCUGAAUCCAAUCACCAUGACAAUAUAUUUGAAUCAAGGAUGCUAUUCUUUUGUGCAGAUAAAAAUGAAAGAAACACCACAGACGGAGAAUGAACUUAUUGAAAAUGCUCCUGAUUUAGAAAUACCAACAAACUUAAAAGUGAUUUCUAGUCCAUGUUUGAAUUGAGUUAGAUAUUUAAUUGAUGCAAUUAAUAGCUGAAGAUCAUUAAUGCCUAUGUUCUUGUUACAGGAGUUGAUGAAUGAACGAUCAAUGGACCAACAACGUUCACUUGGAGAAACUGAUACUGCCGUCAAACCUUCUCAGGUAAAUCAUGUAAUAUCGUACCACCGCAUUGUGCAUAUAAAGCUAAACAAAAGGCAUUUCCCUCAUUUUGCUAGUAUUCUUUUGAACACUUUGUCAAUGCAGGAAUUGAAUUAUACUACAAUCUUAAACAUCCAUUUAAUUUUAAGCAGGGUAUCGAAAUAAGUGCUGAAGAAGGAACCACGUCAGCUAAUGCCAAGACAAUAACAACAUCAUUAGGUCCAUUAUCUACUUCUAAGCAUAAAACAUCUUCACAGGUGAGUUUAUUAUAUAUAACAAAGCCUUCAAAUUAACAUAGUCUUCUGUUUGUAGGUAUUGCUGUCAUAUUUUUCUUUUUGUUAUUAUUUAAUUGCAAUGGAAUUGGAUUUGUAAGAAUCAAGCUUUAAACUAAUUUUGAUAUAUAAAGAGGAAAAAAAAUUGGAAUCUACAGCUUUUAAAUUUUGGAAAAGUUAUGUUGCUGUCAUAUUUUGGAAAACUAAUUUUGAUAUAUCAAAAUGAUUUGUCCACUUGAGAAACAUGAGGGAAAACUAACAGACGCAAUCCAUUCCAUUCCCUACUCUCUCGUUCCGAACCUUUCGUCCUUUUUAGUUUGGCUACAGAUAUUAAGAAAGUACAAAAUUAGACAGGUUUAGUCCAUUGUGUCUUGCUUUCCUAAUAGAACCAAAGUUUUGGGACAAAAAUAAAAAGCUGAAAGAACCAAAGAUCAAGAACCGGCGGAGUAAUAUGUAUUGAGGCUAAUCCUAAAAAACAUAUCAAGACUUCAUGAUGAUAUCAUUUGUAUGUUUGAACUUGAAUUUUUGUAGGAAUAUGGUGGCGGCGAAAUGGCCAUAUCUUCUCCAAUUUCCAUAACAAGGCCUCUUACCACUCAAGAAGUUCAUGUUAAUAACUUGCAGGAAACUAGUAACACUAAUGAUGAUCAAGGUGAAGAGUCUUAGGAUCAAUUUUAUUUUCUUAAGUUAUCUCAUCACCCUUUUCAUUUUGAAGUUUAAAUCUCUUCUCUCACACCUUUUGUUCAGUUUCUCUAAAUGAGGAUGCUGUCGUAAAAGUAACCUCAAUUGUUGAGGAACAAUUUUCUAAGGAUGUUGAAUUUGAAGUUCUAGAAUCGAAGCCUGCCCUUAUCAUUCCUUCGCCUCAAGCAUUUCAAUCUCCUUCGAUGCUAUCCGGAGGUAUAGAUUUUCUCCCUUCAUUUUAUUUUUAAGAACAUUAUUUGGUACUCGGAGAGGACUAAUUAUCAUUUUCUAUACUUUCAGGGGACCCUUCUCAACUAGAUGAAGAAUUAGUAAGUUCAUCAUCAGGUCCAUUGUUUCAUUAAUAAUUGCCAUUCGAUAGGUUUCCUAUGAAACAAGAUUUAAACUAAUUCUUAUAUAAAGAUUUUUUUUUUAAGUCUAUUGCUUCCGAAUCUUACAUUCAAACUUAAGGGAAUUGUUGCUCAAUAUUUGUAGAUGCUUAACACUGAAAUUCUUGUUUUCUAUUUUUAAUUUUAUCUGUAGUGGAAUCAGACUCUUGCAAAAUAUAAUAUAUGGUGUAAAAUAUAGUGAGGUUGAUCCAUUAUAAGAUAUGAUAUAUCAUUUAGUGAUUUAAAUCUGUGUAGGAAGAUCUUGAACCCCGGGGUUUGCAUAUUUUACGCAUUGUCCGUACCAACUGAGCUAAGCUUACGAGGACAUUCUAUUUAUUCAAGUUAACCACAUAUGAAUACAAUCAUCAAUGCAAUGUAUUUGAAUCAAACAUUUAUUUUUGAUGCAGGAAGAAAUGGAACAAACACUAGAGACAAAGCAUGAAUUUGUUGAAAAUGUUCCUCAACAAGAGAUGCCAUCAGUAGCAAUAAUACCAACAAAUUCAAAAGUAAUUUGAAGGCCAUGUGAAAAUCACUUGGAUAUUCCUCUCCAAAUAUAUACAUAUUCAAUAUUAGUCUAGUAAUGAAAUAAUUCAUAUGUUCUUACUACAGGAGUUGAUGAAUGAACAAGAAAUGGAGCAAAAACGUCUACGUGGAGAAAUUGAUGCUACCGUCAAACCUUCUCAAGAAAAUAAUGUAAUAUAGUACCACCUCAUUGUGCAUAUAAAUCUAAAAAAGAAACGUUAAAAAUAUGUUGCAACUAAUUUACAUUUUCAUGUUAUGCAAUCAGUUGGAAGCAUCAACUUUGUCGACCAUUUUCUUGUAUUCUUUUUCACACUUUGUCAGUACAGAAAUUGAAUUAUACUACAAUAUUGACAGGUUAGCGAAAUAAGUGUUGAAGAAGGAACUACAUCAGCUAAUGCCAAGACAAAAACAUCUUCACAGGUCUUCUUCUUACAAGUAUUAUUGUUCAUUUUUUAUAUAUUUCAUUGCGUUGGGAGCCUACUGCUUUUGACAUUUUGAUUCUUUUGUUUUAUAUUUUUUUCUAUAAUGAAGUAAGCCUAUUUCAGACGAAAAUAUCUAUAGCGUGGCUGAUCCUAUAAAUAUUAAGAAUUCAUAAUGAUAUCAUUCUUUUAUUUGAAUUUUGUAGGAAGAAGGUGACAACCAAAGAGCAAUAGCUUAUACUCCAAUUGACAUAACAAAGCCUGUAACCACUCAAGAUGUUGAUGUUGAAAUCUGGCAGGAAACUAGUAACACUAAUGAUGAUCAAGGUGAAGAAUCUUUGGAUCGCUUUUAUUUUCUUAAGUUACCUCAUCGCCCUUUUUAUUUUGAAGUUUAGCUCUCUUGUUUCCCAUCUUUUGUCAGUUUCUCUAAAUGAUGAUAAUGUCAUGAAAGCAAGCUCAAAUACUGAGGAUCAGUUUUCAAAGGAUGAUAACAUAUUAGUUUCCAAAUCAAGACCCUCUUCUAUUGCAUCUCAGUUUCCUUCAAAGCCUUCUGAAGGUAUUUUAUUUCUUUGUUUUAUUUUUAAUUAAUUUACUUGUGCUUAAAUAUGCAUAAUUAUUCUUUCCUAUACUUUCAGGGGACCCUUCUCAAAUAGAUGAAGAUUUAAGUUCUUCUUUUGUUGUCACCGGGGAGCUUGAGAAUCUAGUCUCCAAUAAUCAUUUGGCUAUUGAGAAAUUGUCUUUGUUGACUGACUUCCUUGUUAAGCAUCCUUCAGUUCUUCUAAGGGACACUUCAUUGAGUAGCAGAUACAAGGGUUAUGCCUACAACAGCCUAGCAGAGCUAUUGAAAUUCCUUCAAACUCAUAGUGUGUUGGAUGUGUUAGGUUCAAGCAACUCUGAAUUUGUUGAGUUAUUACAAGAUGUGCGUAGAUUUCCGUUUGAUAAGGAGUGGUUGGAUGAUGUUGAAAUGCGCGCUUUGUUUCCUGAUUUACAAUUCUCUCAAAAUGCAUUGCAAAAACUAUUGGAUUCCGAGCAGCGUGUCACGAAAGAAGUUGAAGAGAUGCGUUUAAAGAUAAACAUUUUUAAUCAACAUCUUGAAGAUCUUAAGCAUCAAUUGACAUCCUCUGAAGCUGAUUUGGAGACUAUCAUUCAACAGAAAGCAAAAAUUUUAGAAACUAAGGCUGCUUUAAGUGCCCCUCUCGGCUAUUAAACUAUCGUUUGUUCUUGGAUUGGAGCUUUUUAUCAUUAAAUAUUGUUUAUUUCUUUGCUAUUUUCUGCUUUUCUCAUUUGAAAUGAGCUACUAUGCGUAUUUUUAAAUUGUUAUCGAUUAUUAUUGUUGUAUCAAACAAAGGAAACACCAAAUUAAGAAUAUUGGAAUCGCAUAAUGUUGAAGUGGAGCUAUGAUUCUUAAUUACAACAACCAUUAAUAUACUUACAACAAGCUACCAUAACUUUUGUUUACAUUGCGUUGUUGCUAUAAGAUAUAUCUGUUUCUAAAUUGUCACAACUACUCUGUAAUUAAAUCACCUCUGUUCGAACCCUGAGAAUGUAGGGCUUGAAACGUAACAAGGGAGAGCUUUAUCGUUAAUAUGUAGUCAUAUUCGAUUAAAGGAUUGCAAUACUCACUUUAUAUACCCAAAAAAAUAACCUCCAGUUUUAUCCAUCAUCUUUUAUUUUAUGAAAUUAUCUACCAUCUUUCUCUUAUAGUGAUCCCAUGUCAAAUUAAUAAAAUCUAGUCUGUAUGGACCUUCAUGACCGUCCGUGGCUAUAAUCUAAGAUGUGGGUCUUUGGCCUCUGCUCCCAGAAUAUGUGAUUUGGUUGUCAGAUCUCUAACAACAAACCUAAAUGUCGACUCAUCGUAUGCACACUCCAUCAACCGAAAUGCUGAAAAUGUCCCCUGAUCUUAAAAGAGGCACACAUGUUGAAAUAUAACAUUUGAACAAUCGUACUCCUCCAUCUACAGGCUCACAUCCAUUGCAACAUGUCUCCUCAAUGUUAUUACCACCCAAUAUGGAUGUAUUAGUGGUAUUUUUCUGCAUUUUAUCGCAAGAAACUUUGCAGCGUAGCCUAGUAAUAUGUUAGUGUGUAGCCUCUAAAGAUUGGAUAGAUUGUUCAGAUUUUUCAUCUCAGAACUUUUGAAAGGGCUAAGAAUAAAGUUGUCUGUUGUAUGUGAUUAGCUUGGAGCUAUUCUUGGAAAAGGGGAAAAGAAAGCAUUGUAUACAGCAAUUGAUGCACUUGGUACACCAGAAAAUUUGGAGAGGCUUUAUUUAGAGGUUCAAGCACCAAAUACCAAUCCAUCAUGCAAUUGUAUCUACAUGAACAUGAUCAUCCAGUAACUCAUAGGGACCUCAAGUGUGAUAUAACAUACUUGUCAAUGGACAUCUUGGACAAGCAAAAAUUGGUGACUUGGGAUUUCCAUACAUAAACAAUUUUUAACUUUUAAUGUUCAAGGUAUGCUACCAGCAACACUUUUCUGAUUUGAAGAUGCAAAAGCAUUGGAGUUUAUUGGAAAAUGCCUAGUGAAUUAUAUGUUUUAUUCUAAUAUAUUUCCACUUUGUUAAAAAUAACCAAGUUGACUUUGAAAUUUCACAAGAAUCUCUGAAUCUCUCUCUUUGAGGUUUCACAAUUUUACUGUUUUGAGCCGCCAGGAAUCAAUCAAUUGGUUGGUAGGUUAGAUUCCAAAUUCAUAUGAAAAGCAAAGUGUGAAGAAGCAUAAACCAGUUAUUAUAGUAUUAGUGAAUUACUUUGUGAAUCAACGUCCCUAUAAUAUGACAUACUAUCUAACUGAUGGUAUCUAACCUUCUUAUCCAACUUUCGUCAAAUCAAUUAGAUUUCCUCAAAGUGAAUCCGAUAAGUUAUUUGCAAAACAUCAGGAGAGCUGUCGGAAGGACAUCGAACGUGCUUUUGGAGUGCUUCAAGCUCGAUUUAAAAUCAUCCGUGAACCAGCUCGCUUGUGGGACAUAGCCGAUUUGGGUAUCAUCAUGAGGUCAUGCAUCAUAUUACAUAAUAUGAUUGUUGAGGAUGAACGAGAUACAUAGGUUCAACGUUGGACCGAUUUUGAGCAACCUGAGGGAAGUGGAUCUAGUACACCGCAACCAUACUCGACCGAGGUGUUACCAUCUUUUGCAAAUCAUGUGCGUGCUAGAUCCGAGUUGCGUGAUUCAAAUGUUCAUCACGAAUUGCAAGCAGAUCUAGUGAAGCACAUAUGGACAAAGUUUGGAAUGUAUAGUGAUUGAAGAUGAUUUGUAUUGUACUAAAUAAAUUCCUUGUGUGUUGUAUGUUUAGUUUAUUAUCUUGCAUUUUAAGUUAUUUGUGUGUCACGUGUUUAGUUUGUUGUCUUGCAUUUUAAGUUAUUUGUGUGUCUCAUUUUAAGUUAAGAAAAUAAAAAUAAAUUAUUUUAUAAAAUUUUGUUUUUCCAAAAAAACUAAAAAAUAAAUAGUUAAUUGUAUUAUUUUAAUUUAAUUAUAAUCGAUAAUUUUAGGGCUAAACUACACUUUUCGCCCCCUAUGUUUCAAAAUGUUGCAAUUUUGGCCCCCUAUUAAAAAAAAUGGCAAUUUUGGCCCCUUUCAUCCAAAAAUUGCUGAGAAGACGCCACGUGUCCCAAAAAAAGGGCCAUAAUCGCAACUUUUUGUAAAGAUAAGAGGUCAAAAAGCAUAUUUCCCUUAUGUUAGGAGGUCAAAAGAGCAUAUUUCCCUAAACAUAUGGGGCAAAAGGUGUAGUUUAGCCUAAUUUUAGGUAAUUAUAAAAACAAAAAUAUAAAAUUAAAUAAAAAUAAGAAAUAAAAGGUGGUGGGGUAGAGUGUUGACUGAAAAAACCAUUGGAGAGGCAAAAAAAUUGAAUGAGUGUUGAAUUAUGAGAGAGAAAAUUAUGUAGAGUGUUAGAAAUUGAAAAAGUGGGUGUUGAAGGGUAUUGAAAUUUUUUUACCAUUGAGAAUGGUCUUACUUAAAACCAAAUCGUGACCAUUGGUUGGUUUAGUUCUUGUGUAAUCAAUCAAUAACUGAAGCUUUAAAUCAACGACAAGACUUGACUAGCUAGCUAGCUGUGAGCCUGUGAAGUCUCUGAAUAAUUUAAUUGAACAUUUACUUUAUACGUUGGACCAUAAGUUUGUUAUCAGAACUACAAUAUCAAAUUAUUCACUUAAUGCUGAUUGCAGAAACAGCUCUGCUAAUUUAAUGCUAGCUACUGUCCAGUUGUUGAGAACAGAGAAUUGAUACAAUUGCAGCACAUCUUCCGCCUAUGGUAAUUUCUCUUUUAUCUUCUCCUUCUUACAUGCAAACAUAAUAAUAACUACCACUUUAUUAUUGCAUAUUUGCAUUUAUGAAAAGUUAUAACAAUCUCAGUAUGUUUUCUAAAAUUAUUGGAAAGACUGUCUAGUUGUUGAACCAUAAUUAUAUUUCUACAACAGAGUUGUUGCAGUAAACACUACCUCGCUACUGCAUAUUGGAGAAUGAUCUUCAACAUUUGCUGAAACUGCUGGAACUAAGGUAAUCAUACUUUUAACAAUUUUAAUUAAUUUCUUAAGUUUUAUAAAUCAACUUGAGUUUUAUGCUUUUGUAUUAUUUUUUAGAGAACACCAACUUGAAUGGAUAAGGAUUGAAUCAAUCAAACAUAGUCUAUCUGUAAUAAAUUUUCUGUUCAAGCCAUGUUAUCUUUUCUUUUCAAACUAAGAGCUUAAAACCUGAAGCCUGCUUCCAAGUCAAAAUCCUCAAAAAUGUCCUCUAAUUUCAAGCAUUGAAAAAAGGGGAAAUAACAGUGGAUUGAUACAUACUGACGUAAGUUACAAAAACUUCAAUAUUUUAGAAAGCUACUACAUUGAUUAAAUAAAAGUUCGAUAUCCACUAUGAAACACUAACAGGAGAGGAGAGCCUUACCAUUUUGUAAAUGAUAUGAAAGGAUUAUUUAAUAAGUUGCAACAAUGCAAGGUCCUAUCUUUUAACUACGCACACAAUAUGCCAAAACUAUUUUGUAAAAGUUAUUGACUCUGCAGCUUUUGUUUGCUGCGGAACAUGAAUUACUCCUAAUUCUCUUGAUUGAAUCUUUAAUAUUGGAUGGACUCCCUGUUUCAAAUUACUUUGAUGAAAAAUGUGUCAUCAAGUAUCAUUUUUCAAAUGAACAGACUUCGAACGAAGAAAAUCUUACUACACAAAAAAAUUCUUUGAUGAAAAGUGUGUCAUCUACUAUCAUUUAUCAACCAUUUUAUUUCUCAAUACACAAUACAACACACACACACAAACAUAUAUAUGCCUAACUUUGAUCUAUUGAAAUUUAUUUAGAUGGCGAGUUUUCUGACUGAUUUGGCGAAGCCUUAUGUAGAUAAAUUGAUAAAUGGGGCGAUUGAAGAGUCAAGUUAUAUAUGUUGCUUCACGUGCAUUGCUAAGGAUUUUGAAGAAGAAAGAGCUAGACUAGAAGUAGAAAGGACGAAGAUGUUUAAGUUACUGCUCUUUCUUGGGAAGAAGAAGCCGAUAAGCUUAUUCAAGAAGACACAAGAACAAAACAAAAAUUACCACCACUUCACUUUCUAGAAGUUGUUUUAGGAAAUUCUGACGAUGCCAACAUGGUACUAGGGUUUAUGAGAUCCAAAGGCGCUGCCUUUUACUACCCCCACCGGACCAUGGGUUCCGGUGGUCUUGCCGACUCCUGUUUUCUUCAUCUUUUUGCUUUGCUGAAAGCCUUGGAGAGAGCAAAUGGAUUCGUUGUCAAUAUUGAUGAUCCGGAAUCUGUGCUUAACUUGAUCGCUAUGCUGAGAGACUUCCAAUUUGAUGGUGCUUGGAUUGAUGCUUUGGAAAAAGUUGUGAAAGAGUCCAUUGGUGUGUCAAACACUAAACUAGCAAGUUUGGAAAAGGCCAAGGGUCAAUCGGCCAUGAGGCUUGGACAAGCAACACUGAUUCGUGAUUAUCAUCAAAAACAAAUGGAGUUAGAGCAAGGCAAAAUUCUCUCACUUGACUUGGAGCGUGAAAGGAUCUUGAAGUUUAGGCAGGAACUUAACAAUGUUCGUAUGAUUUAGGUUGGGAAUUUGUUUUUUAGCACCUUUUUCAAGAUCCUGCCUAAACUUCAAGAUCCUUUCACGCUCCAAGUCAAGUGAGAGAAUUUUGCCUUGCUCUAACUCCAUUUGUUUUUUAUGAUAAUCACGAAUCAGUGUUGCUUGUCCAAGCCUCAUGGCCGAUUGACCCUUGGUCUUUCCUAACUUGCUAGUUUAGCGUUUGACACACCAAUGGACUCUUUCACAACUUUUUCUAAAGCAUCAAUCCAAGCACCACCAAAUUGGAAGUCUCUCAGCAUAGCGAUCAAGUUAAGCACGGAUUCCGGAUCAUCAAUAUUGACAACGAAUCCGUUUGCUCUCUCCAAGGUUUUCAGCAAAGCAAGAAGAUGAAGAAAACAGGAGUCGGCAAGACCACCGGAACCCAUGGUCCGAUGGGGGUAGUAAAAGGCAGCGCCUUUGGAUCUCAUAAACCCUAGUACCAUGUUGGCAUCGUCAAAAUUUCCUAAAACAGCUUCUAGAAAGUGAAGUGGUGGAAGAUUGGUUGCACCAAUCUCGACCACCGUCGCCACGGUGGAGUGGAGAAAACGGAGGACCUCCGUUACGGCGGCGAGCUGGAGGAGUAACCUGAACCCAAACAUCAAAUUUAAAUGAUUCACAUUUCCACAUUUGGAAAAACUUGAACUCAAUAACUGCGGGGACGGUAAAAUCAUCAAGGUAUCCCUAUUUUGUAUAUCUUUGUUAUUCGUGAAUCUAAACUUGAUGAUUUUAAGUCAGCAUAUAUUUUUAAAUGAAUAAUGUUCAAGCCUGCAAAAAACAUUAAAAUUCAAAGGAUGAUUAAACAUGCGGAUUUUUUAAACAAGUAAUUUUAUGUUGGGACAAAAAAGAAAACAUAAUAAUUUUAUGUGAACUAAAAACAUUUAAUUUUUUUAAACAAAUACAUUUUUUUAGAGUGUGUCUACUAAUAUGCACCUCUUAAAAUUGGUUCAAGGGUGGUUUACUAUAUUUAGUAAACAAUGAGAUUUAUAUUAAUAAAAUAUGAAGAACAGAAAAAAUAUUUUAUUAUAAUUUACUAAAAUAAAGAAGGGUCCACCUUUGGAUGGUCCAUAUUAAAUAUUAGAAAAAAUAGCGAGUUCAUCUAUCUGAGAACUCUUAUUUAUAGAGAAGAUGAACUAAGUGGUUGCCACUUAAGUGAAAGAAUAAAAAUGAGAAAUAUAUAAAUAAAAAUAAAGAGAUACAAAGACCAUGCAGACAUUAAACAUAUUCCUGGUACAACCAAGCUGAAAAUAAAUCAUGGAAAUACAAACCAAAUAGAUCAACCUUAAUCAAUCCUAACAAAACAAUCACUCAUUACGAACGCAACUCAGUGAACUCGCGUACGGGUAUGAAAUCAGGUUACAAAAAAAAUGACGAGUAAGCGUCUGUAGGAUCAAACAAGGUUCAUAAUUGACGAAUGGAUUGGCCGCAAACGUGGUAUCAAGAUUCAUGUACCAACAACCAUUGAACAAAGCAAUAGGCAUAAAAGCUCUUUUGAGCAUAACAGUCUGAUCACAAUCAAAAAGACUAAGAUGGAUAAGAAGUCAGUACUAGAGAGUAGCCCGCCCGUCUUCAGUCUUGCAGAUCUCAACAAACGUGGAAUAUCAGAGAAUCAAGCAAGCACAGAAACACCAAAUCAACCGAUUUCAAAGACGUGUUUGAUCUCAGAUCGAGGGAUGAGUUCAAUAUGUUAGUAACCAAACAACCCUUUUGAGUUAAGACAACCAGACCCUUUCGGGUUUGAGAAUCCAAGCCACCGCAAAAAAGGCCAUAUCUAUUGCCACCACCCACUCUCAUAACAGAAACACACGGCAAACACACAAAACAAAAAUGAACAACAACACAGACCAAAACAAACAACAACACAAAGCAAAAAUAAAAAAACGGUGAAACAAGUUGAACUUAGGUUUGCAAUUUUUGUAAUAAAGUGCAACAAGUUGAAAUAUGUAUUUCCAAUCUCCAUAUGUAAAGAGCUUCCUGAGCUAAAUGUUCUGAUGAUAAGAGAAUCAGAUGAGCUAGAGGAAAUAUUUGUAAUUGAAGGUGAUGAUCAGAAAGUGAAGAUUCCAAAUCUAGAAUGUGUAGUAUUUGAAAAUCUACCAAUCCUCAGUCAUGCCCAGAGAAUUCAAUUUCAAGCUGUAAAAAAUCGUUUCAUACGGAAUUGUCAAAAACUCUCUCUGGAAUCAACAAAAAUACAUGCCUUGUCUGCUUCAUAUUUUCGCAACGGUACACACUCUAUCCAAUAUUUUUAAAAACUAUUACAUGUUUGCUGUAAAUUAUUACAUACGAUUUGUUUAAAGGAGCGGUAAGAGGUAUGCAUGCAUAAGUAUUUCUAAAAUGUAAGGGCUCAUGUAGUGACCUAUCUAAUAGAAGCUUUGAUUUUAUGUAAAAUUUAAUUAUUAGGUAGAUUGAUAAACAAUUUUGUGCAUCUUUAAACUUGAAAAUGGUGAUAUACAAUUGAAAGUGGAAGUUUUUAUUUUAUUAUUAUGCUUGAGUUACUAUAUAAUGAUGUUAAUCUCUAUAUUAUUUUGCUGUAGAUCCUGAAUUGUGUAGGUAUUUCAAGACUCUGUUUCGACAACAACUACAAAAAGAGACCAAAGGCAACAAUAGUGGUAAUGAAAAUCCAGAAACCUCUAAAAAAAUUGCCGUUGGGGUUGAAGUUAAAGCAUCAUCAGAACAUGAGCUGACUUCUCCAAAGGUCAAUACCGAUCUAUUGAUUCAAGCUUACCGCACCAGAAUUUAAUCAACGUGACAAUGUAUUUGAUUCAACCAUGCUAUUUUUUGUGCAGAAAAAAAUGAAACGGACACCAGAGACAGAGCAUGAACUUGUGGAAAAUGUUCCCGAUUUAGAAAUACCAACAAAUUCAAAAGUGAUUUCCAGGCCAUGUCAAACUGCGUUAGAAUUUUAAUGGAUGUAAUUAAUAGCUGAAGAUCAUUAUUGCUUCUGUUCUUGUUACAGGAGUUGAUGAAUGAACAAUCGAUGGAACAGCAACGUCUACUUGGAGAACCUGAUACUACCAUCAAACUCUGUUGUCAAUAGCGGCCUAACGCGGCGCGGUCGCGUUGCGCGUUAGGCAAAAGCGGCUGAAAACCGGGUUUUGCGGCCGCUUUUCGUGGAGCGGGAGCGGGUCUAGCGCGGCACGUUUCCGGGUCGAAGCGAAAUUACAGAAUUACCCCUCACUUAAGUGACAUUAGAAAGGUUAAUUUUGUAAUUUUCAAAGCCCUAUUUCUUCACUUCAUUCCAUCGUACAGAGAACAGCCGCUUCUUUUCCUCUUCUCCCAAUUCAAUCGUACAACACUAUUAGGUUUUCACUUCAUCUCUUCACUUCAUUCCAUCAUCUCUUCACUUCAUCUCUCAGCUGCUCAGAUCUUUCACCUCAUCCAUCAUUCCAUAUCUCAGCUGCUCAUAAUUAUUGAAUUCGAAGUUUUAUUUCAUGUUUAGUACUUUUGUUACUUUAAGCUUUAGAGGCUUAAAGUGUUUGCUACCUUGAAUUUUAUUAGUAUUUCUUGCAAGUAUGUUCUUAUGUUUUGCCUAAGACAUGUUUUAUUUCAAAUUAUGAAUUGAGUAAUAUUUAAGUUGUUUUAGUAUUUCUUUUUCAACAUUAUAGUAUUUUAGUAUUAAAUAUAUUAGUGUCCGCGUCAUGUAAUAGCGCCCGCGUCGCGCCCGCAUACCGCACCGCGUCAAUUUUUGGUGUGGCCGCGCCGCGUUUCCGCUUUGACAACAGAGCCGUCAAACCUUCUCAGGUAAAUCAUGUAAUGUCGUAACACCGCGUUGUGCAUAUAAAGCUAAAAAUGAAAUACCGAAAGAAACAUAUUUUAUUUCAAGUGAAUCUUACAAAUAUGCACAACUAACUAAUUUACCUUUCUAUUGUAUACAAUUAGUUGGAGGUGUCUACCAUUUCAGAACCAAAGAAUGUAGCAGAAACGUGUUCCACCAAUUCACCAACAAAGAAUUAGCCACCUAUACAAGUAGUUACUCCUUGCUAGUAUUCUUUUUGACACUUUGUCUAUGCAGGAAUUGACUUAUACUACAAUCUUAAACAUCUUUUUAAUUUUAAGCAGGUUAGCGAAAUAAGUGUUGAAGAAGGAACUACUUUAUGGAUGAUGAUUUGUCCAUUCUCUCCUUCCGAAUCUUUCGUCCUUUUCGGUUUGACAACAGAUAUUAAGAAAGUACAAAAUUAGACAGGUUUAGUCCAUUUUAUUCGUAAUCCAUUCAAUGCAUGCUUUCGGUUUUUUGUAAGUGUGCAAAAGAAAAAACAUCUUUCAUUAUAUUUGGUUUCCUAAAAGAACCAAAAUUUUGGGACAAAAAUAAAAACUAAAAGAACCAAAGAUCAAGUACGGACGGAGUAAUAUGUAUUGAGGCUAAUCCAAAAAAUCAUAUUAAGACUUCAUGAUGAUAUCAUUUGUAUGUUUGAAUUUUUGUAGUAAUAUAGUGACGGCGAAAUGGCCAUAUCUUCUCCUCCAAUUUCCAUGACAAGGCAUUUUGCCACUCCAGACGUUCAUGUUAAUAACUUGCAGGAAACUAGUAACACUAAUGAUGAUCAAGGUGAAGACUCUUUGGAUCAAUUUUAUUUUCUUAAGUUAUCUCAUCACCCUUUUCAUUUUGAAGUUUAAAUCUCUUCUCUCACACCUUUUGUUCAGUUUCUCUAAAUGACGAUGCCGUCAUAAAAGUAACCUCAAUUGUUGAGGAACGAUAUUCUAAGGAUGUCGAAUUUGAAGUUCUAGAAUCGAAGCCCGCCCUUAUCAUUCCUUCGCCUCAAGCAUUUCAAUCUCCUUCGAUGCUAUCCGGAGGUAUAGAUUUUCUCCCUUCAUUUUAUUUUUUAGAACAUUACUUGGUACUCAGAGAGGACUAAUUAUCCUUUUCUAUACUUUCAGGGGACCCUUCUCAACUAGAUGAAGAAUUAGUAAGUUCAUCAUGAGGUCCAUUUUUUCAUUAAUAAUUGCCAUUCGAUAGGUUUCCUAUGAAACAAGAUUUAAACUAAUUUUUUUAUAAAGAUUUUUUUUUUUUAAGUCUAUUGCUUCCGAAUCUUAUAUCCAAAGUUAUGGAGAAUCGUUGCUCAAUAUUUGUAGAUGCUUAACACUGAAAUUCUUGUUUUCUAUUUUUAAUUUUAUUCGUAGUGGAAUCAGACUCUUGCAAAAUAUAAUAUAUGGUGUAAAAUAUAGUGAGGUUGAUCCAUUAUAAGAUAUGAUAUAUCAUUUAGUGAUUUAAAUCUGUGUAGGAAGAUCUUGAUGACCAAAUGGACAUGACUUCUUUUUCCAUUGCUACUACAGAGACCAAUGAUGAAGGUGAAAAUGCUUUGAAUCUAUUUUUAUAUUCUUAUCUUACUUCGAUAUUCAUCGCCCUUUUGAUUUUGAACUUUAUCCUCUCUCACAAUUUGUAUAGUUUCUCGAAAUGAUGAUGCUUUCAAGAAAGUAAGCUCAAAUAUUGAGGAACAAUUUCCUAAGAUUGAUGAUAUAAUAGUUUCCAAAUCUAAACCCUCUCCUUGAAUCACGUCUUUUGUUGCAUCUUUUGUUGCAUCUGAGUUUCCUCUGGUGUCUUCUAAAGGUAUUUUAUUGCUUGCAUUUAAUUUUUAACUAACUUUGGUGUGCUCAAGUAGGCUUAAAUAUUCUUUCCUAUACUUUCAGGGGACCCUUCUCAAAAAGUAGAAGAUUUCAGUUCUUCUUUGCAUGUCAAGAGGGAGCUUGAGCAACUAGUCUCCAAGAAGCAUUUCGAUUAUGAUAACUUGUCUUUGUUGACUGAUUUCUUUGUUAAGCAUCCUUUGGUUCUUUUAAACGACACUUCAUUGAGUAACAGAUACAAGGGUUAUACCUACAAUUGUCUAGCGGAGCUAUUGAAAUUCCUCCAAACUCAUAGUGUGUUGGAUGUGUUAGGUUCAAGCCACUCUGAAUUUGUUGAGUUACUACAAGAUGCACGCAGAUUUCCAUUUCAUAAGGAAUGGUUGGAUGAUAUCGAAAAGCGCGCUUUGUUGCCUGGUUUACAAGUCUCUCAAGAUGCAUUGCAAAAAUUGUUGGACUCAAAACACAUUUUGACUCAACAUGUGGCGGAUCUUAAGCAUCAAUUGGCUUCCUCUGAAGCUGUUUUGCAGAACAUCACUCAACAGGAGGCACAAAUUUUACAAACUCGGGCUGCUUUAAGUGAUCCUAUUGGCUACUAAACUAUUUUUUUCCAUACAUUCGUUCAAGAUGUUCCCUGCUUCUCUUUAUCCUUGAAUAUUAUUUAUUGCUUGGGUUGUUUUUCUGUUUUUCAUUUCAAAUGAAUUAAACAAAUCUUAUUGAUUGUUGUAUCAUUGUAUUAUUGAUAUCUUCCUUAUUUCGAAUAAGAAAACACGUUGAACACAUUUUGCUAUGCUAUACACCACUCAUCAAUCAAUAUGCAUCAAAUGCAUCCUAAGAUUUGGAUAAAUAUUGGAAAAUAUCAAAUAGAAUUUCAUAUUCAGAAGAUUAUCCAAACUAGUAUAUACGACAAACAAAAUGUGACUAAGAGAAAAGUUGGGAUCAAACAACAAAAAAAAUACUGGGAUACAGUUUCAAUAUGCAGAGAUGAUGAACGAAUUUAGUUUUGUAGAUUCAAUAGCAUGGUUGUUAUAAGUUACAGACGGCACCUGCAGUUGCAGCUGCAAUAUAAAGGUUUUUAAAGUCCUCCUAAUUAUAUUACAACCACAAUGUAGACAUAUUAGUGGUAUUUUUCAGAAUUUUAUCGCAAGAAGAAAGUUCUAAACGUAACAUGGUAAUAUGUUAAUGUUUAGUGUAGCCUCUAAAGGUCAGAUAGACUGUUCAGAUUUUUCAUCUCAGAACUUUUGAAAGGGCUAAGAAUAAAGUUGUGUUGUAAGUGAUUAGGUUCGAGCCAUUCUUGUACAAGGGGAAAUGAAAAACAGUGUAUAAACAAUGUCUAGUAAUUAUAUUCCAUCAUUGCUACUUUGUUAUGCUUUCCAUUGUGGGAACAUUUGUACUUCAAUAUUGUUCAUUUCUUGGGUGUAACGUUUCGUCGUUUCUCAUCCGAAGUGAACUAAAGAGUCUCAUUAUGUUUGUGUAUUUAAAACUAUUAGUGAUUGUUGCAUGUUACAUUGAUGAAGUUAUUUUACUGAAUCUUUCAUACAAUAUUGAUUGUGUUUGGGUGUAUUUAAAUAAUGCACCCAAACCCCAAUAUAUAUAUAUAUAUAUAUAUAUAUAUAUAUAUAUAUAUAUAUAUAUAUAUAGGACAUAUACUAUGAGAAUGUCAUUUUUAUAUAAUUGUAUCGUGUCAUUAGUAUUCCUUUUUUGAACACUACUAAAAUAGAAUUUUGAUUUUCUUUUUUAUUUUGUAACAAAAAAAUUGAAUUUUGAAUUCCUCAUGGAUCAAGCUUCGUAGAACAUUUGCUCAGAAGAAAAAAAAAGUUUCUUAGAACAUAUCCUUUUUUUUAAUUUAUCUUCCUAUAAAGUCUAGAUAAAUGCAUGCAUGCACAUUAUAUGAACCUCGUUGAUCAAUUAACAUUUUUGAAACGAAUGGAAAUUAAGCAUCACUCCCUCAUGUGCAUCUAUAGCUAGCACCAUUUGACAUUGAUGUCUUCGAACAUUUGGUGCAACUCUCAUAAUACCAUCCAAACUGGUUAGGAUUGAAUUUAGUUGUUUUUCAAAUAGUGAUGCAAUAUGUAUCCUAACACAAAUUAUGCACAUGAAAUAAAGAAUAAUGCAAUAUGUAUUUUUAAUUUGUGCGUCAAAAAAACACAAAGCAUGUUUGUGCAUAAAAAAAGCAGACCUUGACUAAGUUUAUAAAUCAGCAAUUGGCCUAACCUAAGACAGAUUGGAAAAAUCGUUGUACGUUGAGAAUAAGCCGAACUCUGACUUAAGUUCUGACUGAUGCUUUGACUCUGAGCUUGAGAAGUGUGAAGGUCAUGAGUCAUGACAACAAUUUAAGAAACAUGGUCAAAAAACAAUCAAAUCAGAUUGUGAAAUAAUAAGUUAGCAUGAGCUAAAAUUCAAUCAUCAUGACUGAAGGUGAGAAAAACACAAGAAGGGGGGUUGAAUUGUGUUUUCUUUUUCUCUAAAAAAUACUGUUAUCUUGAUUUUGGGGUGUCAAGUCAUUAAUUAGGCUUGAACCUUUCAAUCAUUGAUAAUCUCUAUUUUUUUUCUUGGGAAGGGUAAAAUUGAGAAAACCCUUAGAAACUCUAAGUUCGGGGGUCGUUUUCGUUACGGGAAGGUGUUAGGCACCCGCAAUGACUAUAGUACUCUAUCGGAACCGUUUUCCUAAUUUUAUGUCUACGCUUUAUUUUUAAUGCUAUUUAUUAAAAAAGGAAGUUGUUUAUGUUAAGAAUGGGGGGAGGAGUGUUUGGAUUUUUAUUUUAUUGAACUUGGAGAGGUUUUGACCUCUUGCCUACAUACCCUUUUAAGGGAUCAAAAUUUCAUGUAGUUCUCUUUCAAAAAAUGUUUUUGUGUGUUUCAAUUGAUUUUAAGUUUUUUGGAAAUGGGUUUUGAAGAAAGGAAAGAAGCCGUGAAGGCAUGAGAAAAAAUGGUGAGUGGUUGGUUCAAUUAUUAAGAAAAGAGUCUAUGUUGGAAUUAAAGUUCAUUUUGAGUUUCUCUUAAGAAAAUAAAGGGAAAAUUCAAUGGAGUUUUGACUCCAAGGUUUAUUAGGAAAAAAAAUUUCAAGUGAUGGAAUUUGCUUAUUUUUAAAAAAGAAGAAUAUUUUUCUAAGUAUCGCGUUCCCUAAGCAUACAUCUAAAGCGGUAAAUCAUCAUACAACGUGUGUGCGUGUCGGUGCUUGUAUCGGUGUACAUCAUUAGAGUCCAUUGUCCAUUACAUAGGCCCUAGUUUACAUUCUAUGGUCUUGCAAGAAUUUAAAAGAAAAAUUGAAACUACCUAAAUUUACAUGCCAACUUUAACAUAGAAAUGAAUAGUAAAAGACCUAAACUAUAAGAAAUGGAGAUGAAAUGAUAGAAUGCUUAUGAGGUGAAUGAAACAAGAAAUAAAAAUGGUUAGUAGAAUAGGGCAUAAAAUGAUAGAACAAGUUAGCAAAGAAAUACGAGAUAAACGGUAAAAACAACAACAAUAACCAAAAUGUAAAAAGUACACAUUACUUGCAACACAAGAAAUUAACAAAUCACAUUAAAAAUAGUACAAACAAACACAUGAUCAGAGACAUAUUCACCACAAAAUUGCAUAUCAAUCAUUCAUAUCGUGCCAAGACCUCAUGAACAAAUUAUGGCAAGAAAAUUCACAAGUUUAGUCAAAAAAUGAACAAAUCAACAAGAAAACAUUACAUAUAUUUUUUAUCAUUUUUUAACAUGUAAAAACAUCACAAAAAUGUUAAAAAUGCAUCAAGAAACACAUAGAAAUUUUUUUAGGAAUUUUUGCAAGAAAAUUAGAACAAACAGGGGUUCAAAUAGCAAGACAGCAAGGUGCAAAUAGCAAGAAUACUAACAAGAAAAAAAGGAAUCUGCGCAGAAGGAGGCCCAAGCCCAAAACCUAAGGCCUGGAUGCACAGGGAGCGUUGGAUUGAUCCAGGGAGGGAAACCCUAGAUCCAACGCUCAGGAUUGCAGGGGAUUGGACCGGUCUUGAACCGGUCCGGUCUAGUGGUCUAUAUAAGCAAGCCUACACCGGUUCAAUCACUUUGCUAUGUUCUUUCUCUCUCUUCUCUCAUCCUAGUGAGAGAUGCUCUCGCCUCUCUCUUCUCUUCCUCCGCCGGUUUCUGGAAUGAGCGGCCGGAGAAGAUGAAGAUCUGGCCGGAACCUUCAUAGGUCCGCCGGAAUCUUCAUCUUCUCCGGCGAGAUCUCCAGUUUUCCGGCAACCUCUAAUCUCACCAGAACUUCGAAAAUUUUACAACAAACUCUUCGUUUCUUCAUCCUAAACAUGAUUCUAACACUGGUUUUCACAAAUAAAGCUUGAAUCAACGUAGAUCUAAAGAUUUUGCUACGGUUUUGAAAGUAUUUUUAGGUUUUUCAGUUUUUUGAAAGAAACUCUUUGAAACUUUGAAGAUCUACAUUGAUUCGUUCUUGUUAUUGUUCUUGAGAAAGGAAAAUGAAGAUUCAAGUGUUACCUGUGAUUUAAUCGGAGAUUUCGAACGAAAAUCUUCGGAAAACUUCGAUCUGAUUCUGUUUCGUUGAUUUCGUUCUUGAAUCCGAAAAUAAAUCGGUGUUCUGGCUGGUUCGAUUCUUUCUUCUUCUUCACCGGUUCAAAUUCUUCUUCUUUUCCUCUUCCUCUUCACUGAUUCUCUGUGAUCGGUGCUUGAGUUUGCCAAUGGCGAAUUCGCGCCUUGAAUUGCAGAGAAUCCGGUUCAAUGAUGAUGAUUGUUUGAAGAAUCACUGAGAACUGAACGAAUUUAGUUGAAAUUGUUGAUGAAUUGUGAUUCUGGAAUUCUAGGGUUCAUGAAUGUUCUUCAUGUUCUUGAUAGUUUCUGAGUUUUUGAUCUAACUGAAUGGAGAGAGAAACUGUGAUUCUGUUUGUUGAGGUGGCGUGAAUUGUGUGGAUCCUCUGGUUUGUGCAGUGAAUGCACCUUUUAUAGGCUGUCAAGUGUGCUUGAGACCCAAUGGGAGAGGGACACCUGUUUUUUGGACUUAGGGACCUCUCUGCAAAAAAGAAAAAUUGAAGGAUUGGACUGUAAUAAAAAAAAUGGACUAAAAUGCAAUUUUUAAACUGUUUGGGACUGAAAUGCAAUUUUAGAAACUGUUCAGGGACUAAAAUGCAAUUAAAAAUAAAAUUGGACUAAAAUUGGUAAUUUGGAAAAAACGUAAAUUGAAACCAAAAAUAAAAUCAACAAAAGGACUAAAAUGAACCAAUUACAAAAAUGAGGUAUUUCAAAAUACCUCUCUGUCGAAAUUUUGACAGGAAAAGACCAAAAUGCCCCUAGGGACUAAAAUGACUCAACCUGACUCAGAUGCAAUUUUGAAAUGAUUUUAAACAAAGACUCAACAGUGAUUUGUAAAACAAGUUGAAAAGACUCGUAGGAAAACACAAGAAAAGUAAUGCAAUGAUUCAGAGAAUUUUCAAAUAACUUGUAAUGCAAGAAAGACACUUUGGAUAGUUUUAUGCAAGAAAAUCAUGAUUGAACACACUUUGAGACAGAGACAGUAAAAUAUGCAGAUGAAAAGAGAGUCAAGAUUCAGAGUAAAACAACAGUAAAUUGACAAAUAUCAGUGUUAGAAAAGAAAUUUGAAUGAGUAUUUUUAGGUCCAAAAUCAGGGUAUAACAAUUACUUCUUCUGAUAAUACUUCAGAAGCUGUUUUGGAAUGCUUCUGAUGUAAUAACCAGAAUCAGAUAUGCAGCGGAAAAGAUCAAAGCAGAGAAAAGAAAAACGAGACACAAGUAGUUAUCCUGGUUCCUUCCACAAAUCGGAAGUAGUCCAGUCCCCCUUGCACUUCCAAGGAGAUUUCACUAUAAUCACAAAGAUUACAAAUGCUCAAUACUCUCUAAGUAUGAGACUUCUCAAAAAUGCUCAAGCACGCACGCAAGAGUCUUCUAAUGCUCAAGCACACAGGCAAGAGACUUCUGUUCAAACAAAAAUACAGAGAAAAUGUUUGACCUUGAACACUUGAUAUACAAUCAGUAGUGUUCACAAAUACAAUGCAAUAAAAACUCUAGACUUGUGAAUUUCUAAGAUGUAUCAAAUCAGUGCAGAAAUUCAAUGUGCUUUGUAGAAUCAAAUUGACAGGGUUUUGGCGCUUUUUAACUUGUAUAUCUCUAUCUACAAUCUUCAAGUCUUCACUCCCUUAUAUAGAGGUGUGAAAGAGACGUUGAGAUGAUUAGCACGUCUAAAGAGUCGUUGAGUUCCUUUGAUCAUCCACCAGUAAUCAUUUGUCUGAUUUGGGUGUAGUCCUUUGAAGAAUUAGCUUCAAAUUCAUUCCCAUCUUGAAGGAACAAUUCUGCAGGCAUAGCUGUUGUCUUGUCUUGUAGCGUAGACAAAAACAGAGUAGUGGAGGUAGUGGUUGUACACUUGUACUUUGUCAACUCUAUUAACGCAGGACAAGUACUCAGUGUUCUUCAAAUGACCGUUGAUACCUCCCUUUCAAUUCUUCGUUCUUCUUAGACGAGGUUGAAACGAGAAACAGCUACUUUGAAUCUUCAGUUUAAAUUCACUGAUUAAUUGUACCUUCUGGUGAUGAUUUCGCUUCUGAUGAAAACCUUGCUUCUGAUGACGUCAUUACUUCAGAAGCACUCCAGCUUCAUAAGCACUUUAGCUUCAGACGCAGUUUUCUUCAGAUGCUUCAGAUUACUUUGCUCUCCAUUGUUCUUCCAAGACCUAUUGAAAUUGAUUGACUUGCCUAUGGUCCUGUACACUUGAACAAUUAUUAGCAAUAACCAAUUGACAAUUUUUAAUAUCUUGUUAUCAUCAAAAUUUAUUAUGGUUUAUUGUGAAACACAUUUUGUUCCAACAAUGACCUCUACUAUACUCCACACUACAAAAGAAGAUUUUUCUACACUCAUGCAGCAUAACAAUUUCUGGUACAUAAUCCACUAAAAAUUGUAAAAAAAAACAAAAACAAAAAGACCCUUAAAAUGCAGAAUUGUGAAAAAAGGAAGAAAACCACCUAUGAUGAAGCAAAAACUAAAACAGUGUUGAAAAAUGAACCCCUCAAGCCAUAAAAAUCAGUCAACUAAAGUCAUGCAUGGUCUCAGAACCAUGAAAAAAGGAAGAAAAUGACCUCUUACGAAGAAGAAAGAGAAACAGUGUUCACAGUUGAACUUAGAUACCGUUAGGGCAAGAUUUUUUACGGUCUAAAAGUUACUUCAAAAUAAAUUUAAAAUAAAGGCUUUUAAGAAAGAAGCUAAAGUUGUUUGGUUUCUUUGUUUUUUUAGUUUCAAAGCUAUUUUUAAGUUAAAUGUUGGUUGGGAAAAUAUUAUACAAACUUUGAUAUUUUUUUUUUUUAUGUUGUCCGGAUUCGAACCUCGGACUUGGCAUAUAUUUAUGCAUUGUUCCUAUCAUCUAAGCUAAACUCACGAGGACAAAACUUUGAAUUUCUUAUGAAUUAACAUAAUAAAGAAAAAAUGUUUAACAUAUUUUCUGAAGGCUAAAAAUGUUAAAAACGAAAAGAUAUUUUUUUUUUACAAAUACUAUCUUUACUCAAUAAUGUUUAUUUUUUUUAACAUGAAUGCAAAUUUGUAUCAUCGUAUAAAUAACUUGUUAGAUAUUUGAAUAGGAGAAACAAUUUAAGGAGCCUGAAAUAAUAACAUAAAUAAUAUCAAAAUAGCUGAUUUUUUCUAUUUCAAUUAUACUUUAUAAAAAAUUUCGUUAUAAGAAUACCAUAUUUUUGGUGUCUUUUAAAAAGAUAAGAAUUUAUAUUAUAUUUGUUACAUUGUUGGUGUCAUCGAAACAUAUAUGUUUAGUUUUUUUUUAAUAAGAAAAAAAUAUGCAGAGUUUGUUACAAUAUAAAGGUACAAUAUAUAUAUAUAUAUAUAUAUAUAUAUAUAUAUAUAUAUAUAAGUAUAAUUUUUUUAGGCAUCUAUACAUUUUUUGAAGAAAAGACAUCUACAAUUUUACUUUUGAUUAGAAUCAAAAUUUUAUAAAAAUAAUCAUACGCAUUAUGCAACGCCAAAAAAAUUAUACGCAGUAGCGUGACAAUAAAACUAACACACAUAAAGUAUUACUCUUUUUUUUUUGGUAGAUAGACGAAAUGGCAAAGCCAUUAUAAACUCACACACACAAGUAGAGGUGCCGGGGUUCGAACCCCGGUCAUGGCAUCCGGCCUAACAAUUUCGGCAUUUUUGCCAGUUGAGCUAGGACUUCUGGAUACAUAAAGUAUUACUCUAAAUGCUAAUGUGUGUGUCUGUAUAUAUUUGCGAGGUUGAAGAAAGAAAAUAAAAAUAUUUAGUAUCAUUAAAUGACAGCGUGAAUAAAAAUAUUUGUGAGGUUGUGAUGAUUAAACGAUAUUGAAAUUAAAUACAUAAGUGAUAAAAAGAUAAUAAAAUUCCUUUAAAAAAAGUAAUAGAAUUAAAUGGGACCUCCUUAAAAAAAUUAAAUGGAACGGUUCAAAAAAAAUAAUAAUAAAGUAGAAGAAAAAAACAUAUUGAAAUAUAAUAUUAAAAAAUAAAAGAAAAGUUUCCCAACGUGAAUUGAAGAAAGAUUCUUGUGAAAUAAAUUGUCGAGAAGUAGUUUUUUGAAGUAAUAUUCAACAACUUUUGGCCAAAGCUUAUUCUAUUCAAUUUUAUGCAUUAAAAAAGUACAUUUUUUAGUAAGUACUUAAUUGGUAUUGUAUUUGGCCUAACUUCUCCUUAAAAAUGUAGAGAAGUUGAAAAAAAAAAUCGGGUCAAACGGUAUCUUAAUCUCCCACAACGGCAGUGUAAAAGCAAUUGAAUUUGGGAGAAAAAAUUCAAAAAUAAUUAAAAAUAAAAAAAUUGGAAAAUAGUUAAAAGUUAAAAGUUUUUAAAAAUAUAAAAAUAGAUAAAAAAAUCAGUGAGGUAGCACUCAACCAAGCAACACUAAAAAAAAUUAUAUGCAUUAGCUUAACAAAAAAAACAGACAUAAAAUAUUACUAUAAACGUUAAUGUAUGUGUGUAUAUAUAUUCCCGAGGUUGAAGAAAGAAAAUAAAAAUAUUUGGUAUCAUUAAAUGACAGCGUGAAUAAAAAUAUUUGUGAGGUUGUGAUGAAUAUAUGAUAUUAAAAUUAAAUAUAUAAGUUAUAAAAAGAUAAUAAAAUUCCUUUGAAAAAAAGAUAAUAAAACUAAAUGGAACCUCCUUUAAAAAUUAAAUGGAACAGUUCAAAAAAAUAAAAUAAAAUAAAGUUAAAUGAAAGGAAAAAAACAUAUUGAAAUAUAAUAUUCAAAAAUAAAAGAAAAGGUUCCAGCGUGAGUUGAAAAGAGAUGAUUGUGAAAUAAAUUGUCGAGAAGUGGUUUUUUAAAGUAACAUUCAACAACUUUUGGCCAAAGUCAUUCCAUUCAAUUUUAUGCAUUCAAAAAAAUUAUUUUAGUAAGUACUUAAUUGAUAAUGUGUUUGGCCUAACUUUUCCUUAAAAAUGUAGAGAAGUUGGAAAAAAGCCGGGUCAAACGAUACCUUAAUCUUCCACAACGACAAUGUAGAAGCAACUGAAUUUAGGAGAAAAAAAUUGAAAAAUAGUUAAAAACAGAAAAAAAAAUGAAAAAUAGUUAAAAAUUAUUAAAAAUUAUAAAAUUAUAAAAUAAUUAAAAAAAAUUGGUAAGGGGCAAAAUGGAGAAUGCACCCUAAAACAUGUGAGGUGGCAACAACCAAAUUUCACCAAAUAGUAAAUUACAAAAAUGCUCCUCUUAAAGGCAAAAUGGUAAAAUCAUAGAGAUUAAUAUUUAAUAUAUAGUAAGUAGAUAGUAAGUAGAUUAAAAAAUGUAAUAAUGAUCUCAAAUGAUAUGACAAUUUUACUAAACUAGUCUUAAUUACUGUUGGUAUAGUAUACACUCAAUUCAUUAGAGAGUGUAAAUUACAUUUAUUUUGAAACAAUUUUUUUUUUCUUCUACGGCUACUUAAACUAGAAAUUUAGACAAACAAGAGGGUACAACAACAUUUACUUCAAACCAAAUCGUGACCAUGGGUUGGUUUCAGUUAUUGUUUUAUUAAAUAAGUGUGACCCUAUCUAUGCAUAAGUGAAGCUUUAAAUCAAUGAAAAGACUUGACUAGCUAGGUAGCUGUGAAGUUUCUGAAUAAUUUAAUUGAACAUUUAAUUUAUACGGACCCUAUCCAUCCCUUCUUCUUUUCUUUUCUGAAUACCAAUGCCUUAUUCACUUAAUGUUGGGUACUGCAGAUUGCAGAAACAGCUGUUAAUUUGAUUUGCAGAUUGGAAAACCAGGUAAAUAACAAUAUAUUUUGCUUGAUCAUUCAUUCAUGUACAAAGAUAAAGUAGGUUUUCUAAAAUUGUUGGAAAGAUCGUCUACUUGUUGAACAAAAAUUAAGCUUCCAAAGUAUAUUUCUACAGCAGAGUUGUUGCAGUCAACACUACUAGCUACUGAAUAUUAGAGAAAGAUCAAGAGAAUAGUUCAUACGGCUUGAACAUUUGCUGAAACAAGGUAACAAUCAAUGAUAUGCUCAUACAAAUUAUAUUUAGUACAUGCUUUAUUUUAUGAUCCAUGUAAUCACAACACUGUAGCUUUUUCUUAUUCUAUUUAAUGUUUUAAGUAGUUACUUCAAAUAUAGAAUUACCAAAGUUACAAAAGGGGAAAUAACAUUGGAUUGAUUUUUUUUUUUGGUUACAUAACACAUUGGAUUGAUAAUCACAUUAUUAUAAUAAUAAUAAUUAUUAUUAUUAUUAGAGAAAUGUUAACUAGUGUUAUUAAAGUGUCCUUAGGGCACUUGUUAAGAAGUCUACAGAAAAAAUGUUGUAUUGGAAAUAGUUUAAAAAAUAAUUUUUUUUACAAAUUUUUUUAUUUUGUUUUGAAGGAAUUAUUAUUAGGCUAAAGUGCACUUUUCGCCCCCUAUGUUUCAUAAUGUUGCGAUUUUGGCCCCCUAUUAAAAAAAGUAGCAAUUUUGGCCCCUUUCAUCCCAAAAUUGCUCGGAAGAUGCCACGUGUCCCAGAAAAGGGGUCAUAAUCGCAACUUUUUGUAAAGAUAAGGGGUCAAAAAACAUAUUUCCCUUAUGUUAGGGGGUCAAAAGAGCAUAUUUCCCUAAACAUAGAGGAUCAUUUUUGCCAUUUUUUUUAAUAGGGGGCCAAAAUCGCAACAUUUUGAAACUUAAGGGACUUUAGCCUUAUUAUUAUUAUUGGUAGAAAUUACAAACUAGUUUAAAGAUCUAAUCAGCGGUCAUGUCAACGUCGAUUAAUUGUUGACAAACAUUUAUUUAACGGAAUAACUUAAUUUUUUUUUUUUUAAGAAUCUGACUAUAACUUCUUUUUUGCUUAGAGAUUUGUUUAAAAAAAGUUCAAAUAAUUUAAGGAUUUGCACAUUAACUAAACUUUUUUUUUUUUUCAAAUAUCAAAUAUAUAUCAAAAUAUAGCCUUAGCUUUUCAAACUCUCAUCUUUAAAACCCUCUUAAAUUCAACUUGCAAAUCACACCGUAUAACUCAAUAUUUCAUUUUGGCUUAAAUGUCUCCCUGCAUUUUUAUCACUUUUUAGGAUUGGUCCCUACAUUUUUAUUUCAUCAUCUUGUAAUUAUUCCAUCAUCUUGUAAUUUGUUAAUUAUAUAAAACAAAAAAAAAGCCACCAUCCAAGUAUUUUCUCAACAAUUUUGUGUGCAGAACUUGAAUAUCAAGGACCAUUGCCUUAUUUCACUUGAUGAUGGCUACUGCAUAUAGCAGAAACAGGUGUUGUAGUGUCUGCUGCAGAACUUGAAUUGGAAAACAACAAUCAUUCAUAUAUAGUUGUUGAUCAAUCAUACCAUAUGAAGUUUUUUAGAACUAUUACCUUGAAAUGGAGAAUUAGUUGGUGAAACGCAGAAUUGAUAUCAUGCUCUUUUAUCCUCUCCUUCUUACAUGCAAACAUAAUAACUACCACUUUAUUAUUGCAUAUUUACAUUUAUGAAAAGUAAUAUUUAACCAAAAUUAUAUUUCUACAGCAGAGUUGUUGCAGUCAACACCACCUUAUUAUGAUCUUGAUGAUGCUAGCUACUGCAUAUUGGAGAAUGAUCUUGAACAUUUGCUGAAACUGCUGGAUAUAAGGUAAUCAUACUUUUAACAAUUUUAAUUAAUUUCUUAAGUUUUAUAAAUCAACUUGAGUUUUAUGCUUUUGUAUUAUUUUUUAGAGAACACCAACUUGAAUGGAUAAGGAUUGAAUCAAUCAAACAUAGUCUAUCUGUAAUAAAUUUUCUGUUCAAGCCAUGUUAUCUUUUCUUUUCAAACUAAGAGCUUAAAACCUGAAGCCUGCUUCCAAGUCAAAAUCCUCAAAAAUGUCCUCUAAUUUCAAGCAUUGAAAAAAGGGGAAAUAACAGUGGAUUGAUACAUACUGACUUAAGUUACAAAAACUUCAAUAUUUUAGAAAGCUACUACAUUGAUUAAAUAAAAGUUCGAUAUCCACUAUGAAACACUAACAGGAGAGGAGAGCCUUACCAUUUUGUAAAUGAUAUGAAAGGAUUAUUUAAUAAGUUGCAACUAAGCAAGGUCCUAUACUUAUUAGUUACAGGAUCCUAUCUUUUAACUACGCGCACAAUAUGCCAAAACUAUAGUAUGCCAAACUCCAACAAUUUUGUAAAAGUUAUUGACUCUGCAGCUUUUGUUUGCUGCAGAACAUGAAUUGCAAUAACUAUUACUCCUAAUUCUCUUGAUUGAAUCUUUAGUAUUGGAUGGACUCCCUGUUUCAAAUUACUUUGAUGAAAAAUGUGUCAUCAAGUAUCAUUUUUCAAAUGAACAGACUUCGAACAAAGAAAAUCUUACUGCACAAAAAAAUUCUUUGAUGAAAAGUGUGUCAUCUACUAUCAUUUAUCAACCAUUUUAUUUCUCAAUACACAAUACAACACACACACAACCAUAUAUAUGCCUAACUUUGAUCUAUUGAAAUUUAUUUAGAUGGCAAGUUUUUUGACUGAUUUGGCGAAGCCUUAUGUGGAUAAAUUGAUAAAUGGGGUGAUCGCAGAGUCAAGUUAUAUAUGUUGCUUCACGUACAUUGCUAAGGAUUUUGAAGAAGAAAGAGUUAGUUUGGAAAUAGAAAAGACAACUGUCAAGCAACGUGUUGAUGUGGCAACCAGUAGAGGAGAAGAUGUUCAAGCUAAUGCUCUUUCUUGGGAAGAAGAAGCCGAUAAGCUUAUUCAAGAAGACACAAGAACAAAACAAAAAUGUUUUUUUGGAUUUUGUUCUCAUUGCGUAUGGAGAUAUAGAAGGGGAAAGGAAUUGACAAAUAAGAAGGAGCAAAUUAAAAGAUUAAUUGAAACUGGAAAGGAACUUUCAAUUGGACUCCCUGCUCGUCUUCCAGGUGUUGAACGUUAUUCAUCCCAACACUAUAUUCCUUUUAAAAGUAGGGAAUCCAAAUACAAAGAGCUUUUGGAUGCAUUGAAAGAUGACAACAAUUAUGUAAUCGGGUUGAAAGGAAUGGGGGGCACAGGAAAAACUACAUUGGCCAAAGAAGUUGGUAAGGAACUUAAGCAGUCCAAACAAUUUACUCAAAUAAUUGACACGACAGUGUCAUUUUCUCCUGAUAUCAAAAACAUUCAAGAUGAUAUUGCUGGACCCUUGGGAUUGAAAUUUGAUGACUGUAAUGAAUCAGACAGACCCAAAAAACUAUGGAGCAGGUUAACCAAUGGUGAAAAGAUUCUUCUAAUAUUGGAUGAUGUGUGGGGAGACAUCGAUUUUAAUGAAAUAGGGAUUCCAUACAGUGACAAUCACAAAGGCUGUAGAAUUCUUGUAACCACGCGCAAUCUCUUGGUGUGUAACAGAUUAGGAUGCAGUAAGACAAUGCAACUCGAUCUGUUAUCUGAAGAAGACGCAUGGAUCAUGUUCAAAAGGCAUGCUGGUCUUAGCGAAAUUUCAACUAAAAAUCUGCUUGAAAAAGGGCGUAAAAUUGCAAAUGAAUGCAAAAGGUUACCGAUUGCAAUUGCUGCUAUCGCCAGCAGUUUGAAGGGCAUACAACGUCCGGAAGAGUGGGAAUGGGCCUUAAAAUCCUUGCAGAAAAAUAUGCAAAUGCACAAUGUUGAUGAUGAACUGGUUAAAAUUUAUAAAUGCUUAAAAUUUAGCUAUGAUAAUAUGAAGAAUGAGAAGGCCAAGAGACUAUUCCUCUUGUGUUCUGUAUUUCGAGAAGAUGAAAAAAUUCCUACCGAAAGGUUAACCAGACUUAGCAUCGGAGGAGGCCUUUUUGGGGAGGAUUAUGUCAGCUACGAAGAUGCUCGAAGCCAAGUUGUUAUAUCCAAAAAUAAACUCCUAGAUUCUUGUUUAUUGUUGGAGGCCAAAAAAAGUAGAGUGCAAAUGCAUGACAUGGUUCGUGAUGCAGCCCAAUGGAUAGCGAGCAAAGAGAUUCAAACAAUGAAGUUGUAUGAUAAAAAUCAAAAGGCAAUGGUUGAAAGGGAGAAAAAUAUUAAAUAUUUGUUAUGUGAAGGCAAGCUUGAGGAUGUGUUUUCAUGUAUGCUUGAUGGUUCCAAGCUUGAGAUUCUAAUUGUCACUGGGCAUAAGAAGGAAGGCUUCCACUGCCACGAUUUGAAAAUCGAUGUCCCGAAUUCAUUUUUUGAAAAUAGUACGGGCCUUCGAGUUUUUUAUCUAAUCUAUGAUAAGUAUUCUAGUCUAUCUCUAUCAUUACCUCAUUCAAUUCAGUCGUUGAAGAAUAUUCGAUCUCUUCUCUUUGCAAAUGUCAUUUUGGGUGACAUCUCUAUUUUGGGAAACCUUCAAAGUCUAGAGACACUUGAUUUGGAUGGUUGUAAAAUUGAUGAAUUGCCUCAUGGAAUCACAAAACUAGAGAAACUGAAAUUAUUGAACUUGACAUCUUGUAGAAUUGCAAGGAAUAAUCCUUUUGAAGUGAUUGAAGGAUGCUCGUCACUUGAAGAGUUGUAUUUCAUAGGUAGUUUUAAUGAUUUUUGCCGAGAAAUAACUUUCCCGAAAUUGCAAAGGUUUGAUAUUGGUGAAUUUUCAAACUUAGUGGAUAAAUCAUCAUUGAAGGGGGUGUCUGAUCUUGUAAUCUCAGAUAAUGUUUUCCUAUCUGAAACAACACUCAAGUAUUGUAUGCAAGAAGCAGAGGUUCUUGAACUAGGAAGAAUCGAGGGGGGGUGGAGAAACAUCGUACCUGAGAUUGUUCCUCUGGAUCAUGGUAUGAAUGAUCUAAUCGAGCUUGGUUUGAGAUCCAUUUCACAAUUACAGUGCCUCAUUGACACUAAUUCUCCAGUUUCAAAAGUCUUCUCCAAGUUGGUUGUACUAAAGCUCAAAGGAAUGGAUAAUUUAGAAGAAUUGUUCAAUGGUCCUGUUUCCUUUGACUCUCUGAACAGUUUAGAGAAGCUGUCCAUCAAUGAAUGUAAACAUUUAAAAAGCUUAUUUAAGUGCAACCUAAACCUCUGCAAUCUAAAGAGUCUUUCAUUGGAAGAAUGCCCGAUGUUGAUAUCCCUAUUUCAACUGUCAACUGUUGUUAGCCUAGUGUUGUUGGAGAAACUGGAAAUAAUUGAUUGUGAGCGCCUUGAAAACAUAAUAAUAGUUGAAAAAAACGGGGACGAAUUGAGAGGUGAAAUAAUUGAUGCUAAUGGCAAUACAAGUCAUGGCUCAAUGUUUCCGAAACUAAAAGUUCUUAUUGUUGAGAGCUGUCCGAGAAUUGAAUUAAUACUUCCGUUUCUCUCUACUCAUGAUCUUCCAGCACUAAAAUCCAUCAAAAUAGAAGAUUGUGACAAGUUGAAAUACAUAUUUGGUCAAGAUGUCAAACUUGGUUCGCUCAAAAAAUUGGAGCUUGAUGGCAUUCCGAAUUUGAUCGACAUUUUCCCAGAAUGUAAUCCUACAAUGUCUUUGUCCAUUAAGAAGCCAUCUUCCAUUUCUGAGUCACAAGAACAAUCAGAGCCAAUCAAAUGCAAUAUGUUUUCAUGGACUGAUAUCUAUUGUUGUGGUAAAAAAUAUGGGCACAACAAAUUGAGGAGUACCACAAUUACGAAAAUCCCAUUGGUUUCUCAGGAUCAACUGCUGGAUAACUUAAUGGUAACCCUCUUACCUUCUUCUGUGAUGUUAUUUUGUGUACUUUUUUAAGCCAGUCUGUCGGACUUGUAUUGUAGGAAUCAUUUGUUUUUAUUUUCUUGAAUUCUAUAUUUGCUCACUGAGAUUAUAUAAUUGCAGGAAUCAAAUUCAUAUCCUCUUAACAUAUGGGAAAGUGCUCAAUGUCUUUCAAGACAAUCACAUAUCUUGUGCAAUAUUAAAAAGAUUACACUCUGGAAAAUUUCAAAGAUGAAAUCAGUAUUUAUCCUGUCUAUUGCUCCAACAAUGUUGUUGGAGUCAUUGACAAUCUAUAAGUGUAAUGAAUUGAAGCACAUUAUAAUAGACAUGGGAGAUCAUGACAACACUGGUGGCAAUAACUGGGGCACUGUCUUCCCAAAAUUAAGAUUGUUCGAAGUUGAACAUUGUGAGAAAUUGGAAUACAUAAUUGGACACUUCACUGAUGAUCAUCAAAACCACACUGAGAUUCCUCUUCAUCUUCCAGCAUUGGAGACCUUCGUUCUUCACAAUCUGCCAAGUUUAGUCAGCAUGUGUCCCAAACAAUAUCACACGACAUUUCCACAAUUGGAAAGACUUGUAGUUGAAGAAUGCCCGCAGUUUAUUGGUGAUUUCAUAACUCAUCAUUCAAUAACAAGAUCGGUGGACGGUACAAUCAUCAAGGUAUUCAUCUUUAUCUCUAUAUAUCUUUGUUGUUUGAAAAUCUAAACUUGAUGAUUUUAAGUCAACAUAUGCUUUUAAAUGAAUAAUGUUCAAAUCAUGCCUGCAAAAACAUUAAAAAAAAAAAAUUCAAAGGAUGAUUAAACAUGCGGUUUUUUUAAAGAAGUAAUUUUAUGUUGGGACAAAAAACAAAACAUAAUAAUUUUAUGUGAACUAAAAACAUUUAAUUUUUUUAAACAAGUACAUUUUUUGUGUCUAAUAUGCACCUCUUGAAAUUGGUUCAAGGGUGGUUUACUAUAUGAAGAACAGAAAAAUAUUAAUAAAAUAUGAAGAACAGAAAAAUAUUUUAUUAUAAUUUACUAAAAUAAAGAGGGGUCCACCUUUGGAUGGUCCAUAUUAAAAUAUUAGAAAAAAUAGUGAGUUCAUCUCAUCUCUCUCAGAACUCUUAUUUAUAGAGAAGAUGAACUAAGCGGUUGCCACUUGCCACUUAAGUGAAAGAAUAAAAAAGAGAAAUAUAUAAAUAAAAAUAAAGAGAUACAAGGACUAUGCAGACAUUAAACAUAUUCCAGGUACAACCUAGCUGAAAAUAAAUCAUGAAAAUAUAAACCAGAUAGAUCAACCUUAAUCAAUCCUAACAAAACAAUCACUCAUUACGAACGCAACUCAGUGAACUCGCGUACGGGCACAAAAUCAGGUUACAAAAAAAAAAAUGACGAGUAAGCGUCUGUAGGAUCAAACAAGGUUCAUAAUUGGCGAAUGGAUUGGCCGCCAACAUGGUAUCAAGAUUCAUGUACCAACAACCAUUGAACAAAGCAAUAGCAUAAAAACUCUUUUGAGCAUAACAGUCCGAUCACAAUCACAAAGACUAAGAUGGAUAAGAAGUUAGUACUAGAGAGUAGCCCGCCCGUCUUCAGUCUUGCAGAUCUUAACAAAAGUGGAAUAUCAGAGAAUCAAGCAAGCACAGAAACACCAAAUCAACCGAUUUCAAAGACGUGUUUGAACUCAGAUUGAGGGAUGAGUUCAAUACGUUAGUAACCAAACAACCCUUUUGAGUUAAGACAACCAGACCCUUUCGGGUUUGAGAAUCCGACCCACCACAUAAAAGGCCAUAUCUAUUGCCACCAUCCACUCUCAUAACAGAAACACACGGCAAACACACAAAACAAAAAUGAACGACAACCUAGACCAAAACAAACAACAACACAGAGCAAAAAUAAAAAAAACGGUGAAACCCGAGCCUAAACAUAUUCGGAAGGCAAGAUCAAGAUCUACCGUGAAGCUAGCAAACCAACCCUUGUAGCACCUGAACAUAGCAAGAAGAACCACCAAAGCAAACCAACCCCAAACCCACUUAAGUGAAAGAAAAUAAAAUAGAAACGUAUUUUCGGGCCUCGAUUUGUUCCAGUUUUAUUGAGGAUUCUUUUACUAUAAAUAUAGACAUUGUAUCAGUGUAAACCUUGAGAUAGAGGGGGCUGAAAUAGGUUUAGAAAGACAACAACAAAACUAGGGUUUGUAUAGAGUUUGUCUCUUUGGAACAAACACUGGGAUUUGAGGGUUGAUUCACUUUGGGAAACACCAUUAGGAUUGAGUCUAUUGGUUACGGGAAGAGAUUGGGACUUUGGAUAGAAUUAGGCGGGAGACGUAUUCUUAUAACUCAGUGAAACGGAAGGCUGCUCUCUCCCUAGACUAGGUCAAUUUGGACUGAACUGGAUCUUGGACCGAACUAGGUCAACAAAUUCUCCUGUGUUCUCUCUUCUUUUCUCUGUCGCUGUUUUCUACUUUUGGCUUGUGUUUAUAAUUGUUCCAUACACUUUGUUUUGGUUGUUUGAUUGUCCUUGCUCCACACAUCAAGUUUGUUAUUGGUGUGAUUUUUGUUCGAAUUCACAACACCCACCAUCACGACACCGAACCUCGAGUCUCCAAAACACUUAAACCACUUCCAAACGACAACUAACAGAUCGAAGACGGAAGAAACAUGCUGGAGCGCCAGAAUGAGGAGAAGGGAAUAGAGGAACAAAGAAGGAAAUAGAGGGACAGAGAAGGAAACCCGUCGCACCAAAACUGUGAUGUGGAGGUUUUGAGCUAUUAUCAUUAGAUCGUGUGUUGUGAGUCGCCACACACUUCACAUUUACUCUUCGUCUGCUAGUAAUUUGUCGAAUUGAGGUCUUGAUAUAACACGUGUUGUAAUUUUAAAUAUCCAUGUUCCCACUGUUUGGGUUUGUUGGAGGAACUUGUCGUUGCCCGAACAUAGUCAUUUCUUGUUAGCCUUAUAGUGUGUUUGGACGAGGUAAUUGGAAAAUUUUAAAGAAUUUAGAAUUCUAGGCAAUUUAAAUGAUUCAAUUAAAUUACUUUCAUUUCUCAAUACUUUUGUUUGGAUGGAGUAAUAAGAAAAAUUAUUGUCAUCAAUUUUGGGCAACUUUUAUAAGUUUUAAUUUUUUGGGCCAAAUUUAAAAAUUGAAAUUAAGGGUCAAUUUGUAAAUUUCAAAAAUUUUGAGAGGUCAAGUUAUAAUUUUGAAAAAAUUGAGGGGUCAAUUUGAAAUUUUUUGAAAAUUUAUUGGGGACCAAAAUGCAAAAUUUGAACAAAUAUAACAAUGAAGAAUUUUGAAAUUCUUAACUUUUAGGUGUCUAUUGAAAUUCUCUAAAUUUAACUUGAACAAGUACUUCAUAAAUUUCCAUCAUUUUAAAAAAAAAAAAUUAAAUUGUUUUCCAAACAAUAAAAUUCACCUCAAAGUAUUUGAAUUCCCUCAUUCAAACACACUCUUAGAGUCUGUUUGUUUUGGCUUUUCAACAACAAGAAGCACUUCUACAAACCUCAAAAAGUGGAAAUUGAGUUUUCAAUGUUGUUUGGUUUGGCUUUUUAGAAUUGCUUCUAUCCUCCAACAGCAAUUAUCCUUAAAGCUAAAAUUCCUAACUUUUGGCUUUCCUAUAAUCAAUUCUACAUUAAAUUUUAUAUUUUGAUUAUUACAACCUAUUAUUUUCUUUUAUUGCCCUUUAUCAGUUCUCCUUCUUUUUGCUUUGUAAUUAAUUUGAUGAACCAAAUUUAAUCAGAAGACUUAACGAACCAAAUUAGCCCCCGAAAAAUAUUUAUGGUCAUGAGUUGCCAAAUUUUUGAAUUUUCCUUUACGGUAUCUCCAUUCAGAUUUACUGUAUUUUUUCUUUUAACUUUCUUUUACGCUAUAAGACUGUUAAUUAUUUAAGGUUUUUUUCUUUUGGGGUAGCCAAUGCUACCCAUAGCCCUUCCUCUUUGUCUACAACUUAUACAAAAAUGUGAAUGUAGGGGUUGAUUUAAUAGAGGAACAUAUGAAGUAAGGAUGUGAGUUUUUUCUUUUUUAACGAAUGGUAGAACGAUGGCAGAUUGAAAAACAAAAGGGUUGGGGUGUUGAAAAUUAAAUAACAAUAUUAAUUUAAUUAAACAAAAAGUUAAAUAAAUUUAAUCCAAAUAAAAAGUUAAAUAAAUUUUAAUGGGAGGUUUUUAAUAAUGUAAUAAUGUUACAUUAUAAUGUAACAAUAUUAAUUUAACUGAAAACACUCUUAGGUUUGCUUCCAAUUUUUUCUGUUUCCAGCAAAAGGUCAAACAAGUAUUUUCUACAAGAGAUAAAAAUUCCUUUCUUUGAGUGAACUACCUUAAUUCCAAUAAACACUUGAGUUUGAGUUGUUCACGGUUCUUCAUUUCAAUAAUGAUAACUUAUCUUUGAGUUCCUUGUCUUUCAAAUAAAUCAUCUCCUGUAACAAUAAUAGCAUUAUAGUUUUCCUCAAUUCAUUACAGUUAAAUAGUGUUCAAGUUAAGAAUAGAAGUUUCUUUUUACUAAUUCCUAAACUUCAUUACAAUUAUGUUUCUCUUGAUAUCGGUUGAGCAUAUCAAAUAUCAAAUAUCUCCACAGCCUAUUAUCAUCUCUAUUGUACUUACAGAACUUUGUUAUUCUUAUUUUAUGCAUGUGUUUAUUUCCCAUUCAUUUAUUGCAGGAAUUGAGUGGGAAUGUCGAACAUUUUUGUGCUUUGGAAAGUCUCGAGGUAGAUCACUCCAAUGUAGAAAGUAUCUUUCGUGUCGAUGAAAUAAAUGAACGGCAAAUGAACUUAGCUUUGGAAGACAUUGAUUUGGAUGUUCUGCCUAUGAUGACAUGCCUUUUUGUGGGUCCCAACAAUUCGUUCUCCCUCCAAAACCUUACAAGAAUAAAAAUCAAGGGAUGUGAAAAGUUGAAAAUUGUUUUCACCACUUCUGUAAUAAGGUGUCUACCACAGUUGUAUUAUAUGAGAAUUGAAGAGUGCAAUGAGUUGAAGCAUAUCAUUGAAGAUGAUUUGGAGAAUAAAAAUUCCUCAAAUUUUAUGUCUACAACAAAGACAUUCUUCCCAAAGCUAGAAAAAGUUGUUGUAGAAAAGUGCAACAAGUUGAAAUAUGUGUUUCCAAUCUCCAUAUGUAAAGAGCUUCCUGAGCUAAAUGUUCUGAUGAUAAGAGAAGCAGAUGAGCUGGAGGAAAUAUUUGUAAGUGAAGGUGAUGAUCACAAAGUGGAGAUUCCAAAUCUAGAAUGUGUAGUAUUUGAAAAUCUACCAAGCCUCAGUCAUGCCCAGAGAAUUCAAUUUCAAGCUGUAAAAAAUCGUUUCAUACGGAAUUGUCAAAAACUCUCUCUGGAAUCAACAAAAAUACAUGACUUGUCUGCUUCAUAUUUUCGCAUCGGUACACACUCUAUCCAAUAUUUUUAAAAACUAUUACAUGUUUGCUGUAAAUUAUUACAUACGAUUUGUUUAAAGGAGCGGUAAGAGGUAUGCAUGCAUAAGUAUUUCUAAAAUGUAGUGACCUAUCUAAUAGAAGCUUUAAUUUUAUGUAAAAUUUAAUUAUUAGGUAGAUAGAUAAACAAUUUUGUGCAUCUUGAAACUUGAAAAUGGUGAUAUACAAUUGAAAGUGGAAGUUUUUAUUUUAUUAUUAUGCUUGAGUUACUAUAUAAUGAUGUUAAUCUCUAUAUUAUUUUGCUGUAGAUCCUGAAUUGUGUAGGUAUUUCAAGACUCGGUUUCGACAACAAUUUCAAAAAGAGACCAAAGGCAACAAUAGUGGUAAUGAAAAUCCAGAAACCUCUAAAAAAAUUGCUGUUGGGGUUGAAGUUAAAGCAUCAUCAGAACAUGAGCUGACUUCUCCAAAGGUCAAUACCGAUCUAUUGAUUCAAGCUUACCGCACCAGAAUUUAAUCAACUUGACAAUGUAUUUGAUUCAAACAUGCUAUUUUUUGUGCAGAAAAAAACAAAACAAACACCAGAGACAGAGCAUGAACUUGUGGAAAAUGUUCCUGAUUUAGAAAUACCAACAAAUUCAAAAGUGAUUUCCAGGCCAUGUCAAACUGCGUUAGAAUUUUAAUGGAUGUAAUUAAUAGCUGAAGAUCAUUAUUGCUUCUGUUCUUGUUACAGGAGUUGAUGAAUGAACAAUCAAUGGAGCAGCAACGUCUACUUGGAGAACCUGAUACUACCGUCAAACCUUCUCAGGUAAAUCAUGUAAUGUCGUACCACCGCGUUGUGCAUAUAAAGCUAAAAAUGAAAUACCGAAAGAAAUAUAUUUUAUUUCAAGUGAAUCUUACAAAUAUGUACAACUAACUAAUUUACAUUUCUAUUGUAUGCAAUUAGUUGGAGGUGUCUACCAUUUCAGAAACAAAGAAUGUAGCAGAAACGUGUUCCACCAAUUCACCAACAAAGAAUGAGUCACCUAUACAAGUAGUUACUCCUUGCUAGUAUUCUUUUUGACACUUUGUCUAUGCAGGAAUUGACUUAUACUACAAUCUUAAACAUCUUUUUAAUUUUAAGCAGGUUAGCGAAAUAAGUGUUCAAGAAGGAACUACUUCAUCUAAUGCCAAGAGAAGAACGACAUCAUCACAGGUGAGUUUAUUUUAUUUAACAAAGCCUUCAUAUUAACUUGGUCUUUUUAUUACAAUUCAAUGACCAUGGAAUUGGAUUUGUAAGAAUCAAGCCUUAAACUAAUUUCGAUAUAUUGAGAAGAAAAAAAUCGGAAUCUACAGCUUUUGAAUUUUGAAAAAGUUGGAUUUAUGGAUGAUGAUUUGUCCAUUCUCUCCUUCCGAAUCUUUCGUCCUUUUCGGUUUGACAACAGAUAUUAAGAAAGUACAAAAUUAGACAGGUUUAGUCCAUUUUAUUCGUAAUUCAUUCAAUGCAUGCUUUCGGUUUUUUGUAAGUGUGCAAAAGAAAAAACAUCUUUCAUUAUAUUUGGUUUCCUAAAAGAACCAAAAUUUUGGGACAAAAAUAAAAACUAAAAGAACCAAAGAUCAAGAACGGACGGAGUAAUAUGUAUUGAGGCUAAUCCAAAAAAACAUAUUAAGACUUCAUGAUGAUAUCAUUUGUAUGUUUGAAUUUUUGUAGGAAUAUAGUGACGGCGAAAUGGCCAUAUCUUCUCCUCCAAUUUCCAUGACAAGGCAUUUUUCCACUCAAGACAUUCAUGUUAAUAACUUGCAGGAAACUAGUAACACUGAUGAUGAUCAAGGUGAAGACUCUUUGGAUCAAUUUUAUUUUCUUAAGUUAUCUCAUCACCCUUUUCAUUUUGAAGUUUAAAUCUCUUCUCUCACACCUUUUGUUCAGUUUCUCUAAAUGAUGAUGCUGUUAUAAAAGUAACCUCAAUUGUUGAGGAACCAUUUUCUAAGGAUGUUGAAUUUAAAGUUCCAGAAUCUAAGCUAUCCCUUAUCAUUACUUCGCCUCAACAAUUUCGGACUCCUUCAAUGCUUUCCAAAGGUAUAUAUUUUCUCCCUUCGUUUUAUUUUUAAGAACAUUAUUUGGUACUCAGAGAGGACUAAUUAUCCUUUUUCUAUACUUUCAGGGGACCCUUCUCAACCAGAUGAAGAAUUAGUAAGUUCAUCAUCAGGUCCAUUUUUUCAUUAAUAAUUGCCAUUCGAUAGGUUUCCUAUGAAACAAGAUUUAAACUAAUUUUUAUAUAAAAAAUAAAAAAUAAAAAAAAUUCAGUCUAUUGCUUCCGAAUCUUAUAUCCAAAGUUAAGGAGAAUCGUUGCUCAAUAUUUGUAGAGGCUUAACACUGAAAUUCUUGUUUUCUAUUUUUAAUUUUAUCUGUAGUGGAAUCAGACUCUUGCAAAAUAUAAUAUAUGGUGUAAAAUAGUGAGGUUGAUCCAUUAUAAGAUAUGAUAUAUCAUUUAGUGAUUUAAAUCUGUGUAGGAAGAUCUUGAUGACCAAAUGGACAUGACUUCUUUUUCCAUUGCUACUACAGAGACCAAUGAUGAAGGUGAAAAUGCUUUGAAUCUAUUUUUAUAUUCUUAUGUUACUUCGAUAUUCAUCGCCCUUUUGAUUUUGAACUUUAUCCUCUCUCACAAUUUGUUUAGUUUCUCGGAAUGAUGAUGCUUUCAAGAAAGUAAGCUCAAAUAUUGAGGAACAAUUUCCUAAGAUUGAUGAUAUAAUAGUAGUUUCCAAAUCUAAACCCUCUCCUUGGAUCACGUCUUCUGUUGCAUCUCAGAAACCUCCGGUGCCUUCUAAAGGUAUUUUAUUGCUUGCAUUUUAUUUUUAACUAACUUUGGUGUGCUCAAAUAGGCUUAAAUAUUCUUUCCUAUACUUUCAGGGGACCCUUCUCAAAAAGUAGAAGAUUUCAGUUCUUCUUUGCUUGUCAAGCAUUUUGAUUAUGAAAACUUGUCUUUGUUGACUGAUUUCUUUGUUAAGCAUCCUUCGGUUCUUUUAAACGACACUUCAUUGAGUAACAGAUACAAGGGUUAUGCCUACAACUGCCUAGCUGAGCUAUUGAAAUUCCUCCAAACUCAUAGUGUGUUGGAUGUGUUAGGUUCAAGCCACUCUGAAUUUGUUGAGUUAUUACAAGAUGUGCGCAAAUUUGGUUUUGAUAAGGAAUGGUUGGAUGAUAUUGAAAAACGCGCUUUGUUGCCUGGUUUACAAGUCUCUCAAGAUGCAUUGCAAAAAUUGUUGGACUCAAAACACAUUUUGACACAACAUGUGGAGGAUCUUAAGCAUCAAUUGGCUUCCUGUGAAGCUGUUUUGCAGAACAUCACUCAACAGGAGGCACAAAUUUUACAUACUCGGGCUGCUUUAAGUGAUCCUAUUGGCUAUUAGACUAUUUUAUUCCUUGCAUUCGCUCAAGUUGUUCCCUGCUUUGAAUAUUAUGUAUUGCUUGAGUAGUUUUCGGUUUCUCAUCUCAAAUGAUUGAAACAAUCUUACUGAAUUUGUGUAUUUUGAAAAUUAUUAUUGAUUGUUGUAUGAUCAUCGUAUGUUAUACAUGUUGGUCAUGAAGUAUUGAUAUAUUACUUAUUUCAAAUAAGAAAACAUGUUGAACAAAUAUUGUUAUAUGGAACACAUUUCAAAUGUAUCCUAAGAUUCAAUAAACAAAUCUUGACUAAGAGAAAAGUCGAGAUACACGACAAUAUGCAGAGAUGAUGAACGAAUUUAGUUUUUUGUAGAUUUAAUAGCAAGGUUGUUAAUUAUAGUCGGCACCUACAGCGGCAGCUGCAAUAUAAAGGAUUUUGAAGUCUCCUCAAUGGUAUUACCACCCAAUAUGGAUGUAUUAGUGGUAUUUUUCUGCAUUUUAUCGCAAGAAGAAACAUCGCAGCGUAAUAUGUUAGUGUGUAGCCUCUAAAGAUCGGAUAGACUGUUCAGAUUUUUCAUCUCAAAACUUUUGAAAGGGCUAAGAAUAAAGUUGUGUGUUGUAUGUGAUUAGGUUGGAGCUAUUCUUGGAAAAGGGGAAAAGAAAACAUUGUAUAAAGCAAUUGAUGCACUUGGUACACAUCUCCUAAGUACCCUCAAGCACCAAAUAUCAAUCCAUCAUGCAAUUGUAUCUACAUGAACAUGAUCAUCCAGUAAUUCAUAGGGACCUCAAGUGUGAUAACAUACUUGUCAAUGGACAUCUUGGACAAACAAAAAUUGGUGACUUGGGUCUAACAGCGAUUCUUCGUGUUUCGCAACCAACGCACAGUGUUAUAAGUACUUAUUUUUUUCUAGACAAAUGUUAGCAGCAGCGAGAAUUUGUUUGUAUUAGGAAUUGAAGACUUGAUCUUCUUCAUAAUACUCCUUUUGUGUGCACCAGCUCGUACCACUGGACUUCUUCUACUGUGGGAGAAUCACCAGAACUGUAUGAUGAAGAAUACAAUGAACUUGUUGAUGUGUACUCAUUUGGCAUGUGUGCUUUGGAAAUUAUUACAUAUUAUUGUCCUUAUAGUGAGUGUGCUAACACGGCGUAGAUAUACAAGAAAAUUCAGAUAUUUUGUAAAGUCGGGAUUCAUACAUAAACAAUUUUGGUUCUAAUCUGUUUCCACUUUGUAAAAAUUAACCAAGUUGACUUUGAAAUUUCACAAGAAUCUCUGAAUCUCUCUCUUUGAGGUUUCACAAUUUUACUGUUUUGAGCCGCCAGGAAUCAAUCAAUUGGUUGGUAGGUUAGAUUCCAAAUUCAUAUGAAAAGCAAAGUGUUAAGAAGCAUAAACCAGUUAUUAUAGUAUUAGUGGGGCUGCCAUUAUUGUUCUUAUCAACCACAAGCAGCCACCUCUUUGUGGGCUAGUAGCUUCUUGGCCCCCACACUUGUAUUUUCCUCCACCAUUUUAAAUGUGGUGAGAACCAAUCAAUAUUUACUCUGUUCAUAGUUACCAUCAAAUUAAUAUUUCAAAAACAAUUUACAAUUUACUCAUUUAGAUUAUAAAAUUGUUUGAAUCUAGUUAUAAGACAUGUUAAUUUAUAGAACGUAUAUUUACUGAAAUUCUUUUUGUCACGUAUCUAAAAAGAAUUUACUUCACAUGUUGUGGAUAUGCUUAUUUACUUUAUAAUUAAAAUUUUAAAAUACGUUGUAUCAUGAGUAAUUUCAAAGAGUAACGUGUGUAUCAUAAACUCUUGCUCAAUAGUUGAGAUAUUUUUAGUUAUGUGCAAGAGUGAAUUUUCUAUAACAUAGAAUAUCACAUCUAAAAUCUAAAAUAAACAAAGCACGCAACAUCUAAAACAUGUGGCAAUUCUUGGUUGGAACAUAAUAAUAUCCAAAUCCUCAUAUGUCCCUAUAGAAUCUUAGAAUCCCACUAGAUGAAUCUUAAAUUCUGGCAUCUUCUUAACAAAAAGGCAAAUUUUGAUUUUGAGAUCUUUGCUCUUGCCAAACAAAGCAUAAUGAUGCAUGCAUAAUUAGAAUUAGAAUAAACAAACGAAAUGUGGAACAUUAGACAACAAAUUUUUUAAUUAAUAAUAAUAAAUAAUACUUACCAAAACUAGACAUGAAACUACAUAACACAUUAGAUAUUAGAUAUAUAUUAGAUAUAGUCCUCUUUAAUAAUUUCAACACCCCUCCAUCACUCUCUAAUUUUCAUGUACCUAUUAUAUUAUAUGUCCCCCUAUUUUUUGACAUAAUAUAAAACAACAAAAUAAUUAAUUACAAAAUAACUUAGGACAAAAAUAUCUUCAUAGUGUUGGAGAAAGAUAAUCUUAUCUUACUUACUCUAGUGCUCUACACUCUUGGUCACAAGGGUAAUUUAGGAAUUCCAUCAAGUACAAACAGAACACGACAAAAACCUCAAUAUUAACGACAAAGACCAAUAUACCCUUAGGGUUUAACUUGGCCAUGUCAAGAACUCGUCCAAGUCAAACUCACCAAACUCUUCUUUUUCUUUCUCGAACGGAACAAAGUUAACAUCCGUUAAAUUUAACGGCGCGUCAAUAUCAAAGCCAAACGCAUCCACAGCUCCGUAACGUAAACCGUCAAACGGCGUUUCGCCGUCGCAGAAAGGUAGAACGGAUGUCGGAGAAGCAAAACCGUCGCCGGAGAAAAUCUCAGGCGAACCUUUAACGCUUUUCUUGUCGGAGGCAUCGUUUGGAAAGUUGACGGCGGCGACUUUUGGACCAUAGAUCUUCGCAGCGGCGGCGUCGUAAACAGCGGCGGCUUCCUUCUCUGUGUUGAAAGUUCCGAGCCAGAGACGUUUUCUUUGAAACGGGUCACGGAUCUCUGAUAUCCACCGACCCGAAGGUCUUUUGCGAACACCACGGAAUAUGCUCCGGCGGUUAGAACCGCCGGAGUUUUUUGUGGGUCGUUUUCUGGGUUUAUUUAAAUGGGUCGGGUUAAUGGAGCAAGAUGAAGAAGAAGGUGAAGUUGCUUGAGAAUCAGUGAGAGAAGGAAAUUGCAUGGUGAUGUUAGUGAUUUCCUUCUUCACUCUUCGUGGGGUUUCAUCGUCGCCGGAGGAUUCUGAAUCGGUUGCGUUGUGGUCGGUGAAAAUGACCCGGAGAAGCUUUUUGUUGUUGGGUUUGGUUUUUGUGGUGGUUUUGCAUGAUGGGUCGGGUUCAAAAUUCGAGCUUGAAGGGUUUUGAAGCUUUAAGGUUGAUUGUACGGUCAUCGGAGAAAACUAAGAAGAAAAACAACGAUGUUUUUGUUUUUGUUUUUGGUUAGUUUAAGGAAAGUGAAGAAAGAGAGUGAGGAAAUUAAAAGGGUGGAUUAGAGAGAGUGAGAGCGGGAGAGAGAGAUUUUGGCGGGAAAAUAAGAGAGAGAGGAGGUGAAGAUAAGGAGAGAGUGAAGAGAGAGAGAGAGGGAAAUAAAAAGAAGAAAAAAGAGAUAGAAUUGAAGGGUAUUUAAGAAGUGUCCUAAUUGGAGGAAGAAAGAAAUAUUUAUCUCGUGAUAGGGUCAGAGUUUUGGUGAAGAUAUUGAAGGUAGGGUUAAGGAGAGUAGAGAGAAAAUGUAGUGUGAGUGAGUGAGUGAGUGAGUAGUGGAACUUGGAAGGGAGGGUCAUGACUAAUGACUCACCUUAUGGAUGUGUCAUGUGAGUGUGUAUGUCAUUGUCGGUAAGUAGAAAUAAAAAAUCUAGACAGCUUGCACCUACCCCUCAUGACACGUUGCUCUUCUAAUUCAAAAUAUUUCAUUUAUGUUCUUACAAAUUUUGGUGUAAAUUAGAUGAAUGUAUUCAAAACUCGAGCUUUUUUAUGUCAUUGUUAAACUUCCACGUAUGAUCUUAAAUAAAUGUGUACCAUAGUCCUCAAAUCACAGUCAUCAAAUUGAAAAUUUUGAUCUUAGUUAGGGAGCACAAAUUAGAAGGAAGAUUAGAACAAACAACAAUCGUUGUUCCUAUAGACAGAAAUUGCGCGAUUGACGUGACUUUUUUUUAUAGUUUAGUUUAUUUAUUUGGUCGAAUUAUUAUUGUAGUUUCUAACUUUUUUAAUUAGUUUUUCUUUGAAAGAAAAAAGCUUUUUAUUUAGUCAAAAUUUAUACUCUAACUAAAUCGGUCGAAUAAGUAAAUGACUCGUGGCCAUACCGUUGGGCAUGUACUACAAUUGUUUUUUAGAGUUUGUCUAUUAGGACACAGCUAAAUUAAUUAGUACCUAAAAUUAACUGAAUCAAACUCGAAAUAUCAUCAUUAAUGCAACAAAGGACAGAAGAGGGUGAAGUUUUUAAUUUCACUAUUUUGUAUCAAAUUAAUAAGGAGUACUAUAAUGUUCUUUCUGUGUGACACAGAAAUUGCAAACAUUAAUUAUAGAGACGAAAUUUGAGACUACACGUCACGUGGUUUUUUUAACCUUAAUGUGUUUUGGGUACAAAGUACAUACGGUAGAAAUUUUAGUUGUGAUUUUUAUUGUACUCAAUUUAGGUGUUUGUAAUCGAAGCAAAUAUCAUUUUUUAAUUUAGUUGUGUAUCUUAUUAUUGACCCCGAAAUGUCUUCCUAUAUUAAUUCAAACAUGUUUGAAUCACUACUCACUAUAGUGCUCAAAUGAUAUGAGCUUACCAAGGAACUUUACAUUUGGGGGUAGGGUAAUGUUAAUUGUUAUAAACUUAAAGAUGAUAAUGAACUUGAUGAGAGUUAUUUAUUUCUUUAUGAUAAUCAUAUAUUAAAUGUGGAGAGGAUUGACUCAAUGGUAAAGUAAGAUAUGAUUUUAGUCUCAAGUUGGUUCGAAAAUGCUCAAAAUAUAUAUUCCCUAUCUGAUAAAUAAGUUAUAAAUAUUUUAUUCAUUUGAUCGAGAUGAUGAUUUAAUAUUUAUCAUGAUCAAGGUUCGAACCUCAUUAUACUCGAUAGAACUUAAUAUUCUAUAUGACAAAUUAUAAAUAUUUUGUUCAGUUGGUCAAGACAAUUAUCUCGUAUUUGAUAUGAUCAAGUUGAAACCUUUUUGCUCCGUGAACUUAAUUUUUUUCUAUAGUUUUUAUUUUUAAAGACCUCUAGGCCUUGUAUUAGAACGAGGCAAAAAGCAAUAUGGCUAAGGAUGAAUUGAACAAAGGAAAUUAUAUGUUAAAUAACACCCUCUUGAAGGGGAAAUUGCUUAAAAAGUUGUAGUUGGGUUAGGUUAUGGCUUGAGAAUGAAGCAAAGGCAAAUAAAGAUGCUGGCAAGUCAAACACGUGUUAUGAUAUAGCUACAUUGGGAGAGAAAAGAAGUUGCAAAUAAUAAUUGUUGUAAAAAAACAAACAAAAGAAUUUGAAAAUGAGUGACUCUCCUUCCUUGCUUGGUAACCAAGGGACACAUUUUUGGUAAAUUUGUCAUAGGGGCUGGUCUAUUCUCAUGAGGAUAUUAAUUAUUGACUUCAAUUCUAUCUACUACUCCUAGUAGUACUUAUUAGUUGUUACGGGACUUAAAUUUACUUUAUCUUUUUCUUGUUCCCUAAGAUUUUUUCAAUUAAUUAUAGGACUUCAAUUAAAAUGUACAGCAAUUUCUCGUUCGAAAUAAAACACUUCAUCUGUCUCGUGAUAAUUAUCAUGUUUGUUGAGAAAUUUUUCAGCAGGGUUAUGUUAACUUAUGCGUUAAGAAAUCUAAAAAUAGCAACUUUGUAUUAAAAAAUAUAAUAUUUUAAUGGUCAAAUGUAUCUAAAGGUCCUUUAAGUUUUUCAUUUUUCUCAAAAUAGUCCUUUAAGUUUUAAAAGUCUCAAAGUGAUCCUUUUAAUUUUUGAAUCGUUUCAGAAUCAUACUUUCCGUCAUUUAAGGAGCAAUUUAGAAGGCUUUAUAAUUAUGGUCAUGAGUUGGUUAGAUCAAAUCCUCAUAGCAGAGUGCAGAUCAAAGUUCAACCAUCUGAACAAAGUGAAGAAGGUAAUGGAGAAGAGUUCAUUCAUAGACCAUUGUUGCCUAGCUUUCAGAGGGAAGGAAUGAUUCUGAAACGAUUCAAAAACUAAAAGAACCACUUUGGCAAAAACAAAAAACUUAAAGACCUUUAGAUGCAUUUGACCUAUUUUAAUUUUGAAGAAGUUGAAUGCACGACUUUUGAUACAUACAUUUCCAUAAUUAGUUGCUUAAUUUUGUCAAAAAAAUAUAAUUAGUUGUCUAAUGCCCUUGAGAGCAUAAGUUAGCAUUUGCCAAAAAAACAUGUGUGUCAGUUAAAAGUGGUUAGUAUAAAAGUUAAAACUUUAUCCCCUUGAGCUUAACUCAGUUGGUAGGGAUAUUGCAUUUUAUAUGCAGGGGUCGGGGUACGAACCCCGGACACUCCACUUGUAACACCCCGUUUUUCCAACUUAAAAAUUUCAUAAAUAUUUAUCAGAGUAAACAACAUUUAACGGAAUGCUACACUUCUAAAAUAUAAUAAAUGGGAUAAUUAACUAAUCAUCCUUCUAAAAAUCAUCAACAUAAUAUUUCAAACUUUGCAGCGGAUUAAAUUCAUUAACAUAGAUAAGUAUUUGGCACGAAGGCCUCUUCAUAAAUGUCUCAUAAAAAUCCAUUCUAAAACAUAGUCAUAAAUCUUCAAAAACAAUACGUAAGGAAUAGAAAAGCAAUAACAAAGUUUCCAUCCCGUUACGUAUCAGAGCACCUAAGACACACGAGCCACCACUCCUACUAAUCUUUAAUACCUGCAAGUUACUCAUACGAAGAGCAACAUUUUCAAGCAGAAGGGGUGAGAUUUCACAAAACAAUAAUAUUAAACAUAUAAUUCAACAAUUAUAUUUAAUCAACAUAAAAUCAUCUUAACAUUCAUUAUAGAUAAUAAUAUAUCAUUUAACACUUCAAUCAUGGUUUGUAUAAACAAUUACAACUUCACAAAUUAUCAACAUAAACGUCCUUGACUCGACAAAUGCGACUCUAACUCAACUAUGCAACUUAGACCUCUUAUAUGCAUGUGGUACCAAUACGGAGCAUCAAGCCUCAAUCGCUAUUUGAGUAUUAAUAUACUCCAGAGCAUCAAGCCCCUAUCGCUAUUUGAGUAUUAAUAUACUCCAGAGCAUCAAACCCCCAACAAAGAAUGCUAAUGCAUGGACUCGACUUCUUAAACAUCUUAAAUCGACAACUCUUGUAUAAUCCAAUAAUUUGGAACCUCAUCAUCUUAAUCAACUUAGACCGACUCAUGCAGCUUAGUUAAAUAACAAACAGCAACAUAGACAGCACAUAAACAUCUCAAGAUAUAACAAUGUCAAAUAAUAAUCAAUCAUCAACUUAAACAUUUUAUAUAAUUCACAUAAUGCAUAUACAAAUAUAUCACAUUACUAACAACAUCAAAUCAUGAACAAAAACACGUAACAUCAUAAAAUAAUUUUCAAUAUAACUAUCAUGCCUGUAAACAUUAAUUUUAAUAUAUUCUUUCGGCCAAAAUAGCAGCAAAUAUUCGGUGCUCAUACAUAUGCAUAUAAUCCUUUAGAAGUAUACUCAGUUUAUAACCUAUUUGAAAUUAGCCACGACACGUAAAUAAUUACUAGUGUAGCAACUCUAUCCAAAACAAAUACUAGUGUAGCAACAAUUCAUAAAUAAAACACUAAAUAAAUAAAUGCAUGAUUAAUGUAUUAGCAUCAUUAGCCUGUUAAGCAAUAUAUUUCUUUCUACAGGUAUUAGCAUCAGACUACGUUAGUUAAAAUUAAUGUUUUGUGAAACUAGAAAUCACAACACAAAUAACCAAUUAGAGAUCAGAAAAGCACCGCUUUCGGUGAACUUUUGAAUCGUAUUCAAAAUUAUUAGAUAGCCGAAAUUAAUUUAUCAAAACUAGGAUUCAAUAAUAUUCCUAUGCAGCAUCUCUCCCGAAUUUCAAAUAUAAUUUCUCAAAUCCUCAAAUCUAACACAACUACAAGGUUAAACCAUUUUUCAUCAAUUAAUCUCAAAUUUCUCACCUUAACCCUAAUUCUCAAAUUCUCUAAAACCAAUCCUACACUUGUUAAAUUUAAUCAUCAGAAUUACAGACUUAAUAGAAUUGAAUGCUAGUCUCACCCUUACUUUUCUUAAUUCUACUUAAGCCCACUAAACUUCUUUAAUUUCUAAUUCAGCCCCCCAAAUCUACUUAUUCAAUUAUUUAAUCAUAUUUUAAUAAAUAAUAAAAUAAAACCACUUAAUAAAAUAUCAAAAUACCACAUAAUCAAAUAAAUAAUAUAAAUCACACAAAUCAUAUAAAUAUAUUCUAAACUCAUUAAAAUAAUCAAAUAAUUAAAGAGGGCGUUACACCACUUCCUCACAAUUAAAUUGUGUGAGUUCUAACCACUAAACUACUUGUAAAAAAAAAAAAAUUAAAACUUCUUAAUGAUUUAGUGGUCACACACUUAAACAGGCGGUGUAUAAACUGAAAUUUUUACUAAUUGUAUUUAUCUAAUUAAUAAUAUGUGCAUCAUUCGUAAGUUGUUAUUUUUCAAAUUACUUUUAUGAUACAGAUAGUUAAUCAAUGGUUAAUUUGGUAUUGUUGUUAAUUCUUUUUUUCAUUUAUAAUAAUUUCUUUUUAAUUUGUUUGAAAAUAUGGAGUAUUGUUUUAACAUAGUAAAAUAUUUUAAAGCAUGUAUUUUUCAACAUAAUACUGAUUUUUCUGUUUGAUUUUAAAAACUCUAGCGGCAUAACGGCAAAGAGAAGAGAUUACAAUAGGCUCACACAAAAAUCUAAUUGUUAAUGUAUCAAGUCUGAGUUAAAAGGCACACAUCAAAUAAAAAAUUAGAUAUUGAAAAAUAUAUAAGUUGGAAAAAAUCAUGUACCCUAUAUAAAUUUUAGUUGAGAUAUAAAUAUAUAAUGUUCAACUCACUUAUAAAGUUGUUCAAAUGACGAUACAAUGAUCUUUCAAGUUCCUCUUAUGACCUAGCAUGUACCUAUCCCAGUCUUAUAUGCAAGAACAACGAAACUUUUCAACCAAAAAUACAUUUUCACCGAAAUUUAACAACAAAUCCUUUGUUUUGACCAACCUCCACCAUUCAAAAUGUCAAUGUUAUGCUACAUAGACCGUCCAAAUUUGAAUAGAAGCACAAAAACUUCAAUUUGAAUGGUUUAAAAUAAAAACGACCUUUAUAUUAAAAACCGUCAAACAUGGUUGUUGUGUGGCUUAAAUUCAAGACUAAAGUAACAUAGUAACAUGUUUUAUUUUGAAUAUUUUUUAUUCGUUUUAUUUGUAACCAGUUUUUUUUUAAUAUAUUUAUCUAUGGUGUGUUGGUUUCCAACACCAACGCGUAUUGAACACCAACACCUAUUUGUAACCAGUUUUUUUUCAUUUGCAGAGUCAUAACCUUUGAUAUUUCUUUUUUUUAAAGAGAGUCAUAACCCCUUAUCACUUGAUACGCAAAUUAUUAUUCUUCAAAAAAAAAGAUACGCAAAUUAUUUACCACGUCAGCCAAUUCAUUAUUGAUUUUUAAAUAUUUUUUUUUUUUUGGUAGAUAGACGAAAUUGCAAAGCCAUUAUAAACUCACACACACAAGUGGAGGUACCGGGGUUCGAACCCCGGUCAUGACAUCCGGCCUAACAAUUUCGGCAUUUUGCCAGUUAAUAGACGAAAUAUAUUUUUUUAUUUCUAUGAUAAAGAGGACAUCUUUUGUGCAUUGUGAUUUUUUGUUUGUUUGUAUUCCAAUUAAAAGUAGCAACUGUUAGCCGGUGCUUUCCAGCAGGCUGCCAUGUUCGGUUGCAAGUUGCAACAUAGUCAGUCAACUCAAUUCUUGAACGGUGUCAAAACGAUGUUUCCUUUCUCUGCACUAAAUGAUUUUUUGGAAUAAAAAACACUAGAUUUUUUUUCACGCCUUCUCCCCUAAGGACAGAAAAUCACAAUGGCACGUAAGAAAUGUUAAGCACAUUCCCAACACUCAACUCCAUCCUCAAUAAUAAAGUCUUAAUCAUUUAAGAUUUGGUAUUUAAUAGAUACUUUCAUUAAAAAGAAAUUUUUAUAUAUUUUUUUAAGAAAUUUGUGUGAGAUGCUGGGUUGGAGAAACUUAUUGUUUAUUAGAUGUUACUAUUAAAAAAUUAUGAAUGAGUGAUGUGUACACGUGAAACCAAAUUCCAAAAAAUUAAAGUAAUUAAAGUACUAUUAAAAAAUUCUUCAUCGUGGAUGCUCUAUUGUUUAACUCACUUCGAAAAUAGCUUCUAUAUACAAUGGUAAGACUCGUAUAUUGUUUAUCUCUUGGGUUUCAAGUUUCAACCAAUUAAAGUAAUAAAUAGUGUUAGUAAGAGAGUGAUCCUACACUCUUCCUCCACAUCCAUUACCCUUUCAUUGUUUUGUAUUUUGUGAAGCACGCACAAGAAACGCCCAAUGUGACUCAAAAGAGUGAGUUUUCACUUUCGUGAAAGGACCAUAAUUGGUCCACAAAUAUCAUCAUUAAACCAGUGGCUACACAGUCUUUGUGGUCCACAACACAACAUUAUCCAAAACUUUUAAUUCUUUCAUUGUUAUCCGAAGCACGGUCCAUGCAAUAAAAUGGCUCCUUAUAAAUUUGUAUACUGGUAUACAAAUCAACCAAAAACAAGACUAGGACAUAGAAGCUUAAGUUAUAGACAACAGAGUGGGGAGAACUGAUGAUUGUACCAGUUGAAGCCGGUACCAGUCAUCGCGUGGAGCAACUAGAGAAAAGUGGUUUGAGGUAGAUUUUUAGGUUGGUAAGCAGCAAAAAUGGUGUUGUGCAUGUCAACCAGUAGAUAACAUAUAAAUAAACAAUUCAAUCUCAGGAACGACGAAACAUCCACAGGCAAUAAUCACCAUGUUCGUAACUACAAUUUUCAUUUAUCAUCGCUGCUUGGGAAUAGAAUGUCAACAAGCAGAAAAUUUGCACCAGAUGUCUUAAGAAUUUUCACAAAAUGAUAAUCAAUUCCCAUUGCCAUGGUUGAGUUCCAUGUAGACAAUAAAUAACAAAGCAAUCAUUCAAAAUAUCUUUUGUUUUACAUAAAACAUAAAUGCACGGUUGCAUUUAACAGCUGAGGAGGAAUUGGUCAACCCAUGGCAUACUUCUGUGUCCAGCUGCGUGCGGUGGCUUCAUACUUGGUCCUGUCAGUCUUGUACAUAUGUGCAAUUUCAGGCACAAGAGGGUCAUCGGGAUUUGGAUCCGUCAACAAUGAGCAGAUUGACAAAAGCACCUAAAAUAGUGAAUGUUAGGUUUAUUUUUUGCAAGAUUUAGAACAACAUGACACAUAAGAACAACAACAUUACAAAUACAGGUCACUAAACACGGAAAAAGACAAUACAUACAGUUCUUAAAUUAAAUUCCUAUCAAUCAUAUGAUCAACUUAUCAAAGUGACACAAACUAUAUCUCAAGUCAACGGAGAAUAGAUAUCUAUAUUCAGCUACUUUUAGAUUCAAAAUAUUAACUAAUCUGAAUUUUACUCUUGUGAACUAAUAUUCCAAAAAGAUACAGUUCUUCGGUGCUUUUAAAAGCUGGAGUGUAAACAAAUCAUGAAUUAUUUUCUUGUGCUAGAUUUUCAAAUCUAUGAAUGCUACUGAGAGUACUGAGCUUUCCCAAAAAAAUGACACCAACACAAGUAACACAUCAAACAUGUUAAACACGCCAAGAGACAAGUGUAAUCUGUAUCAAUAGAACUACUAAGAGUGCAAAAUACAUGCAUAGACAAAUUUGACAUGUGAAAAUAAAUUCAACAUGCUCCAUUUUCCAAACAAUUAACAA